GCCAAUAAACAAGAGGUACGGAAUCCAACUAGUAAGUAGAAGAAUAGAACUGGUAUAUCAGGCGAACUGGCAGAUAGGCGGAUAGACAAGUCCGGGUAGUGGUCCAGUCAUCAAGUAGAGUUCCUGUGAGAGUGAUUGUUUCAUCCCCUUUAAGCAAUAGUCCUGUUCCACCAGUGGAGUAGCCAGCAGCUUGUUUCCUUCUUCUUAGUAGUGGUAGAGAGUUCGGUGCUCUAGUUGAAUACCGGGUUUAGUCUGAAGUUGACAAGUAGUGAUCUGGUCCAGUUGCAUCAGUAGCUCCGGUAGACUUAAUGGAUUCCACUAAUUCCAUAGUUAUUAAAGAAGAAAGUAUCGGCUUUGAGUAGAGAGAGGCAGACAAUAAGAAAGGAGUUGACUUACUUGUUUAAAGAAGUUACUAGGGCUAGGGUAUUGUAAUCAUAAACCAGAAAUCACAAAUCAUAAAUAAAGCAGAAAACUACUCGAAGCUGCCGCGCAACUUACGUAGUUGCUUGCCGAGUGGAUAAUUCUAUCUCUCUUUAUUAAGGAACCCAGAAUGUCAUAGAUGUGGGUCCAUAGUAUUGGUCAUAGUCAAGUGGGGGUGCCCAGUAAAGUAGGGGUGCCCAGUAAAGUAGGGGUCCCGUUUUGCCCAUCAUGUGUUUAGUUAAGGGGUCGGGUUUUGGAAUUAUAAGAAUAGGGGCAUCCACUACUGGAUUUAGCAUCUUUUGAUCGGUUGAUAGCAAAUAUUACAUUAGCUACCCCCUUAGGGGCCAAAAAACACCUUUCUAACUAGAAGAUUUCUUGUCUCAGAAAGCACUUGUACAGGGUUUGAUGCUAGGAAGUCAAUCAAGGGAGAAGUCUUGGGAUCAUUAGUUAUAGAAUAUAGUUAGUUCGGGUCGGGUGUUGAAAGAUCAGACUUAGUUGACAGAGGAGAGUUAGGGUCGGGUCAGAAAGGGAAGCAGUGAAGUCAACUAAUGCGUAUUUCAGUAAGAUAGAAUAAUGUAGUGAGCUGUCUUCAUCGGUGUUAGUAUGAGUGAGAGUUGGGGCAAAAAAGCGACUACUAAUUGCAUCAACCCGCGUGACUGUGUUUAUUAAUCUCCCUUAUAAUAGACUUUUUCUAGGCUCAAAUAUGUUACUGGUCGAUCUUUUCCUGGUUUACUAGGUGUGAGAGACAUGAGAUGGAUUCCCUGGUUGCUAGAUGAGCUGCUCAAUUAAAGUAAGGGUAGUGGUCCAGGUAGUGGUCCUGUCUCAAAAGAGGUGUAGUGAGCCAAGCAACUAAGUAAGACGUUGGGCGGCAGUCAUGAACAUGUUAGAAUUCAUUUCUUACUGGCUAUGUGCUUGGGAUCCGAGUAUUUAUAAGUUGCAAGUGGCAAAUUACUAUAAGGUUGCCAGCAGCUGGGCUGUUGCCUAGGAGCCUCAUUCUGUUAGCUGAGAUGCUCUAGUCCACUGGCUUUGAUGCCAUAAGUACCGAGAGUAGGAGCCCUUAUAGUAAGUUGUGGGUUCGGGGGACAGAGUGGAAAGAGACUAGCAUAAAGUUCAGGUCGAGUGAAGGAAUUAAGUAAAGUGCCCCAGGUCCAGUGCCAGUGAUAAAGUCAAGAGUGAGAGUUUGUUCGGGCCCUUCUAUAAUCCGCCAGAGGAUGGAGAGUCAAGGGAGGAAAGAGAACCCCCUUUUAGUAAUUGGCUAGUCUAGGAAAGUUUCUAGGGAUAGUGAGAAGAGCCUGAUUUGUGGUAAGUGUUACUGAUUCCUAUAUUCAAUUACAAAGGGAGAAAUGGCUUUGCUAUCAAAAAGACCGGGUAGUAAAGUUCUGGUUCUCAAGUAAGGGUAAGGCUAGGCCCUUUUAGUCAGUUUCAAGAAAGUAAUAAAGAGUCUAGGUCUGUGGGGAGGAAUUACAGAAUUGAACUAACAAGUAAGGAGUCACAUAAUGAAACUAAGAGGUGAGUUAGUAAAAGUCCAAGAACCAAACCAGUGAGUUACAGGCUUUAAAAGUAGUGCACCUAGCAGGGUGUUUUUAGUCUCUUACUUACGAGUUGGACUCCCAUUAUUGGUUAGUGAAAUAUAGAAUCCGGGCCAAGUAGACGCCAGGUAACUACAGAGGAAUGGAAUAGAAUUGACCACGAAAAAAGUAGCUGAAUCACCACUAAAAAGGGCCAAGGCCAAGCAACGGCGCAAGCCGCUGCGCGGCAGCAACCAAUAAGUAGUUAUAAAGAAAUUAUAACCGCCAAGCAACUACUAAUGUUGCGCGGAGGAGCUUCAACUGUGUUCGCGUUACGCGGCAGGAGCUGUUCUUUCCCGACGAAAAGGUAAUGGAAUCGCGACACCCCUUUUUUCAUAUUUCCCUCCUAAAAGGUAACGGAAUCCCGGGCAAGCAACUACUAACGUUGCGCGGCAGGAGUUCUCUGGUAUCCGAACCCCGACAAAAUGGUAGUCAUAAAGAAAAGGUGCUUCAACAAGCCCUCCUUUUUUUUGCAAGCUUAGGAUAGAGAUUAGCUAUUGAAUCCAUUUCCAUUCUUGUGCCCUUAUUGGUUGUUGAGGGGUUAAGUUUUGCCUAGUUAAGGGAUAGGCUGGCUGGUUUACUUACUUUGUAGAGUAGUUGACUGCCUUGCUUGCUUGCUUGUUUGGGUAGUUGUGGAAUGCUAUUACAAGGGUCUGAUCAGGUGCUCAAACUACAGAAAGGAGGUCAGGUCGGGGAAGACAAUAAGAAUGGACAGGACUCGACUUAACACCGUAAGAAUAGCUUGUCUCUGCGAAAGACUACUCAUAUUUCUAAUGUACCUGCUCAGUACUUACUUAGUAUAGGAAAGUCUACUGGAUGCUAUAUUCUCUUUAUAUAGGUGAACGGAUGCAACACGAACUGAGGCAUUCUAUUUAUUCUAAAGCACCCAGGCUUAAACAAAGGAGUCACAGACGGAUGCUAGGGCUACUGAGAAUGGAGCUAACAUUGAUAAGAAUUGCACUUCCACUCGCCAAGCCUGAUACUAGUGGUACUGAGAAUGGAGCCAUUGAAUCCAAGCCUUCAACCUGAGCUUCCAAGCCUUAAAGCCAGGGUAGCGAGACUCGACCAGGGGAGUGAUAGCCUGAAACCAACUCAUCACAGAACCAAACCCGUGAAUCGAAGAAUCAAACUAAGGAGUCCAAGGCCGAACCCAGUACCAAACAGAAUCAACCUGGGUACUAUCAACUACAGGACUAAGCCUGAUACUGGUGAGGAACAGCUUGAAAGCACUAACAAUAGGACUGAUACCAACAAAGCCAAGACUUAAGCCAGUGCUCCUCAGACUGAGGCCAGGGAGUUAGGGAAUGAAGCGGCGGAGUGAAAGCCUAAAAGCCCGGGUAGUGAGAAUGAGAGUAGGUAGUGACAGCCUGAAAGCAGGUAUACUCGGAAUGAAAGCAAGGGAAGUGAGACUGAUCUCUGAGACUGAAAGCAAGGGUAGCUAGCAUGGGUACGGAGCCAGAGUCGAGGUUAACACUUAUUAGAGGUUAAGGGUUCGGGGUGAACACUUCUUAGAGGUAGGGUCGGGGCAGAGUUGGAGGGUAAGUUUCCGUUGAAGUGAAGAGUUUUGUCUUGUCCGCUUGGCUCCUACUUGUGAGUGCAAUUCCUUAUCUGUUGCCAGAGUUAGAGGAGAAAGGAUAUAGAUUAGGUAUCGGCUUUGAAUCAGUAGAAAGAGAAUCCGCAGCCUAAGAAGUUCUUGUUUAGGGUUGACUUCACAUAAUAGUAGAAAGGUACUCGAAAGAUUCCAUUCAUUAUUGUUUUUCCUCGGGAGCUAGACUCAGUGCUUACGGGUCAGUGAGGCGCUAACUUAGUUUCAAGGGACUUAUUUGAUUUCCCUUAGUCCAAGAGUUGUCGACGAUAAAAUAAAGAAGCAGUUCGUCUCGAAAAAGAAGGAGCUGAGCUGGAGAAGGGACAAGAUGUUUACCUGGAUAUUGGAUUUCUUCAACUUAAUAAAUGGGGUGGUUCUAGAGAGUUCUGUUACUCGGAUAGUGUAGUUAAGUAGAGUAACGGUGCCUAUGUCCUGUGCCCUUAAGUAAUUGGGAUGCUAAAGUGUCCCCUAGUUCCUGACAGUAUUGAUAAGGGCCUGUGUUCGUUAAGAAAUACCUGUUCGUCGUUGACAGUAUUAAUAGGGCCGCCAAGUCGACAAGUAGAAGUUAUUACAAUUCCUGUUUACAAGUCUCCUUGAGUGCUCCUGCUCCUGGUAGCUGAAAAGCAUGGAAUUUCUUCUUACCUUAACCGAUAACCCAGUAUUUGCUCUGUACUGUACUCUAGAGAACUACUUGAAACUACUAGACAAAGACACUCUCGACAAAGAAUUCAACUAGUUAUCAUAUGUUAUAAACAGAAGAAAGGGGUUGGGUUAGGUAGAGCAGGAGAAGAUGUUAGAUCAAAUAGAUCCCCAUCAGCAACUGCAAGGGGGCGCCAAGUCACUACUCCUACUUAAUAUAAGGGCAACUAAUACAGAUGCAACAGCACUACUACUUGGACUACUACUAGUUGGGGACAAGAACUUAGCUUUCAUUGAUUGUUUCCCACAAGUACCUAAACCAGUUGUCUCUACUGACUUAGCGCCAAUAACUUCCCUUGAAGACCCGCUUACAGCCCUUUGCUUAAAAACAGCUUACCUGCUGGAACUUCACUUGAUACUUGACCUAGAACAGCUUUCCACUUAUGCUCUUUUCACUCUGGCUCAUCUACUUCUCCUCUGGCGAAACAGGCAUUAAAGAAUGAUACUGGCACUGAGGUGCUAAGAGCCUCUCUUACUUCCCGCUUCCAAAUCCCUAUUCUUCUCUUGCAACUGAGACUUGGGAUUAUACUAUCACUCGAACAGGACUGCUGGUGCCUAGUAGGGGUGAACUCAAAGCUAAGAAUUGAGCUAAGUAGUCAAAGAAUGAAUCUAGUAGUAAGCAUCUAGUAUAUGUAUAAGAAUAGGCUAUGUUGCCAGAGGUCGAUGAGCAACCACUUUCUUUGUUUACAGAGGAGAGUAUUUACUAUAAGCUGUGGGCGAGAGGGUAGUUGGAUUAUAAUAAGGGCUUUGUGGGGCAGGGGUAGUUUCAUAUUCCUUUACUAACUGGAUUCUGUUUCUGGCUUUCCUACUUGCCUACUUCUCUAGUAUUGGUAUAAAUUCCCCGAUGAGAUCAGAUCUAAUACCUUAUCUUAUGUACGGGAGCCAGCUGCUUGUUUCAAGAAGUAGUAGUUGAUUGGCUUGGCUCCGUUACAUACUAGUUAGGCUGGUGGACUGACUUGGUAGGGUAGUUUGUCUAGUUUAAAGGUAUUAAUUCUCAGAAGGUAGUGCAUAAGGUAUUAAUAGAAGGUAGUUUCUAAGGCGAACACUGGACUUGUACUAGACUUACUCUUGAACUCAGAACUCCUAACUCAGGUAUUUAAUAGAACAACUAAACCUCUACUCCGUUUACUUGGAAAACUGUUCCGGUUUGUUUCUCUUUUGACUUAAGUAAGCUGUUAGAGCAGAGCCUUUAGCAAGUAGUAGUACUGUUUCAAAAGGGCAUAUAAGUGGAAGUAGAGUUGUUGGUGAAUACCGGUAGUACUUGUUACUUCUAGUAGUAGUAAGUAGUACAUUUGCAUCUGUCUUUGUUAGAGCUACUAAAGAGAAGUGUCUUUUGUUUGGUGCUUCUGAAAAGAGAGUGUCAGAGUUCAUUCUGUAUUUGAAGCCUGAGUUAGCUAGAGAUGAGCAAGAAGUAGAGGAGCCAUCCAGAGUUAUGAAAAGGUAGAUGAGCCAUAACUUGAUGAGUUUACAGAGCCAGAUUAUAGCCAUAACUUGAUGAGUUUACAGAGCCAGAUCAGAGCAGAGGUUGGCAAGAAAAGAAAGAGAGUCCUCGGGUUUUCAUUACAAUUCCUGUUAGUGCAGAGGGUAUACUACUGAGUGACAUUCUCACUUGACCUACUGAGUGGAAUUCCUACUAUCGAGCACCCGGCUUAUUAAGUUGUUCCUACUCAAGUUAUUGUUCUAAAGUCAGCAGCUGCUGUAAGUUUCUGUUCUGGUUUGUCGAGCGUGAGUUGAAGCUCUUAUAGGAAGUUUAGGCCUUGGCCCUUAGUGACUUGGCCCAGUUACUUGUGUCUUCUUGUCUACUUGCUUAGUUGCUUGGCUCAUAUACUUACUUGUUCAGUAGCUUGCCCGUUAGUAGUUUACUUGGCGAGUGUCUUGGCAGUUUUGAUUAUAGUAGUUGUGCUUGAGUGUCUUGGAUGUUGCUAGAGGUAGAUUAGACUGUAGGUCAGUUAUUCUUAUUGGAAUACCGGGUAGUAAAGUUUCAUCAGUAGUUGUUAGUUUACAGAGGCAUCGGAGCCAGAGAGGAGGAGUAGUGAGUUUACUUAACACCUUAGGAAUUGAUAAACAAAGACGAAAAACAGAAUGACAUUGCUCCUUGCUCGGCCCAUAAUAAAUAAGAUAUUCUACUUAAUAUAGGAAAACACUUAAGAAAGGAGAGUUACUAGUGGAAAGGUUCAGUUGGGACUGGUUGCAUUCUUUUAGUCGAUAGAAGAGGUCCAUUAAUGGAAGGGCUGGACUACUCGUAUACUAGUUUGGGAUGAAACAGCACUACUCUACUACUAUACUACUUGUUUGGGCAGUUAACCAGGGCUACUACUAUAGCAUCGGGGAAUUCAAACCAAAACUACUACUUGCCCACUUCCACUCAAAGCAAAGAGCCAACUACUCGUAUACUAGUUUGGGAUUCAACAAAGUAUUCCCACUCGCCAAGCUACUACGGAAGGGCAGCGGAACGAUGGCUCAAGAAUCGACCCGUAUACUAGCAACCCAUAUACUUAAAGAGUCAACCCAGCUUCAAAGCCUUUAUCUUCUUCUUUCCCUGAACAGCUAGCCAGUACUAUAUUCUUUACCAGAGCUAGACUUUACUCUAACUCAGAACUAUACUUCACUCGCAUAAGAAGUUUCAUACCGAGGAGAAGCCUAAGUGAAGUCCCAUACUAUUUCUACAUUUGCUAUCAGGCAAACAACUACUAUACAAGUAACUACGUAAGGACAAGACACUACUAAUGACCAAGCCUCGUUAGGCGCGGUAGCGAGCUAAAAGAGCGUUAGCGAGUCCGGGGCCUGACUAGUUCAAUUAUCAGUGGCACUGACUUAAGGCUUACUACUAACUAGUGGAAUUCUUGGACUUACUAGAGAGAAAGAGAACCCGGCUUGGCACUGCUUCCAUUCCUUGACUUACUGGUUGAAUUCUCUGUCUUAUAUGAGUGAAAUUCUGAGCUUUGAGUUGAGGCCCUUAUAAGUCAUUCGCUAGGUAAGUGAGUUCAACUAGUCUAGAUGCGGAGUGGGAAGAGCUCCCCCAAACUUUACUCGGUAAUAACUUGUUAUGCCCCCUUAUUAGUGGCUACCGCCGAACACAGCACUUGGUCUAACGUAGUUGCUUGCCGGGCUAUAAAGAGUGAAAGAAACGAUCUAAACACAUGUCUUUCGGCUAUUAUUACUAUGGCUUAAAUAUCAUAUCAUCUCCAAUCCAAACCUAGCCUCACUCUAACUAAAGCGCUUUUGUCACCGGAAAAGAGCAAAACGAGAGAGUACAAGACAGAGACGCAAGCUAGGACAGAGCGAUCCACCCUUUAUCCACUAGGACGGGACCAUAGGCGAGACCAGGUACUACUAUUAUCGGGUAUAGUUACAUGGAGAAAAGGAAGCAGUUACCAGAGGAGGCUAUGUCAUAGUUUCCAGUGAUUGCUUCUAAGAAUAAAUAAGAUCAUAAGGAAUUUGAACGACUCUACUGCUUCUCCUACUUUCAUUCAAUUCAUAAGUAAGAUACAUCGUACUAGGAACUCGGGCUCAAACAAAUAAGUAUAGGACUCGCACUACGAAACAGUAAAUAAGUAAUUGAACACAUAAGGACCUAAUUCAAAAGAAGAUAAUAGAACAACCAUAGCAGCUUCAAUGUCCUAUAAUGGGUUUGGUUUUGAUGUUCCCUGCAUGGUGUAUCUGCCCUAAUAAUCCUUUCGAGCAUGAGGUAUCUGCCCUAAUCCUGCCCUACUGCUGGGCACCCGACUAUAGCUCGACAAGCAACUUAGUAAGUUACUAUAUACUAAUAUGGAAUCAAAACACCCAGUAAUAACAUAAAUGAAAAGAAUAGGGAGCUGUAGACUACUAGAACUGAGCCCAGGCGUAAUAGAAUGAAAGCAACAACCCAAAGAAUAGAAAUGGGCGCCCAUAAGCCUAUCUUUUCUGUCCCCCGUUCUCCAACAAAUGACCUCAACCCUGUCUUUUUCACCUCAACAACUAGUGUGGUUUGUGAGCCUGCCUUUUCAACUGAAGCUAUUGAUCUCAAUUCCAUAUCUAUUUAUUGAAACUAAUACUCCUUUUAUUGAAACAAAUACUCCUUUUAGUUAGCCUGUCGCUUACUCGCUUCAAAUCUCUGAUAUUAAUUAAUGUCAACAAGGAUCGAACACUGCCUUAUCUUAUUCGAUUGUACUAGGGAACACAAGAACUAAACAAGCAACUUGUACUUUCGCUCCUUCUUUCUCAUUCUCUGUGUAUAGAAAGAAAUGCUUCUGAAUGGAAGUUACCCACUGGACAUCUAUCAAAUCAGGCACGAUAAGAAUGCAGAAUCAGCUCCGUGUGCUCUUAAGAAGGUCUGGCUGCUGCAAAAUCUUUCGAAGCGCAAGAGAGGGGCGGGUACUUUUCAAUGACAUUGAUGCACCCUUAUACAACCAAUAGAGAAUUCCAUCAUUAUAUCUCUCUCUGGCUGGCAGUCGCACAAAAGAGUAGGGCUCCGGUCAGGUCCACAGGUGUUUCAUCUUGCAAAUCACUUGACUUACAUACUAAACUCAGAGAAUCCGAAUGAACAGGGACACCAGCAGAAGCAAAAACCACCAGCCUUUCCUCUCGUCUUGCUAGAGAAGCAAAAACCACCAGCCUUUCCUCUCGUCUUGCUAUAAGUUCGUUGCUUACCCUUGCUUUAAUAGAGUAAUUACAGACUGAUUGAACAGCGGAACCCCCACUCUUAUUAUAACAACCACUUAUGAAUCUUUGGCAUAACAUCACUCUUCUCCCAGGCACUAUCCCUUGGCAUAACAUCACUCUUCUCCCAGGAACUAUCCCUUAGGGUGCUUUCCUGGUGUCACUCUCCUCGGUCGAUAUUUUCCAGUCUUUGAUGGUUCCUUCUUCGAACACUUUUGGCAUUAGGCUCAGCUGAAUGGUUCCUUCAUCGGAGAUCCUGAAUAGUUCCUUCCCAGACAGAUCCGGUGGUCUAGUAUUUACAUCUUAGCAAGUGUCUUCUCUUUCCUUCUCACUGAAAAACAAUCCAAUGGCGAUACUGCCUUGUCGAAAUGGGAGGGUGGUGAGAUAGAAUGCCUUACUAUCGGUUCUGGUGCGAGUGGGUCAUCGGGUAAAACAUCUCUGGUAUGGGCAAAAGGGAAAGUAGCUUGGGACUAGGCUAGGGUUUUCAUGACCGGAAUAGAUAAGGAAGCAUAUACAUAGUUCCCUCUCUAAACUUGAAGUCACUAUAGUUCCAUUUCCCUGUAUGUCGAUUCUAUUCAUUUCUUUUCCAUUUCCCUGUAUGUCGAUUCUAUUCAUUUCUUUAAUUACAGCGCAUGUUUCGUUCGGCUGAUUGCUUCGAUGGGAUAUGUUGGGUGUCCCUAUAGUGCCCGGAGCGGGGCGUGGUCAAGCGGGGGUAGAAGAGGUCGAGCAUCCACUCCUAACUUCGUGGGCACAUCGCAUAGUUCCUACUUUCCAUUCCUUUAUGACUUCCCUGGGUUACCCGCCAGAGAUAUGGGGAAUUCCACCAGCGGGUCAACGAUGGGCGAGAUACAAGCUUAUUCAGGAGUGGUUAGGCUUUCGUCCCUUUGUCUCUAAGGAAAUGCCUAAUUUCUUCCAAUUCCAAAUACAAAUCAUCAAUAUCUUCUCUUGCUCUCUUUCUUCCUAAUUCCAAUUCCAAAUACAAAUCAUCAAUAUCUUCUCUUGCUCUCUUUCUUCCUAACUUAAUAAAUAAGAAGACACUUUUCUCUCUUGUUUUCUUUAUAUAUCCACUCUGUCACUGUUCAUUUAUCCAUGCAAGGUCUGGUCUCUCUCUACUUAGGCACAGGUAUAAAUCAAGUGGGAUCUGUAUGAUUCUUCCCCAUAUAUCACAUUUCCUUCAAUCUGACCUUCUUCCUUUCCGUUUUGCCGGCCCACUGCGAUGCGAGGUUACUUCAUUCUAUAAUGGGAGAGCACAACAUUCCAUAAGUACAACCUAUCUAUUCAAACAGGAUUGGAUGUUAUCACCCGCAUAAGACCAGAGAAUCAUGUCUCGCACUGAGAGCGAACGAAAGCACUCUGGAAUGCAUUCUCUUGCUUCACUCUAAGGGCAGCAAGGUGGGUCCGCUUAGAACUCUUCCUAUUGGGCUCCUGCCGCCACGAGUCAAAGAAAGGACUUGUAGUGACUUUUCUAGUAGUUUCUAAGUAGUUGCUUCGCUUUACCUAUCACUUUGGAGUUUGUUCUGUCGUAUAUUCUACCGCUUCUGGAAUGGACUAGUCUGGGUUCGGAAGAAUCAAUCUAUAUAGAAAGAAUAAAUCGAUAUAGAUUCAAUAGUCCAAGCUUUAGGCAAUAAUGUUUGACUUUUGGAAGAAACCCUGACCAGACUAUACUAAAAGAACGUAGGCAUAUGAACCGAAAUAGAAUACCAGUUUGACGUCUUUGAGACGCUCCUUUCCUUUGCACUCAAUCUAGAUUCUUCCCCAAAAACACACGGUAAGGCUAUAGGAUAGGAUGGAAUUAUUCGAAAGUACUGGGACCACUAUCGAUCGACUCCACGAGCACUACUCCUUUCUCUUGGCUCUCCCCUCUAUCUCUCUCUAAAGUUUGUCUUGGCUCUCCCCUCUAUCUCUCUCUAAUGACUGGAAUCAAUCCCCUCUAUCUCUCUAUCUCUAUAAGUGGGUUCAAAGGCUUCUUCCUCUCCGUCUGUCUUUCCUGAGCUGUCUUCAUAACAUCAUUCCGACUCGAACUUAGAGUUCCUACUUAUGUACUGCAACCAAAGGAUAGGCUUGCUUCUUCGAUCUUCCCUCACACAACAUUCUUUUGCAGAAAGUCAUCCCGUUGACCUCCUUCAAAAAGAGCAGAACCCUCCUCAACGAUUGAUUCAAAAGUAUACUAAGCUAUAAGGUCAAGAGUCUACGAAUUAUCUCGAAACAGGCUUUCACACUCCUUUCUCUAGGCUUUCACACUCUCUCUCUAUAUCACACUCUCUCUCUAUAGAAAAAUCCGGAUUGACUUGCUUAUGGAAGAUCACGAGAUAAAGCCUUGCAAAGUCAACCUUGGCCUCUACUUUCAAAGGAGCUAGGCACCAGAAACUCGAAAGAAAGAGGAUUACGGAUUCUAUCUAUCUAAUCCGAACGAGAAAUCCGUAUUUACUCGACCCUCCACCCAGAAAGUCACUCUCUUAUCAGCCUAAAGACUUGGAAAGGUAUUUGACUUUGGUGCCUGAAAGAGUGGAUUCUACGACGAGACCAAAACCACUAGGCUAGCGUGCCCGGGCUACCUUCUCCGUUUGGCUUGCUUUCUCGGUAUCUCUAGUUAAAGUAGAUCCCGCCAAGACGAAAGAUGAAUCAAGUAUGAAUUCGUAAUUCGUUACAAUCAGUCCCGAUCGCAUUAGCACUUAGGAACAACCAAAAGCCAUGAACACAACUCAUACGUUAGCGCUUAAUUAGUGAGCGGAACGGGAGUUUGCCCCCUCCGUACCGUCAUAUCUUCUAGCUGAUAUGAUCCAGCUUCACUUCUAGCUGAUAUGAUCCAGCUUCAAAUAAAGCUUCUAAUAAGGCUUCUUAUCCUUCUUUACCGUGUGUUCUAUCAGAUCCCUCUUUACCUGACCGCUAUAGAUGAUAUUGGAUAGCCAAAAACAGGACCAAAAGUACUAAGUGGAGAGAGAGGGAGAGGUGAUUCUUCAUGAUAGAAAUGCGUAACCAACCAUAGCAGCAUAGUUUUGCGUAACCAACCAUAGCAGCAUAGUUUUCAUCACGAAUAGAGGCACCCCGAAGUAAGCUCCCCGCUCUGCCACUGGAAACACUAGACACUUUUCCCGUCCCUAAUGCGCACUGAGUCUUGUGCCUCGCAACAAAGAAUAGAUUAUAGGCCUCGCAAACUGUAAUGGAAUAUCUCUCUUCUUAUUGAGCACUAGGUAUAGAAUAAAGUGACCCAACUGCUUCCUAACCAGCUUAUGCUUAAGAUCCAGUUGCCAAUGCUCUUACAGCAUCUUUCUCUGGUCGAUUCCACUUUCCUUGCUACUUACUUUCUUUCGAACUACACUUAAAGAACUAAUUGAUGGUUCAUCUGAUCUGGUCGACUUAACAAGAACAUCAAUCUAUGAUCUUAUAGAUUAACCUGGCACAUUCCAUUCUAUUCCUUCUUGACUUUCCUGGCGGAGGCCCCUUUCAACAAGUAACGGUGCAACAACAAGUUAGUCACCCGUCUUUGAAACUCACUCGGACCCUACCCCCUUAUUAGUAGUAGGCGAAUAGUCACCCUAUUUGUAUGCGAUGCGCAUCCACACGACGGACACGUUCCAAGAUCUCCCGCAACGAGAACCUAACACACACAUGGUUUAUUGAUAGUAAGCUGAUUAAAUAAAUGGAUCAUAGGUUGGUCUAAUAUUGAGUUCCGCCCUGACUCUAAUAUCUUUCUACGUGUUCAGUUCACGCGCUACUAAGCCACACACAGGAUCUUAGACAGGUUUCGUCCCCUUUCCUUUCGGGAACACCUUAUUACAAGUAGGGUAGUGGGGGCAAAGCAAAGCCUGAUGCUUAUAUACCGACAAAAUCAGAUAUCUAUGGUCGAUUCGUAGAAGAGUGGAUUCGCCCUUUAUGUUAUGGCUCGCAACACGCUCCGUAGCGCUUAGUAACUCGCUCGUAUAGGGUAAAGUAUUUUCUGAAAGUUGAGUGAACCUUAGGGCUUUCAGAAUUUCAUCUAGCGUUCCUAGUAAUAGAAUGGAGUAAACAAACUAUAUAACCUCAAUGCUUGUUUCAACCCCUUACCACUGCUUAAAGCUAUGACCUUAACCCACGUAGCGGUAGCUUACAUCUUACUGCGGACUUUUUGCUUUAAUCACUCGUAUCGGCAUCCGAACCCUAUACAAAUGACUAACUAAAGGUGGAGGCAGAGGCUGAGGGUUCCUAGAAAGAUGAGUAACCUGACUCGGGAACAAGACUCAAUGCUAACCUAAUUCUAGUACGGGAGCAGCUCAAUCCCUAUUUUUGGAUGCUUAUCAGUCAUAAAUUCAUGAAUAAGUUGACUCGGCGCAACAAGAAGGAUUACAGGUUGGUUUACUUGCGAGUUAGGGAACGGAGUUUAGAGUUAACAGGGUAGGUGAGCAGCUUUAUAACAUUCCUUUGCUAUAGGCGGGUGAGAGAGAUGAGGCAAUUAGAGAAUCAACUGUAUAAGGGAAUAGAUAGAGUCCUUCCUUUGAUGGUUCAAUACCUUUCUCUGGGCCAAGCACCCGAUUACAGAAAACAAACUUACGGAAUCUUUUCUCACUGCCAACCAUUUGGUGGUAAAGUCAAAACCCAUUUCCCUUAUACUGUAUUAUUGUCUAAACCAGAAAGAAUAGAUUGGAAGUUACUGUAGUAUAGAGCAGGUGCACUCCACAAGCAAACAAGUGGAACUUCUAACUCGCUGACGUUGAGCCCUGCGUUAGAGAAUCCAAGUGGCUUGUUCCCCCAGAGUAAGUAGUGAAGAAGCUUAGGAAGAAGAAUAGAAGCAAGGCAAUAAAAGAAGUCAAGUACAACACGUAUAGGGUGUGAGGCUGAGGCUGCCAAUAAAGAAAGAUGAUUAUGUGGGAAGAGACAAAGAAGCAAAAAGGAAUAAGUUAAGCAAAGCUGUUUCUUUAAAUAAAGAAGUCAUAGGUGGGUUAAGAGCCAGUUGUAAGAUGGUGAGGUGUUGUUUCAUCUAUAUUAGGGUGUAGCCCCAAUGCUUUCUUCUUACUCUUUCUUCUGACUAGAUUCCUUAUUAGGAAGGCGCUAGAUUCCAUUAAGUAUUGGCUAAGGGAACAAGAGGUUGUCCUGAGUUCAGAGUUCGAACGAGCAAAGCAAAUGCGUUAGUGAGCCACUUUCUCGGGGUUUCAAAUCUUUAUUUUCCACCCUUAACGUCAAGCAAGCUGUAAAACCCAUCUUUCUCGGCAACAGACCUCUAUCUCUCUCUGCUCAACUCAUCUUAUGGCUAAUCUAAGCUAAAAACGCUUAUUCUCUCAGUAAGUUUCGGGCACCGCGACCACGUAAAGGGGCUUGUAGAGAAUACUUGAAAACCGUCGUUUAAUCUAUGUUCAACUCCUCUUUAUGGUAAUCUAUCAUUUCUGCCCUGACCCACUGCUUUUCAUUCAUUUUGGAUUAAUAACAACGACGACAGCCCUAGUUGCUUCGCCCCUUGCCUUGACUGUACCCGCUCCUAAUACUUAAUCUCUCUAUUAUUUGAAAACGAUUAAUCUCUCUAGUAUUUGAAAACUCUUAUAGUAGUUGCUAAGUAGUUGCUCGGCCCGUUGCUUGUUCCCCUGCUUGUUGCAUUUCAUUUAGCUAUCCUAGUAAAGAAUAACCUAAGCUCACUACUCACUACUCACUGCUCACUACUCACUGCUCACUGCUGACAUCUUACAUGAAGUAACAAAACAGCUUGUUGAAAGAGAGCUUUUUAUUGCUGGCUCUAAGGAAUAGGCACAUAUACACUAAUAUAAGAAAGUCAACAACCUGCGGACAUCUGACUGCAGGCUCUGCUCUACCUAACACUAAACUAGAAAGAAAGAGAAUUGAAGAUACCGGUUCACUAUAUAUAAAAUGUAACAAACAGUCUUGCUUCGAACAAGUAAGGUUCCGUUGCGCUUGGUGAGUAGAGUUCACCGUUGUUAAGAGUUCUCUAUUCGUAUUGAGGCACAGUUAGUUCAGAUAUUAUUGACCGGCACCCAAUACUAUGAAAUAAGAAAUAGAUUGAAGCCAAUACUAUGAAAUAAGAAAUAGAUUGAAGUUCAAAAGAAUAUAGGUAGGAUGGUUCACAACUAUGCAAAAGAAUAUGGGAAGACGUUGCACUUAAAGGACAGAGAGGAACCAACCCCGAGUUGCUUGUGAAAAAGCUGUUGUUUGCUGCUUACUUGUUUUAGUUACCGCGAAUUGAAGGAAUUCUUAUUAAGAUAAGUCACUUAUUCUAUAGUAACCGAACCUUACUGCUUACUCUGAGGCGGAGGUACCCCGAGCCGAGUUGCUUUAAGAAUUGAGGCAAGGCAGUCGAGGAACCUACUCCCUUUUCUAAUAGUUUGGUUUAGGCCAUUCCAAAAACGAAUCCGACUCUCCCCCCUGCCCCCUUGGGCUGGCUCUUUUCUUCCUUAUUUUGAUCUAGUUUGUGUGUAGUGCGCGUGGUAAGGUGCUUUUUCUGUCUGUGGAGCCGCACUCACUUCCGGGGAUUUCCUCUUCGCAGUCGCUCGAGCUGCCCUCCGGGGAUUUCUUCUUCGCAGUCGCUCGAGCUGCCCGAAGUCACCCUUUCUUGCCACCGGUUCGGCACCCACUAGUAGGCGUUUCCCUAAGGUAUUCCCCAGCACGGCUUAUGCGGAUCUCUCUCUCUACUACCAGGGAACAGGUUCUAAUCCCCAAAGACUCCCCUCCGUCCAAACAAUAGGGCGCUAAGGCAUAAUCUCUCUUUCCUUUCGAUAAGUAAGCAAUGGAUUCAUCUGCGCUCUCGAGCUAUAACAAGGAUUUCCUGGAUAUAACCGAUCUUAUUAUUCCGUUCAUGAAGUGGAGUGGGACCUGUUAUCUCUUCUUAUGGAGUGGAACCCGUUAUCUCCUCUUAUCUAAAAGAUAUUAAAGCUUACAAUCCAGAUAUGAGACUAGGAAUACCUGCACAUCUCCGAUCGUAGAUCAAAUCAGGAAUAUUUCUUUUGCCGGGUCGUUUACUAGACAUAAAAUAGAAGGCUCUGACAAGACCUAAGGUUGCUUGCCUGUGACACUAACCUAGGGGCCGAGCCCAGCCUCAUGUGCUGAUAUAGUUUUCUACUUUAUAGAAUGGCCUCCUUUAUUGAGAAUCCUGACCAACCAUCCCUGUCAUAUGAAGCUCUCUUCUCGGUCUUUUUAGAAGGUGAGGAAGAAUCCUAAACUCCUAUGAAAGAAAUUCGAAUAUGUAAUAUAUUGUAGAGGAGAGUGCAGCAGUAAUAUAUUGUAGAGGAGAGUGCAGCGUCCGGAAGGCUUUCAAUCAUGCUUAUAAGAAGCUAGAGCUUUCCGUUAUGAAGCUAUUGUUUGUGAAUCUCCAUCCCGAAGAUCUUUACUUGAUUUCCACUAUUAAGAAAGCGAAAUGACCCUCAUUCAGUUGAAAAGUCCUGUGAAAGACUAAAGAAAUUCAUAUAAAGUAGGCUACUAUACGUACACGAAUCUAAAGGCAUCGAUUUUCACCAAAGUUAAGGAAAACUAUCAUCGCACCGAAAAAGUAGCCUUCGCUUACGUAAGCCUUUGCUGGCUUUAUGCUUGCUUACCCUAGAAAGACAUCUUUCCCUAACCACCUUAACUAGCCCGCUGGAUUUCUCACUUGAUCAGUCACUUUAUGUCUCACAGGGGAUAACAGUUGGGACUAGGUCCAAAAAGGAUAUCUAAAGAAUUUCCACCCUUAGACAAUGGGCUCGCUUAGACUUAGAAAAGGCCCCUUACAACAAACUUGCCCAGAGAAAGCCUACUAUAAGCUUACAUAAUCACCUACUCUCUAGUCGGAUGUUGCAUAUGUUGUAUAGUUGAUUUAUAGAAUAUGGGAUUUGAUGAACGGGACUGUAUGGGCGUACCCUGGGCCUGCUACAACUCUCACCGGUAUUCAAACCAGGCGACUACUAGACAAGGGGAUUGAGCUCUGUUUAAUAGAUGUUGGUAACUUGACCCACCGAGUACUCUAAAGUUAGCAAGGCAUCGCAGCUGACGCUGCCCUCGCAUCAAAGCAACAGAAUCAUUAGCUACUACUAGGUAUUAUGAUAGAAGUCUGAAAGUCAUAAUCUAGCUUUGAAGGGCAUAAACCUAAUAAGAGGCUGGAGCCAUGUAUCCAAAUUGAUGCUUUCGUCUGGCCGCUACCGCUCUUAUUGCAAAGCUUCUUCUCUGGAAACGGAAACUACACUUGCUGAUUCUUCACCGACAGAUGAAACUAGAACGGAGCUAUCCUUUCCUUCCCGUGCUUGCUGCUGGACUUUAGCCUUGAAAGCAUUUGAGUUUACUCUUUACUUAUUUCUAUUAAUGUCACAAGCUAUAUUCUUUUCUGGCUGGGCUAAGCGCAUUCUUCUUCUUGUCUUGUCCGACCUAUACUUUCCGUUAUGAAUGGAAAUUGAGAAUAUAUCUCUUGCACCAGGAGCCCGGGACUACUUCAUUGAAUCUAGCUGCGCCCUUCGCACUACUUCAUUGAAUCUCUCUUUCACAUGGUAUAUAAGAAAGUCCAGUCAAGUCGAACAGGCAAUUCGAGUCGAUAUGAUGAAAGUAGAACUUCGCAUUCCGAGCCAUCAGCAUUACUAACUAUUGAUGAAGAAUGUCUUUCUUAGUAUUUUCAGUCUGAGUCUCCCAACCAACCGUCUUAGCAGGCAGGGCAUCAGUGAAUUCAUCCUCCUUGGACUUUCCCUCCUACAAGAUAGUGGCAGGCUACUAUGGCUUAUGGCGCCUUAUCUACACAGCUUCACCCUGGUUAGAAUAUAUGAACAGCAGAUCCAGAAUGAAAUAGAUCAACUUGACUUCUUUCUCUUUACUCCUGGGAGAGUCCAGUCCGUCCGCCUCCAAGUUUGUAGCCAGAUGGCAAAGAGGAAAUGCUUUAGUAAGGGGAGUUCGUGAAACGCGGGGCUUCAUUUCGAACUUAGAAAUCCAAUCCAAGAUCCGGAAUUGUAUAGGAUCGAUAUCAAUUAGUCUCGUGCCAAGUAUGAACAACUCCUUAGGGAAGAAGAACGGAGGUGCUGAAAGCCUCCCACUUCGUACUUACUAUCAGGAUCCUAACGUAGAAGCGGAUCUGGAUGUUUACUUGUCUGACUCUGACUGUGAGGCCAUUGAUAUCAACGUGGCAGAACUUAUUGCUGGAAAGCCUUAGACAUGCAAGGCUUUGACCAAACCGGACUCGAAGUCAUCGUACAGAGGAGUAUGAAUUUCAAGCAUGCAGCUCCCCUAAAAGAAAAGGACUCCUUUGACAUCACAUAAGCAGAUGAUAUCUUUGAUCAACUCUAUCAGGACAAACAAUGGCCAAGGACACCCGGAGAUCUAAGAUCCAAAAUCCGGAAAGUGGCACAACACCAGGAGACAGAAUACGUUAGUGUUGUUUGUUUUUCUCGUAAUGUGAUCCAGGAUGCAAUCGAGAAAGUCCGGCUCAGGUUCCCAGGCAAGCAGAAGGAUGUGUGAUAUAUAGGUGGAUCAGUAUCCAUUUCCUGAGACCAUGCCGGUUAACAUGUUGACUCCGAAGUUAAUGAGGGUAUUGGACACGUCAUCUGAAGAGCCGAAAAACACUAGUGCUUGUAACUGAAAGACUAGUGCUUGUAACUGAUUGAGCAAGUCCAAGGAAAGGAGCCAAUACAGGGAUAUAAAAAGAGUCUAGUACUUUGUGCUCGCUGCCACGCUGAAUGACAAGGGAGUGAACAGAGCAACCCGACCGCUCCCUCAGGGGAAAAGGGUUGAGAAGCCACGGCACGGUACCCCGCUACAAGUAUAGGAUGUCAAGAUUCCCCCCCAGGAGAAAAACGAAUCCAAAGGGUGGGAGCAUACCUGUGACAGCAAGUGAUCAGAAAGGAGUGACCUUCAACCUCCCGGCAAACGUGGUUCAAAUGAUGAUGAGUCAAGCUCCGUUCAGAGGUAACCCCAAUUUCAUGCUACCAAAUACUCCAGUGGCUCAAUGGUAUGAGCACAGACCCAGAAAUGCUCCUAACCGUUCCGAAAGAAGUUCCUAUGGAUCAAAUGAAACGGAGUAAGAAGUUGUGCUAAAGUUGUUACUAGUCCUGUGUUCGCUGUCGCGGCAGGGAGUUAAGGCGCGUUAGUGUUAUUCCGACUGCUGGGGCACAGUCUGAGCCUACUUAGUGUCAUUCCGAACCUACCCGGCAUCAGGCUCGGAAGCAUGGGUUUGAGCCUCAGUAGCACAAGUAUCAGGCUUGGAUUCACUGGUUGGUGUCCGAGUAGCCCUGGUACACAGGACACAGAAAUAGUAUACUCAUCGUCAACACCCGACCUAGACCUUACUUUGACGGUUAUGGCUCUUAACUACUCCACUACUCGGUUAAGCCUUAUUGUCUCCCAAUAGGGAAGGGAUUCCACUUUCAGUCAAACACCUGACCUAUCUACCACUACUAAUCAGAAUAAGGGAUCUAAUAACUGGGCCAAGCGUAUACUAUUGGACUGGAACCCGACUGACUACUUAAAGAAUCAACCCUGCAACAAAGCCUCGAACAGAAGAACCUAUAUCUCCACCACUACAAAUACAGAAGUAAACCAGCCGACCCGCGCCUAGCCUCAAAAGUCAGUAAACAAGCCCGACCCCUAGUAACUUCUUGAAACAACUACUCUAACAAGCAAGUCAGUAAACUACCCUCGCAUCAAACCGACCCAAACUUGUAUGUAAACUACCUUCGCCUCAAAGCAAGUACUCUCUGGCUCCGAUACCGUAGUCAUCCGAUACCGUAGUCAACUAAUAACGGAAUGAGGCUCAUCUAACUAGGGCUACUAUAAACAUCCUCUGACUCAUCUACCUAUGGUAACUCCACCUCUACUCCUCUUGCGGAUUAUAAUAAGGGUGCAAUUCUGUAACUCCCGCUGACGAGUUCAAUUCAGUAAUUCCUACUUCUGAGGUUGUCUCUUACUUCCGACUUCCUCGAAUAGUCUCUUUUCACUCAGGCUCCUUUGCCCACUUCUCCUCUUGCCCAAACUAACUCGUAUACCCUUAACGAAACUUCAAGUCAAGCCUUAUUGUCUCCCCAUAGGGAUGAAACUCGGGAUUCACCAACAACAAGAAAAGCACUCGAGCUGGAACAGGCAAUUAUCCACUACAACACUAAACAAUAAAAGUACUGGCAACCGACACAAGAACAUAAAUCCACUUUACUUACUGACUUUUGAAGAGUGGGGAAAUCGACUGGAAACACAGAAUUCCUACAGUAAGUCCAACUCUUGUACCUCCGCACCCACACACCUGACCCGAGCUACCUAGCAUCAAUCCAGAUACCCUUGCUUUCAGGCCGAGCCUACCUGGUUGAAGUCUUAAACUACAUAGCUGAAGUCCGAGAGAACAGUAGUCCAUUCUCUAACUACCCAGCUGCAGCCUCUAAUUCCAUGGCAUCAGUCCGGGGCCCACUAGCUCACCUCUCCUUGGACUCCUACUGGCUAGCUCCACUCACUGACUCUCCACUUAAGCCUGUAACUACUGAUUGUUAGGCUUACUACCCUUACUUUCAGGCUUGACCGCUUAUUAGUAGUGGUUGCAUUCUUACACUCUUCAUUCCAUUACUAGCACUCUUCAUUCCAUUACUAGACCAGUGGAGGACAGCAUAUCAGUAUGUUACUCCCUUGGUUCAUUCUAACUUGCCAACUAGCUCAACCUCGUUGCAUUCUUAGCCUUUAUCUUACAGUUGGAUUCACCAAUCCCUCACUCGUCCCAUUCUUUGACUCACUGGUGGAAUUCUGUAAUUGACUACUUUUAUUCUUCUAUAUAUUGGUUGUAGUCUUAGAUACACCGGUUGAAGACAGAUACCCUAGCUACCCAGCAGCAGUGGUGGAAUUCUAUCCCUCCGAACAAGCCCCACGACUAGCUGACCAACCAAUACAAGUAAUACCUAGCAUCCGAACAAAGGACUUUCACACGAAACUAGGGAUGACACUCACACUCGACAAACAAGAACAUACCCGACAGCAGCUUACUUGCAAUAUUCCUAUUCAGAAGCACUGGAUUCAGCUUCCUCGCCUCUCCUCUGUCUCUUAUCCGAUACCGUAGUUAACAAAUACAGUUAGGGCUCUGGACUACAAUACUGGUUGGGGCAAUUGACUUGAAUAGCUUCCCGAGCCUAUAAGUCAAAGAGACAAAGAGGCCCUGAGGAAUGUAACUGCCAACUAUCAAACUCAUGAUCGGGGGAGCUCCUGUCGCUAGUGCCCCUUAUAUAUCUGCGAGUAAAUUGGCUUACUUGUAGUUGCUGAUCUACCAGUUGCUUCUGCUGACUUGAGAACUGAGCUUGACCCUUCCCUUACCAGUAAACCUCCUUACGCUACUCCUACUAGUUUGGGAUUAAACUCUUCCUCUCACUGGCACCGAGUCCAACCCUAUUCUGAUGGACAGCUACUGACAGGACUACUACUUAGUUAGUAAGGAUUAUCAGAGUGGGAAUGGGAAGUUGGGGGACUGGUUUCAUUCUGACUUUCGAACAGGACCUUAUAGUAAUUUGGUGCGAGCAGAAGUAAAGUAUCUUGUCUGUUAAUGACUUAUUCCUAGUUGUGAGGUCAAUUCUGAGUGGCAUUGGUUCAAGUCUGUAACUCCCUUGUUGAAGUCUUUGACGAUUGUGGGAGUAUUCUUAGUCUGCUGAUGGGCUAGUUCAUUCUUAGACUGCUUAGGGACAUUCUGUGAUUGACGGGGUUAAGUCCGAGUCUACCCGGUUUGAUUCUUAUAUUAACAAAGGAGCUGCUUUCUCAUCUCCCUCGACUUCUGGCUCUUCUCUUGUAACUACUGAUUAUCUGGUCGACCUCUGUUAUUUAUUACUUUAUGAGCUUCCUCUCCUCGCCUCAAAGCCAGUAAGAUAGUCUGCCCCGACCUCUAAUAAGUGUUAACACCGAACCGACCUCCAAUAGACCCGAGCUCUGUAAUCUAAUUCUUAUUGAAAGAGCUAUACCUCUGUUGAUGAUCGGUAGGCUUACCACUAACUAAUUGGUUGCAUUCUUAAAUUAGUCAGCUCUGUUCUAUCCCUUAACUACCCCAACAAGAGGCGCCCCACACCCCACAAAGUCAGUAAACUAGAACUUACAAUAAGGGCCCCUAGUAACUUCUUUCCACAAGCCAAUCACCUACAGAUGAAACCCGGGUUUGAUAGCAAAGAGCUGGAUCAAGGAGCUAAAGUCUUAUAUUCUCGUUUUUAUUAGCCUUGUUAAUGGUGAUUUGGAUUCUGUUUUCUUAUAUUAAUGUUCAAAAGAAAGUCUCUUCGUUGUUGCAGCUAAGCUACGAGGAGUGAGGGCCAAGCAACUACUACAGCGGCAGGCUGCUCCUGUUCUGUUAUGAGCAAGUAAAGUUUUCGUCGACUUUUCUUAUUUAUUUGUGAUUUGAGAAAUUGAUUCAUCCCAUUCCAUUCUUAUUGUCUUCCCCAACUAGACCUAUAAGAAGUGCCCGACCCGAACUAACUCUAUCUGACUAGCUCACCUCUCGCUACAAAGACAGAUGCUACUGGGGAUGCAACUUACACUCGAACAGGAUCUUUUCCCUCUGGCUCAUCUCCCUAUGGCUCUUCUAACUCUCCUCUGGCUCACUUUCAUUCUUAUCCGAUACCUCUAUCUGUUCUCUUCUCUUCUGCUACUAUACCUGUCCUAUGUCUACGCCGUUCAAUUCUGCACUUCUUUUCUUUACUUCUAGCUUCCUCGCCUCAGCUUCCACUUAUGCUCUGUGAACUCAGGCUUAACUAACCAAUAAUCAGAAUCGAUAAGGUGCUUCUCUGGGCGUGGACAGCUGUUGAAUAAGGCUGGAUGUUGCCGGUGAGUCAGAUUGACUACUUAGUUCAAUUCGAACUUCCCUACUUUGGUCAUAUGAUAAGGAUCCAUCUUCGGCUGCUGUUGACUACCCGGUAAGAAUAGGGUUUCCAAGGAAUGAUUUCGAAUCGAUAUAAUGCAUUUCAAGCCUAUAUCUUUAGGAUCGGUAACUACCCUUCUUGUGCUAGUGCUCUUGAGUAGGAAAGGAAGAAUUCAACUAGCUACUAUCAACUACUGGCAAAAUUCACUGACUUACCGCAUCUGAUCUCGUAUACUACACUCGAACAGGAACUGUCAACUUUCACUCACACCCGACCCUAACUCUGUCAACAAUGAACUUCAUUCUUAUCCUAAGAACUAGUCUGUAUUUCGAUAGGUCGUUUCCUCAAUUCCCCUUGAUAGGGUUUUGCAUACCCUUUUGUAGUCGAUACAGAUCCUGAUUUAGAUGCAAUGGAUAACGUCCAAACAACUGCUAAUGUGGAGUAUGGAUUGGCAAGAGGCGCACGAGCACUGGAAUAGUAGGAGAGUUCCACUAAUAAGUCAGAAACAAGCUGACAAGUAAUGUAUAAUCAAGCAGACAAGCUACCAACCCAGUAAAUACUUCCUCUAAUGGCCAACCCAGUUCCGUUAUCCUUGAUUUUUCCUUAAUAAGAGAAUAUAUAAUUAAUUAGGGGACAAGUAACUACUAAUGUGUAGCGGCAGUGCAGUGCUACUGUGUAAGUGGAGCGUCAAGAUGUCGACUUUUCUGGAUUAUUUGUUCUUUGUGAAAUUGAUUCAUCGGGACUACCACUACUGGGAUGAAACCAGAGCCAGCAUAGUCACUGUCACUAAAACCCGGCAAAAAACAUAGCAUGGACAUUUCCCCUCCUGGAGCACCCGAAACGGACUUCCUUUUUUAAGAAACCCGUCUUUUUUCGUUGCAACCAAGUUUUCCCUCCUAAGGGGUUCCAUUUCCAUGAUCUUUUGGACGAAACCCGUGUUUUUUCAUAGCCAAGGUGAGAGCUCCUGCCGCGGAACAUUAGCAGUUCCUUGGCCCCUCCUGAGCCGAUCCAUUGAUCUUACAUUUUGACGUUUUCCCGUCUUUUUUGAUAGCAAAUAUAGACUUUCAGUACUUAUAGCUUAGCUUAAAAGCCGAUACCUGAUCUAUAUCCUUUCUCCCAUACCUCUGGCUACAACUCCCUAGUCAUUCACUCCUCUUGCUACAACUACUGGGCAGCUACUACUUUGACUACUACUAGUUGGGGGACUAGACUACUACUCCCCUGGCUUUCGUCUUUCUUUCUUCCAUUACUUUGUCCUUCUGGCAAUUCAAUUAGUAGUUCAUUUUCCACCCGAAUCUUGAGUUGAGGGUUCCCUUGUGGAAUCUUACUGCCGUGACCAAUAUUCAGCAAUUAGGCCUAUAGUAUCUAGUAUUUAUAUCCUUAGCAACUAGGCCUUAGCAACGAGUAUUUCUUAAUAUCCUGAGCAACAAGGCCUUAGCAACAGUAGAAAUUAGUAACAUACAUUAUAUACUUAUUUUAGUAACAACUACUAUAUGUACUUAUUUUAGUAACAACUACCUCUCCAUACCGAAUUCUAUAUUAGGCCUGAGUUAAGAAAGAGGUGAGUUAAGAAAUAGGAUUGAGUUAUCGGAAUAUUUGUAAUAACCUGUUCUUUAGUACCCUUUUCUUCCCCUACUCAGGAUACAACUUAUUCUUUAGUUCCUACUCCGGGGGUAGUUAAUUCCUCUCUUUGCCUUUGCUUUGUCGUAGUAGCUUGUCGACGUCCUCGUUUCUGCUUAAAAGCACAAAUAGUUUCUUCUGCCCUAACACUUGCCUUUCCUUCCUAUGCUUGACGACUAAUCACAUAUUGAAGACACUUAUCGGCUCUUAUACGGCAUUUUAUACUAUCAUCUUUGAGCAAACAAACGUAUAUUCUAGUGCACAGAAGUAAGUUAGUCAUUCCGUCGAAGAAGUAAGCUUACGCGAGUUGACAGAAAAGAAAAAGACUCCACUUUAGUACACCGUGCUCUUCAAAAGAAAAGCCCAUAAUCCGUAAGAGCAAUCAAUUGAGUUAGAGAGGCGACCUCUCCUCGACUUGAAGUAAAGAAGAGAAUUGCUCCAGUAGAGAUCCAUUAGGAAACAAGCCUACUACCCUUACCUUAAUGUUACUUCAAUGCCACACUUAAUAAUUUCCCGACCCUACUUCUAUUGUUUGAGCACCCGAACCCGUGUUUUUUGGUAGCAAUCAGUGAGCUCCUGCCGCGGAACGCGAACACAGGACUUGUUUAUAACUUGUAAUAUCUAUUAUUGCUGCUGCCGCGCAGCGGCUUGCGCCGUUGCUUGGCCCUUGGCCCCUCCUGGACCGAUCAAAAGGAAUUCUAUUUUUCCGGGAACUCCUGCCGCUACACUAACGUAGUUACUUGGCUCUGGAUUAUUUGUGAUUUCUCUUUUCUUGUUUUUUCUUCCUUGCCGGAUAGCUUUCAUUGCUUCCCUUGAGACCUCUACUCUGGCUCAUCUAAACAAGCUGCUUUCUCAUCUAACUUGAUUCUUAAAACACAUAGAAAGUAGGAUUCUUAAAACACAGAGCAAGUGGGCAAGCAUACAGAUUCAGAUAGUUGGGGACUUUACCGGUAUUUCACUAAUCUAGUUAUAGGCUUUAACCCCUUAUUUAGAGGGAGAGAACGAAGCAAAUUACUAGAAGGCCCUACUCUUUGGGCCCUACUUAUAAUACCAACCCGGAUUCUGUUUCUGACCUUGCCCACCUUGACUCUGGCUACUGGCUAAUCUCUAUCCUCUAGCUACGCCCUCGCUUUAAGGCCGUUACUCCCUAGGUCAAUUCUGUGACUUAUGAGUGGAAUUCUGAUGCUGACUAGUUUCUGAUUUCCCUAGGCAUUGGGAAUUAAUACCUUAACUACUAGCUCACCUCUUAGUUGCAUGUGAAGACUGGUUGGCAUUGGUCUCAUUCUUAGUUAUCUAUAUAAGGGCUUAGCCUUGCUCACCCUACCUUCAUUCUCGGACUUAUGGGGUUCACUCUGAUACUGGCUAAUUGGAUUCUGAAUAGUACUGGUUGGAUUCUGUAACUACUUAGGUUCAGUCUGCCUAGGCACCACAUCAGGCUCAGCGGUAUUGGUUGAAGCCUUAGCAACAGUGGUUCAAAACCCUAGCUACAUAGGCACCAGUCCCAUACGAGUAACUACCUAGCAUCGGACUUAGAAGCAUCAGUAUCAGGCUUGGAAGGCGGUGUUGCAUUCUUAGACUCCUGAGUGCAAUUCUGAUCUUAGUACUAGAGCAUUGGUCAAGCCUUAAUAAGUAGGGGCUUCCUUCUUAAAGAUAAGAAUUUUCAUUCAAGGCAGAAACUAACUAUAAGAGCAGCAGCUUACUUUAGAACCAGAACUAGGGCUGUGACUACUUAUACGGAUACUGAUCUUUACUUAAACUCAAACUUGGGCUUUUCACUCUUACUGGCCAUACUUUCAUUAUGUAUCUAACCUUUGAUCCUUACUUGCCUAUAUUAAUCUGACUAUACAAUAUCUUUUUCUUAAACUCAUUGGUACGAUAGACUAGAGCGCAUCUAACCUAAUAUUGGAAUAAACCCACUGCCUUGCAUUCUUGAGUUCGGUCCCGCCCUAACAGAUGAUAGGCCUGCCUCUCUGGAAUCUAAAACAGACAUUGCUUUAUCUCAGUCCUUCUUUGAUUCUUCCACCGCUUCCGGGCAUCCUGUAUUGACAGCUUAGGUAUGCCUCUCCCUUAUCGAAUUCUCUGUAUCGUGUCUUGCAUCCUAUAUUCCCUUAUUUCAAAAUAGAACCAGUGCUUGUGCUAUCAAGACUUGAGCUAGUGCCUAACGACUGAAACAAGAAAAUGGGCCAAGCCAACAAGUUUGUAUUUCGGUGUUAGUUGAGUUCGAGUCAAAGAAAUAGUCUCUGUGUUGAGCCGUUCGAGUGCUUGUUUGACUUGUGAAAUAAGAAAGAGGCAUAAGAUAAUUGAGUGCAAAGUGGAAUUGAGUGCAUGUCAACUUAAUUGUCCAAGCCAGACUUAUAUAUAAGCGUAAACAGAUUGUUCCGCUGUUGCUGGUGGUAUUGUUGCAGGGUUCAGAGAAGAUGGUACUGGCUUUGAAGCGGUAAGUCCUUCAUACUCGUUUCUUUCUUUCUGCUCUUGUUGAAUCGUUUCCAUAAUUUUAUUAAGAAUGCUUUGGUGCUGGUUCUGGACUGAAAGUUGACUUUAAUGAAAAAGGGAAUGGACUGUUCGACACUUGAAAAUAGAUCUAUACUCUUCACUCUCAUCUCAAGAUUCAAUUACUAGAGUGGAGAUUCCUGCUUGUUCAGGUAAAUAAUAUGGAUCAGAAGAAGUCCUAGUUAGUUAGUUCCUCUUUACUCACUUAAUCGUAUAAGCUAACCUUCUUAUUCUUAUGUAUGCCCUACACGUGAGCACCUACCUCGCAACAAUAAGACCUACAUACUGGGUAGUAUCAUUAAAGUAGAGAACAACCAACAGAAGAUGAAACACGGAACAAGCACGUGAGCUUAGUUUUUAAGCCAAAGUAACGUGAGUUGGGGUAAACAAGAAGGGCACUUUCUAAAAGAAGGAUAAAUAUAAUAAACUGGGAAAGUGGAGCUCUCUUCGGCGCAAGAAUAGAAAGGUUCCAUAAAAGCUCGGGGCAAGGUGCUAAGAGCCUGUAUUUGUUGCUGAAGCCCUCCACUCUAAAUCUUAUGUUCAAGCCUUAUUUGCCCUAAAUUCUCUUUGUAUAUUAGACGAGUAUCUUUCUGUGCGAGUUCAAGUCCCCUUGUUCCCGCAGCUUAAAGAAUUUCUCAUUUAGUGCUCCCCCAAUUAUAUAAAGAAGAAAGUCAGAGUAAGAAGACACUCCCGAAAGCAAAAAACAGGGGCAAGUAAUACAUACUUCUGAAGCACUAACUGAGUUCAAAGAGACUGUUCGAAGUAUGCAAGAGAAUCAGCAUCAGCAGGAUUAGUUCCAAAGUCAGUAACUUAAUUGCCUGUUCGCGAGGUAAAGUAUCAAGUGGAGUUCAACAAUCAACGGAACCAGCAAGCGCUAACAAGAUUAGUCAACGGAACCAGCAAGCGCUAACAAGAUUAGAUGCUGCAUCAGGAGAAUCAUCAGCAGCAGUAUCCAUAUCCGGGGUAACUUGAGAAGAAGUUGUUCUUGUGUUGGCAACGAGAAAACCCGUUUGAUUAGCAGCAGUCUAUUUACUUCAUUCAAUCUAUACCAUUACCCUGUGCUCGAUAAUCAAUUAAGGGGCCAUACAGCAAGAAGUCAAGUGUUUGAGGGAAAGGCGAAGUCAAGAGCAGAGCCAGCAGUAAUAACUCGCAUUAGGGAUUCGGUUCCUUUUGCGAUUCCAUUCUUUCUUUCUCUUGUCUUUCGCACCUUUGAAGCAGUUUUAUUACUUUCACUAUAGAUGUAAGCAGUGAGGCAGAAUAGAGUGAUUCAAGCUUAAAGUCAGCUGCAAGUGGAGAAGCAAGGGGACAAGUGCUGACCUCUUUCCUUUACUUGCUCAUAACUCACUACCUACUAGCAGCCCAGCCGCUAUAACUCGGCUCCUGCCGCCGACGAAAGCAGAAAUUGUAAUAGGAAAGGUCAUUGUGGAUAUUCCAUUAUUUGUGCUAUUGCUAGUCUUUACUAGUGGGACCGCCGUCGCGAACACAGUGGUCUCUCUCUGACCAGGACCAGGAACCGAAUCUACUAUUUCUAUUGACAUUAUCACAGGAACCGAAUCUACUAUUUCUAUUGACAUUAGAAGGGGUAUUAAUGGGUUUGCUGUGGAUCAACCUCCAAAUGGAUUGGAUUCACAGUACUCUAUAGGUUUGCAUCGCAAUGAUCCUGACAUAAAAGAAAAGCUCAAUCUCUCGGCUUGGCUCACGUUUUAGCACUUAGGAAUAAGCCGAACUCAACAAGCGCAACGUUAAGUCACUCGCGUAAGCACAAGCAAACUCCGUUCAAGGACUUUCGAGCAAGCAAGUGAAGAGCCAGACUUCAUCUUAGUAGCUGAUGUCACCCGUAUUCUAAUCACUAAGGCCAGAGAAAAGAUGAUCUAUUUUAUUUCAAUGUGAUUUCCAUAAAUGUUUCAUGCAUGUUUGUUACCGGGCGCAAUAAGAUCAAGUUGGUAAGGAGCAAAUUCUCCUCUAUUUGGAUUAAUAUAUAUAUUUUCUGAUGAUAGAAGAUAGCGUCACACAUAUAGAAGAGUGUCAACAAACAUCCUACAGCUUUUUUCGUCCUGUCCUCGCCUCGGGGUCAAAUGCUUUCUUUUCUCUUUGUCAUUACUUCAAUAUUAACCUCUGUGUUUCAUUACUGUAUUCUUAUAACUAACACGAGCUCAGUUGCUAGUUCUGUUGCGUAAUUCUGUUAGCGCUUAAUUCUAUGUUGUGUUGCUUGUUUAUAUAGUUCCCCUAUCUGCUCUCGUGGCGCGUUAUCUUAUUUGAUUGAGUUUCAGUUGUGCCUCAAUUCGUUCGUUCUGAAAGAGUAAUCCGUUUCGUUACUUGAUUUUCUUCUAUUAGUGGCAUAGUGGUCAAUUCCAUUCCUGUCCUGGUUUACUUACAUUCUCAAAAACAGCAUUUCUUUGGGCAAAAGAGAGGACCUCCCAGUGAUAGAAUCCCCUGCUUGCUUUUUCACUCCCCUUAGAAUGAAUGUACAAGAUGGUUUCUCUACCUGGGGCAUCUGUGAUCAAAUUCCACAAUUAGUACGGCUUUCUGACUUUCCUCUGAAGUAAUCCUCAUAUCCGUGUACUCCACAAUUCCCCUUCACAGCUCUCCUUUCAGGAACCAAUGGUGCCAUGUGUAGCCGGGCAGAUAGCGACUGCAGGGAGGAGAGUUAGCCUAUUGAAGCAAAGCACUCUUUAUGGGCUUUCUCAGCAUGACUUUCGCACUCCAAAGAAAGACAAAAAGUGAAAGGUGGACGCAGGCGAUCAACUGGAGAUCUCCUAAGUAAGUAAUCAUAGCGGAUCCAAUCCCUCUCUAUAACUGGCUUGCUUGAGCCGCGCAGAUCCAAUCCCUCUCUCUCUAUAACUGGCUUGCUUGAGCCGCAUCGAUGAUUUCCUUCAGCCUAUCCCCACGCAAAGCAAUUGUCCUUCCUAAAAACUCACAGCUUUUCUCUUCUGAUUCCUAAGAGAGCCAGAGCCCAUUGAACGAACUUACCUAUUUCAUACCUAACUGCCCCAUUGUAUCAAACUUGUUAGCUUCUUACCCGGAAACUCCCACUAGUCACAAUCAAUAGUAAUCCCGCAACCUGGCUCUGUCCUCCUUCCCCAUACCUGAUAGAAAACAACAACCUUUAGUACUAUAUUUCUUUAGGAACCCACUGUACCUGUAACGUUGAACCAUGUCAGUAAACUGUGGAAAGUACGCCCUAAAGUCAAGGCCCCGGAGAUAGGAUUUCUCAACAGUCGAUCGACGUGACAAUCAUGCCUGCUUCACAAAGAAAGCCUUUCUUUUAAGUCUACCCAAUCAAAAACAAUAAGAAUUGCUGGUGACAUGAUGCUCGACGCUCUCUUUCCUAUUCUACUGCACCUAAGUGUCCCUUGCUGCUUUCUAUGAUUGAGUGAGAAGUCUAAUUGCCUACAAUCCUCCAAUCUUCAAUUAGAGUGUCUACAAUCCUCCAAUCUCCAAUCGAAGUCUAAUUGCCUACAAUCCUCCAAUCUCUAAUCAGAGAACAAAUGCAAAGUACCGAGGCAAGCAAAAAGAUGAAAGUUAGACCACAUGUUAUCAGUGAAGGAAUUCAAGGCAAACUCAUGGCUAAGGCGAUCCAAAGUCAGAGGUAGAUUCUUUGAUUGGGGGUUCGGGUCUGUCCUAAGUAUAGGGUUCGGGUCCAUAAGCAAGUAUAAGCUGGUGCCUAACAUGCUUCAAGCAAAGGGAUUCACCUGAGUGCCUUAGUGAGUUUACAACCUCGUCCAGUAUUUGAGUCAUUAGUCGCGCAGAAAUAGAGAUUUUAGGCUUACGUGAGUUCUUUGAAUAGAAUCUAGAUCACAUACAUAUGAUAGAAUAAAGAAAUCUAUCCAUCAAUAAAUAUGAAUAGAAUCCACACGGUGAACUCGCAUUAGAAACCGGAGCACUCCAACCUAACCUGCGAGAAGCGGUGACUACUUUUGACCACUUAGCGCUGAAAAGGCUAUAAAGUCAGAGCAAUCAGUUGACUUCAGAAGCACGGACUCCACUGGGCGAGAUCGUGAUCGUAUAGACACUUGGCUUUCCACUUAGCCUAGAGCAGAAAGAAUGGAAUUGAUGACACUACUAAUAGAUAAGAGUGAAGACUUGAUAUAGAUAAGAGUAAAGACUUGAUACUAUACUUGAGACUUGCCUGAAGCCAGAAAUGGCUGAAUGGAAUUGCACAGCCGAUGAUCCUGACUAUGAUCUUUGGCUACUUGACGGGCACUGCUUUCACGCCUGAACAAGCAUAAGAUCUUUUGGAUUUUCUAACUCGCAACAAACACUUUCAAGUCCUGUUUAUUAGAGGGUUAGAUCUCUAAGGUAACUCACUACCCCAUGUACUCUUUCCAAUAAGAAGUAGAAUACCGGUCGCCAACAAGCACUUCAGGAACUCUUCCGAUAAAGUCACUUCUUGUCUUCAACUUACUAUAGGGGCCUCUUCUGAAACUGGAAUUUCAUCUAUUGGCGAGUCAACAGAUGCGGAAUUCCUUCUUUCGAGCAAUGCAUAUUGUAGAGAAUUGCCUGUUACUAGGGUAGGCAGGUUGACUUACUUGUACAAGGGUGGGGGCGGAGUAAAGUAAAGGCUUUGAUUCUAUAAGUACGGAGAGUGAGAGUCUAGGUAUGCAAGGUAAGCUAUUCAAUAGUUGGCAGCAGAGGAGUUACAGAGGUAUAGCUUAGUAUUAGUAUAGGGGUUGUCUUAGUAUUCUUCUCGUAGGAUUCUACCUUCCCUUCCAAUGAAACUAGAAAGUCAUAUAAAUGAAACUAGAAACACCUGAUCCACAUCUUCUCUGGCAACUAUUAACUGAGAAACUUGACUUGACGCAUCCCUUUCCACUUGCUCUUCUCUGGCAACAAGGUCUUCAACAAGAACUAUAGCACUGAAACUACUUAAAACACAUAGCUAGUAGGCAAGCAUUCCCUCUUCUACCCCUGGCUCUUGCAACUAACCACUCCUCUUCUCUGUCCUGUGUGCGCCUUAUGUACUAGAUGCACCAAGUAACUACUAAUGUGUAGCGGUAGGAGUUAAAGACUACUUAGUUCAAUUCUGUAACUCUACCUUAUUAGCCCAGCUCUGAUUCUUAUACUUACUGGUGGAAUAAUGACCAAGCUUGCAAGUAGACAGGAAAGAAACUCCACUUUAAUAACUCCCUAACUUACAAUAGGGCUGUCUCUUUGAACUCUGGCUGUUAUGAUCCUGAUAGCAAUUCUGAACUUCAGUACUUAGCCCUGGUAUUGAACAAAACAAGUAUUGAACUAAAGAAUCUAGAAACUCUAUACCGUUAGCGCACAUCGGAUUCUUUUGCUUGUCGAACUCUACUUGAAGAACCACUUCCCUCUAAUGCUUCGUCUACUUCUUUGAAUCCACAACUGGCCUUGCUCUGCUCCACCUAUGACUGAUGGCUCUGGACCACUACGGGCGCUUGGGUAACUCAAUCUAUUCUAUUCUUUCAAGUAAAGGCGCUUGGGUAACUCUCCUCAAUGGUGGCAGGGAACAGCCCAAACAAUCAUAUCGUCGUCUGCGGACUCGGGAACAGCCCAAACAAUCAUAUAAGGUAUUAGAGCAAAAGGUCAAAGAGAUGAGGCUGAGGCUUCUGAUCCAACUCCUUAUCCGGUUUAUGUAGCAGACUUUCACACUCCCCUUGAAAGAACCGCGAAAACAAUACUUGGCAGGAGAAAAGUAGUCAAUUAAGCAAGUUGUAUAACCCAUGUGUGAAGCAAGUAGUAAAUAGAGAAGUUGUUGCUAAGUAGUUAGCUUGGCCCCUAGUAACUACUUGUUAUGUGUUUGUACUACUGGGCACUGGACUUGUCAAGCAUCUUAUUCUGUUGAGCCUUCUCUGGCUUCACCACCCUAUGCCUCCGCCUAACCUUCACUUUAAUGCUUAGCUUUCCCUUGUAGUGAUCAAAAGAAUGUAGAAUGCUUAGCUUUCCCUUGUAGUGAUCAAAAGAAUGUAGUUCGGCUCGCUAAAGUAGUUUACUAUUUCUUUCAAUGAAUGAGCCAGAGGGUUUAUUCCUUCAUUAUAGAGUGGAAGUUCAAUCAGUUCAAUCUAGUUCCGCGCUAAGAAGAUCUUUGCCUACUUAUGUUCUUAGCCUGACAGCUGACCCUUGCAAGCCAACACCAGACUUUAACUAAACUAUAGAGUUCAAUACCAGAGUUAUGGAAUGGAAGGCACCUAGACGUUACAGGGGAUUCAACUACUCAUGAAGGGGAUGAAACAACUAAUAAAGGUGCUGAAAGCCACUCGGUAUUCAACUAUAGCACCAAACCUAUCUCUACCCUUAACAUCAAGUAAAGACUUAUUGUCUACCAAUAGGGAUUCCACUCGGUAUGAAACAGGCAUUAGUUCCAUUCUUCCUUCCUUAUGCGAGGUUGAAUUCUUACUUGGUCUAUCCGUGUCUUGGCCCAGUUGUGUUCUAGGCCUUGCCCAGUUGCUUGGCCUGAUAACUACUAGGGAUAUAAUUCCAUAGGUACUCGAAAUAGCGAUAAGAAGAAAUAGUCAACUACUUUCAACAAUAACUCCCGACUUGGGGCUUGUUUUGAUUCUGUGACUACUGAGUUGCAUUCUGAUCUAGUGGCUACUAGUUCAUUUCUUAUUGACUAGACUCUAGCACUACUUAGUUCAAUUCUGCACUGAACUUCCUUCACUGUAAACUAAAAACUCCAGUUCGUUUUCUACCUUCCUACCUUAAUUCUUACUUGAAACUAGCACUCCUCUUUCUGACCCUACUCUAGCUGACCCUACUCUUGCGCCUUGUAUCUAAGGUAGGAAUAUGACCCUUUCUUUACUAAACUAGCUUAACUAAGAACUCACUAUAGCUUGUUUCGAGCGCAGAAGUCAAUAAUGAAGAUCUUCUUGAUGCUGACUUUCCUCUUACAACACUUGUGCACCUUCUGAAACUCUAAAGUCAGAAUGAAAGAAUGGGGAAUUUCUGAGGCCUUCUUUCUAUACGGUAUAUGUCCAAAUGUAUAGAUUUUCAUGUUAACGAGGGAAAUGAUGGUAUUUGUUGCGAGAUAGAGAGCCCACUAUGCAAUCUGAAUCUAUGAAAUGCUAUGCUAUAGGGAGGUUCAUAAGAUUCCCAUGAGUUUCUACUUUUCUCAUUCGUCUAUCAUUAGCUUGUUCCGCAACUACUGGACGGUUGAUAAUCUAGUAGUAGUUCCCUGGCUCGUUGCUUGGCCCCCAAAUGAAUUUCAUGAUUGUUUGCCCCAUUAGGCUGAAACACCUGUAGAAAGAAGUAACACCAACAACUGCCCCGACCUAUCCUGGAAGUUAAGACCCACUUGCGACAGGCUCUGCUCUAUCUGCUUCCUUUCGCCCGAGAUACCCGAUUGCAGCUUACUCGUUGUUCUAUAGAUCCAUGUAAAGACUAACUCAACUUGCCAGCGCAUUGGAUACUAGGGGAGCGGGUACGCGCAUUCAAUGAUUUUCCCUAUGCCUCUUUCUUUUAUCCUACACAUCUUUCUUCUCAUUUAAAUCCACUUUCUUUUAGACUUCACCCAUUUAACAACUUAGAUCAAUGUCGGUAACUAACCUACUAACACCUCUGUCAACUGGCAACUCAACUUACCUGGCCUCCCUCUUUGUUUGAUUAUAUGAUCUUCCUUAUUACUCUUCCCUAUAGUAGGAUUCCACUCGCCUCCAAAGAAUUAAGAAAACUGGGAUUACUCGUAGUGAGUGACUUCUAAACAGGUAGUGAGUGACUUCUAAGCAGGUAGUGAGUGAUGAGCAAGUCCGCCAAGACACUACUAAUGUGUCGCGGCAGAGCCGCUAUUCCACUGCUAUCCGAGGUGACUUCUUUCUCUUAUACCAACUAAGGCGACUCUAUUCGAUAUACCCCACUUCGAUAUACCCCACGAUGGACUAGCUAACCUGCCCUCUUGCCUUGACUUGGAAAUAUUCCUUCUUGCCCUUGCUUUAAGAGCAAAUAUCUGCACCCAACCUGGCAAGAACUAUAAAGUAUUUCCUCACUCACACUGAACAAGCACCAACACACAAGUCAACUUUUCAAAGCACUUAACUCACACAACAACUGAUUCCUUUGGCACUGAUCCAAAUCCCUCUCCUUAUCUUGCUUUGGCUUCUUCUCCAGAUACUUAUUAUACUCUAUCUUUUGAUUUUGCUUUGGCUUCUCCUGAUCGAGCUAGCGGAUAGUUCUGUUCUCUAACAGCUUUCCUUGUCGAAACUUCUUAUAGAGGCCCAAACUGUCUUCAGUAAAGUCAAUAAAUACGGAAUUGCACUCUGAAGUAGUAAAGUUCUCAUUUAGGAAUCUCAUUUCAUAAUUGAGCACUAGUGGGUUAGGUUAGGUUAGUUGCUCUUUCCUUAUUUAAUGGUUAGGUUAGUUGCUCUUUCCUUAUUUCAUAAUAUAGUGGAAGUUUGAAGAGCAGGUUUGCAAUGUACCGGGGGUUGGAGCUGGAUCGGUACAAAAGCCAGAGGUUGGUAACGUCACUUAGUCUCUUUCUGUGCCAGUGUUGUAAGUAAAGGAAGCAUCAUCGAAAGAUGGAAAUCAAGUCGUUUGUGGACUUCGGAACAAGACUCAGUUUCCAUAUAGAAUUCAAAUCGCAACGUAGUAAGAUAGUACAAGCUUUGAAGGUAUCCUCUAGUAGUAGUUGAGUUAGCUUAGUUUAGUGUCUUUUAGUUCCACUGAAAUCUGUCUUUGUUGUCCGUUAUUCAUGUGUGCGGAACGCCAUUCUUUACGUUUUUGCUGUCAGGAGGUUGUUUAGUAACUUCUAUAAUAGGUGUGUAAGAGAGAAUCAAUUAAAUGAACUCGUUAACGUGAGCUUCGCGCAACUAAGUAACUCGCUAACGGAGCGCACCCGGUGAGUCUCUAAUUUACGUGAGUGACAUAUAGAUGUGGGUGCCGAUAUUACCUAUUUGGUUGGUGUUUUCUGAACAGAGCCUUAUCACCAGCCUGCACUUCAUAACAAUCUUGUUCAAUUCCUUGGUGACUUUAGGAACCCCUUUUCUUUCCUAUUUGAUUGAUGUCGGCAUCCCUAAACUAGAAAGAAUAGAAUAGAAUCUACCUAGCUUCAUAUAGAAGAGCGGAACCCAACUGCUUACUUUCAUGCUCCUGACUCUACACUUGUUGAACAAAUAGGCACCGAACAACAGAAGCGGAAUAUCUGAUAACUCCGUAAGUGCCCUGUCUAACAGUAAUUUCAUAUCUCUUUCCAUUAGCACAAGUCAAAGCAGGAAUUGAUAAACCAACUUAUCUAACGUGCAGAUAAUCUUUGAUCUUCCCGGAAUCCUUCUUUUUGAAACCUUCCUUCCCUUUUUGCCAAACUCUAUUUGAAAGUGCCUUCCCAACACCGUGUAGCCAGUACUAUAUGAUUACCUUAACAGAACAACAACUCUAUUAGCUGAAGUCCAAUCAAAGAAUGAAACAACUCCCCGGCACACAACCGGAGUCUUCCCUGACCGAAACUAAACUAACUGAACCGACAAAUAGCCUGGUUCUUGCCCUCACUCGCUUUCGCACUAGGGCUUUCGCGAACUCGCCUAUAGCUUCUAACUCAACUCAUUUCAACGACUUUCCCUUUAGCCUCUAACUAACACUCGAAUAACUCCUACCAUUGCUACCAUUGCUACCGCGCAACUAGAACUCUCUGCCGCCCCCUUAAUACAGGUUCACUCAGGAAUUGUCAAGUUGCUUGACCCUGUCACUUAUGGGUUGAAGCCUGAGAAGCACCGGCGGAAGCCUUACACCUACUAGCUCUCCAUUCCAAUACUGCUUAGCUCCCGAACACAGGACUCGUUCACCAAUUCUCUGAGUCACUGAUAUGAUACAGAUUCUCCGCAUCUAGUAGUAGCUCGCCCAUUAGUAGUGUCUUUGUCUAGUAGUGGAAAGUAGUUCUCUGAAGUAAGAAUACCUGUUAGCCGGCAACUCGUAAGUCAAAGAAUGCAUAUAGCAACUAUAAACUACUGGCAAAGAAUUCCACUAGCAACUAUGAAUUGCCCUAGUAUAGAACUCGUUAUUGUGCUUACUUUUAGACUCAUAAUUCCACUAUCAACUCUUUAUUGCCCUAGUAUAGAACUCGUUAUUGUGCUUACUUUCUUUCUACAGCUUAUUCAGUUGGUAACCGUCAGGAGCGAGGAGGUAGGUUACUGAAACUAGUGAGUUAGUAGUUAGGUUCCAAUUAACACUUUUGACUUGAAGAACAGCUUGUAUACUUUGUCCUUAUCUCCGGGUGGGGUGGCUUGGGAAUAUCCCUCCUCAGAGAGGUUAUUGUGUCUGUAACUCACUAAAGGUAGGCUUUUCAGAGGGAGUCCUAAUUCCAUGGCGUCAGUAAGUAAAGAAACAGAAACAGAAUCAUUAGCAAGAGCGAACACUAGCGGCAGUGAGCUUAUGAGUUUUCUCCCUAAUUUCAUCUGUGCAAGUAGAUUUAUUGGGGUUUGUUGGUGAUGAGUCUACUUCAGGUCCUGCACUACCUUUCUUAUGAGACCUCCUAAGGCUUACAGAGGUAUGUAUUCUUACUAGAUCUUAGUAUCGGAGUAGCGGGAAGUCUAUUAAUAAGUAGCAGCUGACGCUGCCCUUGCUUCUUAGGUUUCUGGUUUGAGUCCCCUAAUACCUUUUCUUGGUCUGCCAUUCCUUUACUGAAGUCUCUCACUGCUUACUUGAUAACUCGCUUCUAGGCUUUAGGCUUCUGCUGCUUACUUAUCUCUUUGCUUUUUAGCUUCUAAUAUCUUAUUACUAAUUAGGCUUGGCUCCACUUCUUCCUCUAAUACUAGAACUUGGAACUAGGGUUUUCACUGCCGAUAACAUGGGUCGAUGUAAUUGAGCUACAGGAAAGAAUCAACCUUGUAAUAAAGAGAAUGAAAACAUCGCGAUCAAAGGAAUCCCGGUGUAGUAUGCUGAGAGACAGAAUAUCAGAAUGGAAUUACCAUGAAUAAGACUUCCACUCAUAGCUCGAAACUCCUAAUCCUUAAUGCCCUGCCUUCCGGGCUUAUUAACCUUUAUCUCAUUCUUUAGUGGCAGCUGAAAACUUCCCCUACUUACUAUUAGAGCCAAAACGACUAUGAUCAAUUACUCGCCUGUCUCUCCUAUGGUAACUAUUAACUUCAUUCAACAAGUGUAGCUAGAGUUCGAUGAGAAAGAGAAGGAUCCGAGGCAGGAAAAGAAUCCGGGGAGUGUAGAAUUACUAUAAUUACCUGGAAAGCUGGGUUACUGGAUUUAUUGAAGUCUGUAUUUCUUUAUUUCCUUAGCUGUAUUCUUUAUUUCUUACUUAGUCUACUUGUCUGCUUUUUGGGAUGAAAGAUAUGAUACUUCCUUACUUAGAUCAAAGCAAGUUAAGAGCAUUAUACUAGAGGGUGGGCCGAGAGAGAAAGAGAAACAGGAUUGGUUAGUUACUAAGAUCUAUAAGAACUGAAAUUGAGUAGUUGCUUGGCCAGUUAUAGUUUCAUCCCCACAGUGUCAUCAACGACUUUCGAGCUCCCUUCCGCGCCUCUCACACUAACGCGUAACGAGUUUACUGAGAUAAGAAAGAAAUCAAUGAAUCCAGAAAUGUAGUUAAACGGCAGAAGAUCUGAUGCCGGGCCCCAGGUGUUAAGAAUACAGAUCAGGUCUAGGCUUAAGUGCUUGUGUUAAGCAAAGAACAAAUCUAGAAUCUAAGUCUACUUGGCCCCUACUUAAUCCUAUCUAUUCUUAUUAAGGAUUUAGUUUCGAAAGAUCUUCUUAUUCUUAUUAAAGAGAAAGUUGAGAACGAGUCCAGUCCUGUGUGAGCCUUAGUGUUAGGAUCGGAGUGGGAAUGGAGUAGCUCCUUAGCACAACGUUAGAAGUUGCUUGGCCCCCGCAUCUGGUAUAGGAUUGAUAGCUAUGGCGAUCAGAAUUGAACCAGUAAGGGCAAGAAUGCACCCAGGAAAUCAAAGAGAGGAGAGAAAGAGACUCAGCCUACUGCUCCUUGAAACCCACCCCUAGUACUGGCAAAGUAUACCUUGCUAUGAAAAAAGACGGGAAAACGCAAAAUGAUCAUGAGAAAUUGGACAUCUAUUAGCGGAAAUGACUUCGCUACCUUUUUUCUCGGGAAACUGGGCUCCUGCCGCGUAACGUUAGUAGUUACUUGCCUCCUAAAAUUCUCUAUCAAUUGGAUCGGUCUAUUAGCUAAAAUAAGGUUGCUGCCUUUUUUCCCGUGUUUUGGUGAAGUGGAAUUACUUGUUUACUGACUUGGCGGGUAGGCUUGUGGAAUUCCAAUUGACUAGCUAACCCUUAGUUACACAUCAUACAUGUCUUGGCGGAUAACUUGGACUCUCUUUAUAUAUGAAACCACUUCAGAAAGUAGAGUUUACAGUUCCAUUUCCCUUCUUGUAUAGGUCGGAUCGGGGUUAACACUUAUUAGAGGUUGGGUCGGGUAUAGUAGAGAAUUGCCUGUUCCAGGUCGAGUUAGAGUUAACACCAAGUGCUUUCCUUUGCCCCUGUUCGAGGUAAGCUUAUGAAUUGCCAGUUCAAGUUCUAUGGUUUACAGCCCAAACUAGUAAACGAGUAGUCCAGAGCCAGAUCAGAGGAGAGAUCCGAGGCAAGAUCAGAGGAGAGGCAAGAGAGGUCAGCUGUGGAAAGAGAAUAAGCUGUGUAGAGAUCCGGGGGUAAUAUUCCUCAACCUUAUAAGCUUGAUAGACUCCAUGAAAAUCCUUUCCUGCUACCCCAACUGCUGAAGAUCUUUAUCCUGACUUUAGAACUGAUCCCGAGAAAACAUCUGAUAUGUCCCUCGUUGCCCGAAAGAAGGACUUGUUUAAGAAAAGUGAAACUUCAAUUUGGGAUAUAGAAUAAGACUCAGUCCUGUGGGAAUCUUUCUUCUGGCGCGGUGUGAUCCAAGUCCUCAAUGUUACGCUGUAGCUCUAAGGUUAACUCCUAAUGUUAAAGUCAAAAGGAUGCUAUUAAGGUAUGGGUCAGGGUCUGAUUCCUCUCUUAUAUACUUUCUUUGGUUCUAAAGAUUCCAUUAAUGACUUGAUUGCCGGAACCCCAACUUCAGUAUCAGGGGUCGGAGCAGGCUUGCUCAUAACGAGUUUCAUAGUUUCCUGUUGCCAUAGGAUGGGUAUAGUAGCAAUAGAUAAAAGAGGUAGAAUAGCUAUAGGAUCAAGAUUCCAGAUAGGGGGUCAAGAUGUUAGGCAUCAAAAUGCAUUCGUUGGACAGUGCACAUCAUUUAUUGAUGAGUGAUGAGUUGGGCUAUAAAAUGAGGGCAAUAAGGCAACCUUUUUGUUCAGGGUAGUGCUGAGGAUGCAGGCGCUAGGGGAGAGUUUUUCUAGUUUCAUGAGUUGUCGAUUCAGAAAGGGGAGGGUAGUUUACUUACUUGUGUCGUGUAGGGGAAGGGGAGUUGACUUCCUUUUUGAAUUCAGUUACUAGGCUAGGAAGCCCACCGAUUGCCCGCAUCUAAUAGACUAUACCAAGACUACUUAGAGAUUGAACUCACCGAUGACAAACUCAUAAGUAGGAAUGCAAGAAUGCAACUAAGCUGUAAAAGAAUGAAGCAUAUGAGCCAAGCCGAUAAGCUACUUCUUAACUCUUUCACUCCCUAGUGAUUCACUCCCUUCCCUGGGUGAACUGAUUGUAUGUAGUAUAGUAGCUUGUAAGACGGUAACCCCAAUUUCCCUGCCCUCUCUGGAGUGGCAUCUGCUCUUUAGAGUGUUAGUAUAAUGUACUUCUUGUAGUUAUACUUCUUUAGGGUAACCGUCAGUAUAGGUUGUUUUCAUGAUAUCUUAAUAACAAAGCUCUUUGCUGGUUAAUCGCGUAAUAGAAGCGAAACCAACUAAAGGAAAAGAAAGAGAUUAUGAAACCUACCGAUGUAAUGAGGGAAACUAAAACAAACCCAUAUACUAUGCAUCUCCCCUAUACGUGUAAAACCUUCUCUUUCUUAUUCAAAUUCUAAUGAGGAAAGGAGAAAACUACUGAGGAUAUGACAAAUAUCCCGAGAGAGACCCCAUCUCAUGUGACCCCAAGGCCAAUUAGUAACAUUGGAAACAUCAAUUAGUCAAAAAAUAAGUGAAAUUAGUAACAAUAAGUCACAGCAGGAAGACUCCACUAGGGAAGGGGCCGUCGCGUCAGCGAGCUAAAAGGCGCGGCAGGGCUGCUAUAGUUCCCAGUUAUGUAGGCCAAGUAACUGCUAAUGUUACGCGGCAGCCACAAUAGCAUGUUAUAACUUGGCCAAGCAACGGCGCGCCAAGACACUCGGCCAAGUAACUACUAACCAAGCCGAUCUAGGCGCGGUAGCGAGCUAUAAUAGCGGCAGUUGUUUUGACAAUAAGAAACAACAUCAAGUAUAUUUAUGUUGAGUUAUUGCCGAGUCCUGUGUUCGGGAACAUAAUGGUUUUUUUUACUAGGACAUAAGAAUAAGUAGAUAUACGGUGCAUCCCAGGCCUUACUUGUGUGACUUCUCAGUCUGAACUACCCUUCUCUCUUUCCUUCCUACUGGCCAACAAAUCUGGUUUGUUAGUGAAAGUCUGCCACUACGCUAACUAGCCUCAUCACUCUGGUCUUUACUGUAUCUCAGCAUGUUCCUACUGCCUGCCAUUCUGUAUCGAGCCCUAGAUUCUUAUUAUGUUGAUUUGUAUUCAUGAUAAUGAUUAUGUUUACUUAUAUUUAUAUGCAUUGAUUUAUAUGUGUGUUAAUAUAUAGUAAUUGAUUCUAGUGUAUCCUACGACGCUAGGACAGAAUUGAACAAAUAAGUAGAAGAGGCAAGCAACGUACAUUAUCACAGAACUCAACCCGUAGCCGAGCCUUAUUAUUGAGCAUCGAUCCAACAAACCUCAAUCGUUAGUUAAUUGAACUCCGCUGUCCAAGUCAUAAAGCUACUACUAGCUCUUAGCCCGAUCUUCCCAGCUUUGAUUCUUGCUUCGCAGUUCGGGCCUGUCUCUCUGGAUUUGGAUUCUACCAUUCCCGGACCUACGUCUUGCUUUGUUAGCUUCCCUUACUUGCUUUUAGUCUAUCUUUUCUCGAACCAGAUUGACUUUCGCCAAUACCAAUAUGAAAGAGGCAAUUAAGAGACUAGUUUGUUAGCGUACGAGACCGGACAAGUAACUAAAGACAUAAUUCCACUCAAAAGAUAUAAUGGAACUGGGCCCAGCCCCUUACUAUUGAUAUACUAAUCCAAAAUCUGGCUUUACCGUCUCUAGGCUUACUGCCCGGAUCUAACAUAUGGAUUUGGUAUCGGCGGUUCCAUUCUACCUAGUUAUAGUGAAAUUCUUUGCAUCAUCUUUUCUUAUUAUAUUAUCAGUAGCUCAGCUCUUUUCUAAUAAGUACUUUUAGAUUCUUCCAGGUAUUAGUAAGCUUGUUUGCUUCUCAAGGUUAUAGGCAGGAAAGUCAUACUCUAGCUCGUUAAGGGGCAGCCGCUACACUAGUUCUCUUUCUCACUUAACACAGGUCAAAAAAGCAGAAAGAAAACACUCUUUUGGGUCUCUUCCCGUAUGCACUGGAUCAUAUCUCACUUCUUUAUUUCACUAGUGUUGAGAACGCUUGACUGUGUACUAUGCCCUUAUUCUUAUACUAUGGAGCUUAUACUAUGGAGCUUCCGCUAUGGAGUUUGGUUCUAUGUUCUACUAACCAUGUCCUGUAUUCACGAUAUACGUCUGAUACGGCGCCUAGAGAUAUAACUUCUAUUAAUAUAUGGCUGUUACUUAUGUGUUUCGUUCCUGUUCGACUUGUCCCUACUACUAAUAAGUUUCAUCCUGAUGCUUACUCCUAUUAGUCUACUACUGGUGCUUACUCCUAUUAUACGAUGUGCUAUGUCAUACACAUAUUCUUAUUCCCUUUUGAGUAUAGAUGCACUGGCAAUUAUGUAUUAGGGCCCCUAUGAAUCACAUUCCUUUUUCUAAGGAACAGUAUUGGUAGCACUAGUUGUAGCAUCAAAGCAAGUAAAGCCGGGGAAUGUAAGCAAGGAUAUUAGGACUCAUUUUCUAUAUUGAUUCUUUUACCCAUAUUGAUUGAGUUGCUAGUUAAAGGAAGAGGCGGACUAGCAAGGAGUAGCAGGGCGAUGAGUUCUAGUUUGGAGUCCUUUUUUGAAUGGAACUCAUUGGCAUAGGAAUGACCAUGGAAAGUUUGAAUUAAAGGACCGAGUCACAGAAUUGACACUAUUUCUUCUAAUAAUGGAGUGGGCAGGUGCGUAGAUCAAUAAGGUCAGGGUACCUGGCUAAGUUAUCCAAUUCUCAAGUCAGGAUACCUGGGCUACUAUGGGCUAAGAAAUGAACUAAUUAGUCAAAGAAUGCUUGUAGUGUUGUGCGUGUGAACAGAUGUAGCCAAGUAAAUAAAAGAAUGGAAAUAGAAUCUAGGGCAAAUGCCCCGCAAGGUAGGAAGCCGGAAUUGCACUCAGUAGUAACGGAAUCAAAGCUGUUGACUUAACCACAUAAGCUAGCCUCGUACCACUAGCUACUACCGAUAAGACUGAUGAAACACCCCAGUGGAUUGAACUGCCAUUCCUUUCUUUUGGCCCGAGACAUCCUAAACCGAAACAACUGAUUCAGAUACUUUAGCCGCGGAUAUAGAACCUCCUCCACAGCUCAAGGCUUGCUCCACUGGCUUCAAUACCUUAUCUUCCCAUAAUGAAUUCCACUAAUGCCUUAAGGGCUACCGCACCUACCGUAUAUGUCAAGUAUGGCUUUCCUGCCUUUAGGUCUCCUAUUGCUCUAUCCUAUUCUCCAAUUACUGCCCUAGAACCUUGCCUUACAUACUACAAGCUUUAUUCCCUCUUCCACGCCUCUACUCCUUAGUUGCACAUCUUAUCCUAUCUAUCCCAUCUAUAAGUCGUACUAUAUCCUCUCUAGGCCUGGCACUGCUAUAUCAAGGGAUCCGACAUACCAUCCCAGUCUAAUACCUCCUCUUGGAAUAAUGAAUUACUAAAACUAGAAACAAGACCGGUGCCACUAAUAUGAAAAGGGUAGCACCUACCCCCACACGAGAAUCACUUUUAUGCUAAGAAAGAAUUAAGCUACGACUAUUAGAUUGAAACACUACCUUGUCAGAGUAGAGGUCCUAUACUGGCAGUAAUGAACCAAAGAACAAUAACUUUACAUACAUAAUGGGAACAACGAUAGGAGAUCAGAAUACAAAUCAAACUAACAACACUGACUCCGCUAACUUGGAAUUCCGAUGGUGCCUAUAAGAUUGACACCGGGCUACUAACUAUAGAAAUGGGUCUACUACUUAAGUGAAGAGAAAACAAAACCUAUUGCUUCUGGAGCCAACUAGGAAUUACGCUCAUUGAUAUCAGAACCAAACCCAUCAAUCAGCAUAUGGAACGAAGCUACCCCACAGUAUUGCUUGUAUCGGUAGCACAUGGGUAGCAACGAACGUAUCAAUAGCAUAGGUAGCAAUGAAAACCAUAUUGAUUGAUUGCGCGUACGCGUAUCAAUAGCACAUAGGUAGUAUCAAUACAAUAACAGAGCAGAAGAGAGUUAGACAGAAGAGAGUUUCUUCCGUGCCAAAUCUAUUCUAUUCUCUUAUCCCCGUGCCAAAUCUAUUCUAUUCUCUUAUAAUAAUUAGAAUAUAGUUGAUUCAGUGCCAAUGCAAUAUAUGACUUUGAGCAGCAUAUACUACUUUUCACUGAUUGGUAUAGGGAUGCCUAGCUUACUUGCACAGCACAGUCAACACACCUACACACGGAGAAAAGAAACAAACACAUCUAGAGCUGCUAGUCACUCAUUAUUCAAGUCAAAUAACUCAUGCAUUGCAGGGCCGGGCAAUCAUUCUUGUCGUAAAAGCCCUUAAGCCCGAAAGUCACAUCAGUAAGUCUGUUAGCGGACCCACGUUCUGUUGAUUAGGGUCAACGUCGACGUCAACGAGCAUACCCCGCAGAGAACUAAGUCGAUAGUUCGGGUCGGUGGUCCACACACUCGUUCUGUUAGGUCAUUCAAUCAUUCUGAAAGUCACAUCGAUAAGUAUGUCGAGCAGAAGUAACAUCAACAAGUAUGUCGAGUAGCGCCCCCGUUCUGUGAGCGGUAAUUCACUCUGUCUUCGAACGGGGAUCAUCUCUCCGCUCGGUCAUUAACUCUGUCUUCGCGGAUCAUCGCUCAUUCAUAGAGGUGUGAUCAACUGGUCUAGGUGCCCUUUCCUUGGAAUGGGUCCCAUAUUUCUGUGUUGAAUCAUCAAAUGACAAAUCAUGUGUUUCAGCCUUAGACCCCGGAGAGAUAUUCUGUAUUCUUAGCAAUAUUCUUAGUAGUAAAGUCGCUAUUGUCUUAUCCUACUUAGUGGAAUUAUGUCUUCAAUCAUAGAUCUGUAGACUGAACACUGGAAUCACAGAUAUAUAGUGAAGCGAUAAAGUUUCGCUGGUUUUUGACCUUAUUUAGCUUAGCAAAUAGAAAGAAGUUUUACUAUACAGCAAAAGAAUAAUGAAUGGAAUGUAGUUGCGCGGCUAGCUUAGCGUAACUCUUUUCGGCAGUUGAACUAGACAAGUGUUUUCAUAUCAAAUAGGGGAGCCUUACUCUCCCAUCCCUAAGCUAAGCCCCAACCCCCUUGCUCUAACUCUAACUACUCUUACUUAUAUUCUUCAAAUAAUAGCUCUGGCCCUGCCUUGCUUUCGGUCUUACUACCAAACUCUGCAACUAAAUACUUUCAUCUUGCCCACAAGAACAGUAUGCCGAUCCCUUGAUCUUGGUCUACCGUCUAAAACAUACACUGCUCUGUCUCAUUCCCGCGCUGUUUAGUUUCAAUAUGAUGGGCCCUCUUCUGCUAAUAAGAGUAGAAUUGCUGUUUCUAAGAAUCGACCUGGGGAUAAAGAAUACACCUACCGUGCAGAGAUGUGGUAAGUAACCAUUAGAAUGGAACAGGUGUUGACAAGAAUGACCUACCAACUAGGAAACCUCAAAAGAAUAGAAAUAGUACUCAUCGGACCUUCUACUACUAAUAUCAGAAUAUGACUACCGCUUCCAGAGCUUAACUUAACUACAUAACUCAGGUCGAUCUCGAACCUCGCUCUACCAUACCGCCGCCUGCCCCUCUUUUUGCAUUCCGCAUUGAUAGCUUGAGUAUUGAACUCCCCUAUCUUAGGCUUACUUUACGACUUCUGUCCUUACUGCCCGGCAUCCACAUAUGUAUUUGUCCCACCAAGCAACCCAUAUCACUCUGACGCUCCCGGCGCUUAGUCUAAAAUGAAUUCCUUCUAGCCUUAAAGCGACUAUUCUCAGUGUACUAUUACUAUUAAAUGACAAACUUGUGCUUCUCGUAACCUCCUCUCUAAACAUAGGAUCGAACAAGGUGCUUUUGAGUCUAAUGAAUGCACUACUAUUUCUAUCAAGUAGUAUGCCCACUUUCUCAAAAGAAAGGUGCUAAGAGCGUUCACCCUGUCACUAGAAAGAAAGGAAUAUCGGCAAGGAAAGGAAUAUCGGCUGCUCAACCUGUCACUAGAAAGAAAGGUGCUAAGAGCGUUCACCCAACACUAGAGAGUACUUGAUUCUGGCCUUUGCUUCUUGCCCUUGUUUGCUUGUUGAGAGCACCUGUUCUAUGAUUUUGUAAGCGCUAACUGAGGUAUGCACUGCAACUCUCAUACUUUUCUAUGACGGGAUCCUCAAUAAGAAGAUAAAGGCGAGGAUCUUCAUCCACGACAGGAGGAAGCCUUAAGCGGUGCCGACUCUGCCAGCCUUUUGUCCUAUUAGUUUCGCUUUCAAAGGAGUCAAUGGGAAAACUAGGGAUAUGGAUUCAUUAGGUUCAAAUUCUCCUUUUGUUCUUUUAAGGCAUAAGAGAGGAGGGAACAACCAUUGUGAAUGAUGCUAAGCUAUCAAAAGUCACUACGCAACCUCUACUCAAGAGUACGUAAGAGAUGAGGGAGGAUCGAUCGGAUCGGGCUUUUAUUUAAAAUCAAGCAUUCUGACCCUAGCCUAUCUCACCAUGGAAGUUUCUAGCCUUAGCAUAUAGGGCGGUCCUUAAGCGGUAACGGAGGCCGUGUUUCACUGAUACUUUCCCAUAUAAGGAGUGGAUGCUGGUGAGCUGCUCAAUAAUACUUGUUCUCCUAAAAUAUUUGGAAAUCUCCCUUGAGGGUAGGGAUGACUCUUUUAGCAGCAUAUGUCCCCUAGGGUUUGAUCUCCCUUAAAGCUUCUUCUUUGGUGUAACAAUGGCUUAAGGCCGAAUUCAUCUUCUUCCAUCCCUGCACUGUUAUACGUGCCAAUCCUUUCCAUUCAAGCUCGGGCCGUAGGUGUAAGAUCCCAGUUCUUCGGUGCAGUUAAGAGGUGGGGCUAGCUAAUGCAGUUAAGAGGUGGGGCUAGCGAAACUUACUCCACUUCAUAGAUCUCUCUUCUGCUCUCCGCAUCAAUGGCAUGAGAAUUCUUUGGCUUUGUCAGGCAAUGGCAUGAACUGGGGACUGCUAAACAAGCUUAGAUUUCUCAUUUCCUGAUCAUUAUCGAAAUCACCAUUUGCUAACUCUCACAAUCAACGAGCGAAGAUAAGCAGAGAAUUGUGCUUGUGUUGGGUUGGGGAGAAAAGGUUUUCUCAAUCCCCGUCUUCUAAUCCAGUAGGAGCCAUCCUUGCCUAAUCCAGAAUGUGAGAGAGUUGCAAUCAUCUCCAGAAUGUGAGAGAGUUGCAAUCAUAACUAAAUAAGGAAGCACUCAAUCGCAGCUUGAUGGGCUCUAGCUCUAAAUGGCCCAAUCCAGCAUCGCCGAAUCCACCCGAUCAAAUGUUCGUUUUCUCAAAAGGAAAGGUUCAAAAAGGGUGCGUGCGCGCUUCAAGGCUAGGUGCAUUAUUGGAUUGGCACUCUUGCUUUCACUUAGGGUUUAGAUCGGGAUUCUUGUUUUACCAGCUAAGCAUUUCAGGGGUUGGUUAAUAGACGCUUUAAGAGCAACGGGCCCCAUAAGAAAAGAGGUUGAUAGACACUAGACCUAUAGGGGGAGGGAGGAAGCGACUGAAAGGAUAAGGAUAGGGUCGAUGUCAUUUAGUCCGAUCUUUUUUGGAAAAGGGAGAACGAACCUUGACUUGCGAAUAACUCACUAUCGACUAUAAGCCCUGGGGAAACUAAUAUUAUAGCUAAUCCCUUAUGUUGCCCGCGUAACGGCUGUUCUAAUGCAUUUGUAGCCUUAAUGAAAGUACUGGACGAGGUUGUCAACUUACUAAGACAACUCAGGUUCGCGUCAGUCUCAAUUAGUUCGUCUGUGAGAGUAUAAAGAAGCAGUUCUCAAGUCAGCAGCAAGUUCAAAUAGAGAGUUUUCCUUGGCUUACGUUGAGUUCUUGUUUUCUCGGUAUUAGCGAGUUGACCUGUAGCUUAUAUAAGUGGGGAGAUAUUCCAUUCUUUCUUGAUUUGUGUUCCUCUGUGUAACGGGAAGGGAGAUGACAUUCCUCUGAUAUAUAUGCACAAGAUAGAGAUGAAAUGAAUGGUUGACUCGGCGCUAAGAGAAGAGGCUAAAGAUAGAAAGUCUACAUCGACUCCAGAAUCGGCAUAAGAAAGAUCUUCAGCAGGAGAAAGUUAGUCAGCUAAAAGCGGGAAGGAGAAGGAGCGGGAAGGAGAACUGUUAGGACAGAGGCAGAGGAUUGAUCCACGUGCUAAAGGAAAGGGUGUUUCAGUUGACAGAGAAGAGUUUCGAAAGCGAUAAGCUGCAAGCGCAGUGGGAAGUUCCUUAGUCGGCUUGUCUAUACUAAGCUUGGCCGGGUCGGGUGCCGCUGUAGCUCAAACAAAGUGGUUUCGUGGAGUCGGAUUGAAGGUUCUGUUCUGAAAGUGUGGAGUACGGUUUACAGUAAAGUCGACCAUAGAAGAAGAAGUGCGGAAGAAAGUCAAAAGUGACCUACUUGCUAACUCUAAACAAUCUGAACUCAGCUAGUCAACCCCGCCCAAUAGGUUUCUAGUGACGGCUAGGAAAGCUCCUAUGUAAUCUAUAAUACGGAAUACUUUUCUCUUUAGGUGCGACUUAAUCUUUUGGAAAGUUCUUUACUUGUGUUGUCAACGAGAGAUUCCGCUGUUCGAAAGGAAGCAGAGCGGUACUAUUCCUUAGAGUCAGAAGGGGGCUUGAACGCCUUUCCCUCAAACACUUAACUUCGAGCAGUAGGGCGGGUACAGGACUUCUUUUGCCGAGGAGAACACAAAUCAACAUUAUACAGGCUUUUGCGCCAUCUCAUUCUUUCAUUUACACUCCUUACGCUAAACUCUCUAACGCACAAGCAAAACAAGUAAUGGAAACUCUAUAAGCAAGUUACAUAUAGAAGGCUGGUAAUAUUCAAUCUUUCUAUACAAUACUAUAUUCUCUUCUUUACAAGUCCACAAAUACGGAAUUUCCUCUUUCUCUCGCAGAAGCAUCAGAUUUUAUUGCUUGCUCUUGACUUUCGACUUACUCUUUACUUUUUGCCAUUAAUUAAGCUAUCGGCAAAAGACAAUUGAGGCCUUUUGCUCUAGGUUCAAAAAGAAUGGAAUGGAUGUCGGCUCUGCACUUCGAGAAGAAACUCACUUUAUCGUUGGUGCUUGUUCUGUUUACUGCUGGGGCGCACCACCUGUUCUGCUUUAGAUAGGAGGCCUUUUUGAUAUGAUAUCGUCAGAGAUAAGGAGAAGAGAGAAGCUUCCAGAUACCAACCAUUCUGCCCUGAACACUACUAAUAACUCCUUGCGAGACAAUCUGUUUACCUUUUUUGAUGGCCCACACAAGAACGAAACGAAACUUGCAGAACCGAUCGUCGUCAACACAAGAACGGAUGAAACUCACGAUGAAACAAGAACUGAAUCACUUUAAGACCUGGCAGCUGCUUCCUUACCAACUGAUGAUCUUUAUUCUGCCCUAUCUCUUCGGCUUCUGUAUAGGAGGAUCAACUUAUUGUCUUAGCGCAGUAGGAAGUAAUGGAUUCCGCCCUGAACCCAACUAGUAACAGAUAUACAAGUAGGCGCCAAGUAACGGAUAGACAAGUAGUCAAGCAACUACCCUUUCAUAACAGACCUCUACUCAAGUGCUGACAAUAUAACUCUACUGGAAUUGUUUCACACAAGCACCAACACAAGUCUCUCCUCUCUUUACUUAGAGCCAAUCACUUAUCUUUACUACUUCCCACUUGCAGCACUAGCAGCUUACGACUGAACCCUCUUAUCUCUAUGACCUAACUCACCCUGCUUCUUUAUAAGAUGAAACAAGGGAUGACUUUCUCACUUCCUCUGAUCCUGAUACAGGCAAUUCUAUAAUAAUCUAAUAAUUCAUUUCUAAAUAAGAAAGAUAAGAGUCAGCAGCGUAAGGAAAGGAAGCAAGAGAAUCCGCUGUGUGAGUUUAAUCCUGGGCAACUGGGCUGGCAGUUCUAGUUGAAUACCGAGUAACGUCUAGGUUCCUUCGAGAAAGAGGCUAUGGUUAGUUACAAUGUAAUCAAGCUACUCCCUUAAGCAGACAAGCAGACCCUUCCUUAUAGUGUGGACUACGGAGAGGUCGGGUAUAGUAAAGAAUUGCCUGGUACCAGAGGAUAGGUCGGCUUUGUAAGCUAUGAAAGAAAGUCUAGUUCUUGCCCCAACGGGUAGUGGAGUAGUUAAGAGCCAUAACAGUCAAAGUAAGGUCUAGGUCGGGUGUUGACGAUGAGUAUACUAUUUCUGUGUCCUGUGUACUAGAGUGUUGAGUAAGUCAGUAGUAAGUCCUAAGUGUUGAGUAAGUCAGUAGUAAGCCCUAAGUAAACUAGUUAUUAGUAAGCCCUAAGCCCUAAGUUAGUAGCUAGUAAGCCCUUUAGUGGAAUUCUUUGUUUCAUCAGUAGUAGUUGACAAAGCGGAGGGAGAUGAGAAAGCAGCUCAGUAGUCAAUAUCAGCUGUGCCAAGCCGGGUGCUCUUUCUCUCAAUACGGAAAGUCAGAGACCAACUCAGAAGGCUAAGUCAGAAUGUCCCUAAGCAGUCUAAGAAUCAAACUAACUAGUCCAAGGCCAAGCAACGGCGAGUCCUAAUUCUUCCUCAGACAGGCGAAGACAGGACUUUGUUAUAACUCAUUAUAGAACGAACGUAUUUAUAAGAAUCUAUUCCUUGCUUUGACAUUAAGUAUGUAGGCUAAAUAAAUGGGCAUGUAGGUUUUCCUUUUUCCACUACAUAAAGAGGCAUGUGUAUGCUUGACUUUGACCCUACCCGGAACCCUGACUACCUACCCGGAACCCUGACUAUAAGAAAUCCGCCUUAUGAAACACAUAACUUAGAUUGGAUGUUACAAUGUUAUGUUAUUCAAUGAGCCUUUCACCAGUAAGCCCCAGACAAUAAGAUAAGGGAGUAGCAUAUGACAAUAUGAUAAGGGAGUAGCAUCUAGUAUAUAAGUAACGUAUUUCAUGAGUCGUGGGGGAUUCUACCAUUCUCUUUUAUGUGCACUAACUAACUAACUAACGCCGACGAAGAAAGCAUCGGACUUCAUUAUCACUCCUACGGACGCGCAAUGCCUUGUGUCAUUGCUAGUUUGCUUAGUAGUUUGUUGGAACUCACCGGACUAACGCACCCCGUGAAAUAAGCGUGAGCGCCAUGGCUAGUUUGUUCCCCUGUGCUAACGCUAGUUUUCAAUAGGGAUAUAAUCUACUCUACAAAUUCAUCUAAUAUACAAAACUUUCGAAUAGAAAAUAAGUGACAUCUAAUGGAAUCGAAUAGCAUUCCAAUAAAUAACCGAUAUGAGCUUCUAUCAUUACUCACUACUUCAUUACUCACUACUUGAAUAACAUAACAUUACAUUUCUUCCAUUUCUGCCCUCUUGCUUAAGUACAGAGGAAAGGUUCGGAACAAGCGAAAAGUAGCAUAUAGGUACCAAUAUCUAUUCUUCUAGUAUACAAGUAGCUCCAUAUCUAUUAUUCUAGUAUACAAGUCGCUUUGUAGGGAGAGAGCCCAGUCAGCGACACAGAAAUGGGAAAUGCACCCCACACACAAUACCCAAGUAAGAAACAGAGCGGGGGACAGGAUUUCGGUCUCGGGGAGAAAGCUUUUUCUUUUAUUUCGAGGCAGAAGAAGGAGACAGAGGUUAGAGAAUCUAUCGAAAGAGAAAGAGGUGAAUUAGCCGAAUCAGACAGACCUGUCGAUGAAACUAUAGAGUACGCAUUAACUGGUUUCUUUUAUUGAGUACGCAGCAUUAACUGGUUUCUUUUCUGGCUAAAAGGGGGAAAGCGGAAACCCUGUUUGGUCCAACUCCAGGAGGUUAACCCCACGCGGUCUUUGAGAAGGCGGAACGGGAAGCUAACCUAAGUGGUGGUCAGGACAAUCACAAUCUCGUCCCUGGUUCAGAGGCCAGGCGCCCGCCUACGCGGACAGGAGUCGAUCGAUUGAGGGCUUGGAACUUGGAAGCCAAGUCAGCACUGGGACAACAAAGGCGGUAGAGCGCUAGCGUAGGGUCGGCAGUAAUUGCGGUUUACCCCUCAAUCUGUAGGGAAUAAGUACUUGGCAGGUACCGAACCCCGGAAGAAAUAAUCCCAUCCAUUCGAAUUCUAACGCCGAACCAAUCUCUACGCUACGAGAAGGAGCUACAGCCUACUUAACCGACACAAGCUUCAGAGCAUAAAAACGGAAAGAAUACUUAUGAGAGAAGAGAACAACCCUCGCAGAUUGAUGACAAACAAAGACAAAGGAAAGGGACAAGGCACAACACAAGACAAGGAAAUGUCCCAACAACAAAGGAAAGGGGCAAGGCAAAAGGAAAUGUCUCAUCAACAAAGAGAAAGAAGGUUAGCCUCAGAAAAGAGAGUGGAUUCAAGACUUAUGAAUAGUAUCAAUCAGUUCAAGUUCCAUUCUGCAUUCCGGUUUCACUUGUGCGUAAGAGAAAGGAGUUGUUGAAGGUAAGCUAGUUUCUUUUGUAUAAGAUAAGUAAUUAGAGAGAUAGAUUUCACUAGGUACUACUGUCUUACGAAAUAGAUUAAGCGGGUAAUCAGAAUAACUUAGAUGCGAUGUGCAUUGUAUUCCAUUCUUCAAGCAACAGGUAUAUCCCUAUCAGCAACAUCAAUCUGGGUUUACAGUGGUGUUGUCGGUUAAUUAAUCUCAGUUCGACUUUCAUCUUACACGGAAGCGGAAGAGAAUGACCACGCCACAUGUUAGGCAAAAAGUGUCAGGAUAUCGAGCAAGCUAGAAGGCAAAUCUAGGGCUGAUUAACAUUCUAUCAGUAAACGAUCUAUCCCUACAUUUAGAGUCGGAAGUAGUAGGGAGUCGUAUAAGAGCAGAGAAUCAGUACAAGUCCUAUGGAUCUGGUGUUCUGUAAGUCUCUCUUAUUGUUAUCUUUCCUUUCUAUUGGCGCAUAUUGUCUGAGGGAAGUCCCUUGCUAGGCCAAAGAAACUAUUCCUUCCCGAGUAGGUUGUUGCUGUUCAGAUAAGAAUCACUAUCAUCAGACGGGGAUACUGGGAUGCUAACGCUUAUUGGAGUUUUUGGUCGGUAACUAUAUUGUCUGAAGAAACGAAAGAUUCAAUCCAAGUUUGACUUGCCCUCACGGGAAGGGAGUGAGUUUAGAGUGUCAAUUCCUAUUAGAUAGACGGGUGAGAUAUAUUCUUGUGUUUCCGUUUCCAUUGAAGGAGGUGAUUGGCGCUUUACCUCGUGGAGAGGAGGAGAUAGGUGAAGUGAAAGUUCCAGUCUGGUUUUGGGGAGUUACGUGGGCAGUCAGGUAUUCGAUCUAUAGGAGUCUACUUCUGGUCCUAGUGAAUCUGUCUUUGUUGGUUGGUUGGACACUCAAUUGCCUGUCCUAGUUCGAGGUCAGUUAUGAAAGUGUAGUUUCAGUGAGAAGGUAGUAAAGAAACAGUACUCUAGCAAGAAAGCAGAAUAGAAGUAGUGACUAUUGAAUACCUUCACUCAGGCCUAAUAUAUAAUGAAAGCUUGAGUGGAGGUCGGCAAGGGGACAACUAAUCUGGAUAAACCGGAGGGGGGUGUUUCUUUUCGCAGCUAAGGGCAUUUAGUAGAAAAGGUGUUCUUUUUCACAGCAUAACUUCAAAGGUGUUCAUUUUCACAGCAUCGGGCAUUUAGGAUAUUCAGCCGUAACUAUGGGACAAGUAACCUAAAGUAACGAGUACCUUUCGAGUACCUUAAGGAGCAAUAACAGAAUGUGAUAGAAUUCCAUAUGUACUAGAAAUAGCGAUAAGAAGAAAUAGUCAACUACUUGAAACUAUCACUCCCGGCUCAUCUAACUUCAUUUCUUUUAUACCGGAAUUAGUAUACGCUUUUGUCUCUGACUCUCGAAUCCAAUUAUGACUUUCUGAAAAGACGACUAAUAGUCAUUAAACUACUCCUAAUUAGAGCUGUUAGGGGGAAUAAUAGAGAAUAUCCUACUUUAUGCGCGGGGAAUAAAAGAAUAUCCUCCUUGCUUUGGCUUAUGAGGGGUGAGUUCAAAGAUACUGUAAGGAUGAAACCCAGAAGGGCACUUUCUAAACCAUUAGCAGCUGACCUCUUUGACUUUAGCCAACACCUAAUUCUUUACCUGAACUAGACACUCCUUGCCCAGGCUCUACUCCGGAUCCUUAAGCUUGUUAGUGGACCUCGCCUCAAAGUUAGUAAGAUAGUAUGUCCGCCCUUAGUCUGCCCUGAACCCAGCUUCUGUAUCAAAGCCCUCUUUCUAUUAGUUUAGUAGUCAAUUCCAUUCUAUAGUUUCCUUUCCUCGAACAGAACCGUUUACCGCUGAUGAUCCUGUUCUGCUUACUUUAGCCUCUGAUACUGCUGCCGAUCCUACUCCUGAUCUAGCAUCUGAAACUGCUCUUGAAACUGGAACUGGAUUGGAGACUUUUGACUUCUUAUCCUCUAUCUACUUUUACACUGAAUCACUUAAUCCAGCAUCUGAUCAUAAUUCUGAUACUGCUUAUUCUGUUACUUCAGCACCUGUCACACGAAACUCAUUCUGAUUCCUAAACUGCUCUUUCAACACUCUAAACUCAGGUACCAGAUUGGAUAUAUAACUCAUAAAGAUAAGUACUAGCACCCGAAACAAUACUGGAAAUGAAACUUGAUACUGGACCUCGACCUGGCAAUACUUAGUUUAGUGCUGAAGUCAACAAAGAAUGAAAGUUGUACUGUUCUUGUUCUAAAGGGUUUUAUUAAAGAGGAAAGAAACUACCGGUUCUCUCAAGUAGGAAAGUUCGAAUUGAACUCCAAGGUCAGAAAUCAGAGAUAGUUAUUCUAGAAGCAAGUAAUAAUUAAGGAUGAACACUAGGCUAGUGUUCGUCUACCUGCCUAUAUAAAGAGAAGAACCAAGCUCUCCACUAGUUCAUAGGGAAUUCCUCACUAAAAGGUAAAGGUCGGAAUUGACAAAUCAAAGGGAAUGCUUUAUCAAUUCAUUUCCAGUUGUACCUGUCGCAAAUUAGAACUUGCGUAGAUAAUGCUCUUCAUUCCUCUGUCCCAUUUCUAUAUAUACAUAUAUAAUCAUAGUGUUGAGUUGGCUAAAAUAGAGAUGAAGUAAACAUCAUAUACACAUGGAAUCAUUGCUAGAUCUAAUCCCGUAUUGGUUCGAUAAAUAGUGAGCCUAAUAAUGGUCUUUUCAAUAAACAAAUGGGAAACUUCAGAUUAAUAUGCUCUGGAAUGUUGGAAAUUAGGGAAUGUCCACAAUACUUAUAUAAGAUCCCCAAUUAGAGUAGGGAGGUAUUUCUUAGGUUCAGUAAUGAGAGCUUGACAGAAGAAUGGAAUAAGUUUCCAAUAAUUUCAGAUAGAGAUCAUUUCAUUGAAAUUUGGUAGAAAGAUAGAAAUUGGUAGAACCCUUGCCUUGAGAAACGAAAGAGAUGCUGUGUCUGAAUCACUAACUCUUAUGAAUUAUAUGUACCCCCGCGGGAUUCAUUUUGAUUACCUGUAGAGAUAUGCAAGAACAAACCUUUUUAUUGGAAACAUUCCUCUAAGAAAUCCCCCUGGAACCCUUAUUGUCAAUGUAAUAUAAAGAUAGUAAAUGGAAUCUACAGAUCUCAUUGUGAUCAAUCAACAUAUUGAAAAGUCAAGUAUUUACUACCAUUCCAAAUUAUACCAUAACAGAAUUGCUGUCUUUACCCGCGCGCACUAUAAUAUCAGAUUGGGUAGUAGGGGGAAAAGAGAAUAAUUGAGAAGGAUUGGUCCAGAGGGAAACUAGGUCUUAGGAGUGAAAGAGUCUUUUUUUUGUUACUGCCGCGCUACUGACUAUGUUGCUUGGCCCCCCAUUUAUUCUCAUUCUCAUUCUGAUCACACUUACCGCAACAAGCUGAGGGCAGCAUCUCUUCUCUUUACUACCUUCUCUGUGACCUCUGUCUCCUCUACCUCUGCUGGCUACUGUCAUGAGGCUCUGUUGCUUGGCCCCCCACUUUUCUUUACGUACUAUUAUGCUUACUAUACCAGCUGAUGUAGCAUUAUAGACUAGACUGUAUUGUGACUUUUGCUACCAUCAGGAGAAAUCGAACCCAUUCCCCUGUUCCACAUUAUGAUAUAUAUAUAUAUAACCCAUACCUCUGUUCCACAUUAAUAGAGAAUCAUCAUAUAAGAAAUCAUAAGAAUAUAGAAUAUAAGGUGAGUUUUCAAUAAUGAAUAUGGGGUUUUUCUAAGUUAACGUCUUUCUUCGGUAGCUGGUUCGGGGUAAAUAAUGGUAAAUACGAAUUCACUGUAUUUCUGACCGGGAACAGGACCUAUAAUAAGAAUAUUGAUUUGAUUGGGACGAGAACUCUGAGAAGAAAUCAUUUCCUAUCUGUUCUUUCCACUCAGGAGAAAUACGAUCAAUCAGGGGGGGGAAGAGUCGGGUAAUAAGAGAACAGCCCAUACAUUCAAAGCCCCGUUUUUACCAUUAGCAAGAACUUGUUUCAGUUGAGCUUAUCAUAAGGGAUUCGAACUACAGCUUCAAUCAAAUACAGUAUAAGGAAGCACUGCUUGCGUAACUUCAAUAUCAACUAUUAGCGAAAUAGCAAUUGGCACAUAGAAUUCAUUCGUCCACCCACUUCCUUGCUUCUCGCAGAUAUAACCCUGCAGCGCAUAAAUAGGAUAUGCAUUUUCUAUAGAUGCCCCAGUUAUGACAUAUAUCAUCAUCGAUACAGAAAUGGAUCGAGUCAUCUCUUUAUCGAUACAGAAAUAGAUCGCUUACUUUACCCAAGCUCAAAAGAAAGUAUUUUGCAUGUCAAUCAUUGAUCCCGGAAUUUCUACCUGAAAUCAGAUAGGUCGCUAGUAUUGUUCCCUAUACACGAGUCUGUCAUUGUACUGGAAUAUAGGACGAAUACCAGCAACAGAUAGAAGUCUCAAUAAAGAAGUAAAAGCUUUCAAAUGCUCUUUCUUUAUACACGAGAGGAAGAUUCAUUCUCAUUUUGGAUUGAUAUAAAUAAGGAUAAUAAUAAUAGAUCAAUUCUAGUUGAUGAUUCAUGUUUAUAGGGGUAUAGUUCUUUAUUCAUGUUGAUAGGGGAAUUCCGUAACCCCCAAAUUCAGAGCGAGUUCUUUCAUUACUCAGAAGAAAAUAACAACCACUUCCAAAUAGCGAAACAUAUUCUCUUUAUCGAUAAAUGCUAACAUUCAUAUAGAGAUCAUAUUCAUUGUGUGCUUGCCUUGACUAAUUGUAUCCUUUCCUUGUUUAUUCCGGUAGAGUUAGAUUUAUAUGCCUUGCCGGGUACUUAGCUUAGAGUUCGCUUCUUUUAUAUGCCUUGCCGGGUACUCCUUUUCUCAUUUCGUCCAAUAGCAAUAGUUCUUCAAAUUCUAUCUAUGAAUCUAACGUUUUUCUCUGUAUGAAUCCAAAUUGAGGAGAUUGCCUAGUAUUCCACCAAUUUGUAACCCAAGGCAAGGUUCCAGACAUUUAUGAAAUUCGAAAGAUACCCCCACCAGGGCAAAAUGACUAUAGAUGCUAUAUAUGGGAGAGAGGCCGAUGCUUUCUUCCUUUUGCACUUGAUUCUGUUACUGAAGCAGCUCUUCAUUCGUUGACUCUAUCAGAUCUUAUAUUUCUUUGAAGCACUAGUUGUAUAACUGAUAUUUCUUGGAAGCAUUAGUAGUAUAAUAAAAGGGGUAUUGACCUAUGGUUCCUUGUACAAUAAUGAAUAGUAUAAGACCUAUGGUUGGUUCCUUGUACUAGAAUUCUCAUAGUAUAAGACCUAUGGUUGGUUCCUUUACUAGGAUGAACUCUGGUUCGGUUCCUUUACUAAGUAUAAUCAUUCUCUUUUUGGAUUUAGAAGGAAUAUAGACAUAGAAUAAGAGUUAGUCCUAUUCGGAUGAAAAUGAGAAAUAGGAAAUUAUGAUUCUUCCAGAUAUAUCAAUUGGGCUAAUUCGAAGAUAUUGAACUCGCACUCUGUAUAGGAUUACUUUCAAAGAGAUCAUAAGCGGGAGAAGCAGCUGGAUAAGAAUAGGCUCAAAUAGGUGGCAGCGCUAAAGCAUAUUUCUUCACAGGUCCAAGUCCAGUUCUUGGAUCAGACUAAGUUGACAGAUCUUCUGCUUUAUCAAUAGAAUCCGAAGUCAGAGUUCAGUCGACGAGAUCAGAAGCUUGGCUUUAGGAAGGUUGCAAGUAUAGUAUAGAAACCACCGGUAAAGAAUAUGGAUCAAGAUAUUCAGGCUGGAUCUGGUGGUGCGGUAAGCACGGGACAAUCAGUUUCAUCUACCAUAGAAGCCUAUUUCUAAUGCCUACGGAGCGGUAACGUCAUUUAUACUCUGCCUCGAGUAUAGGGUUCGGGGAAGCUGUGUACUCACUAACAUCUAUAUACCAUAUGCUUGAUAAGAUAGAUACACCAUUCUGACUUGAUAGUUUAGUUACAACUUCUUUUAGGGAUGCUACUUUACUCAUAGGGAGAUUCUUAUACUUAACACCUUCAUGUGAAGUGAGAAAGUUUCGCUGGUUUUUCACCUUAUUCUCCUAAGCAAAUAGAAAGAAAUGUUACUAUAUAAUAAUUCCAUACUACAUUUCUGAAUUCAAAACAGUAGUGCCGGGCAUCUCGACCAGUUUACCGUGCCUCGAUGAAUGAGUUAUGUUGGGUAAAGAAUGCGCUCAACUACCUGAAAAAUGAGUGAAGGAAGAAACAAACUGUUAUUGGGGACCGAACCCUUCGAUGCGCGUCCGGCGUACUACCUUCGUUGCAUGUGCGAUGGACCACCACGUUGUCCUUUGUUUCGCCCGAGCAAUGACAUGACCGAACCGAGGUACAAUGAUCCCCGGAGCCCUUUCUUUGUUUAUACCAUUGGAUGUCGUCCGCCCCUGUAGUCCUAAGCCCGAAGAAUCAAUGUAGUUUCUCCCGACGAAUUACCGACCUGACCUAUGAAUUAAUUACCGAGGUACUAGCUUCGUUGCCUGUGGACCAUUGAUACACGACCAACCCAUGAAUGAGUGAUGGAAUUGCGUCCCGGGGUCCGCUCACAGACUUAUUGAUUGUACUUUAAGGCGGAGCUAUUUUAUAAUAAGACCAAGUUCACUACCCUUUAUUACAGAACGAAAACACAUUCCAAUAUAUGAGAAUUUAUGGUCCCAUGGUAGCUCUAGGGGAGGUGUGUUAUUGGUUCAAAAGUGUGUUUCGGGGGACCUGGCAUCAAAGCAAGAAUACCAUCGGCACCACAGAAACUAUAUUAUCUUAUAGGAAACUAUAUUAUCUUAUAAGAAUCUCAUUGGCACUGCCCAUGGAUAGUAUGGAUUUUGGUUGUUCUUUUCUAUUAAUAGAAGCCAUAAUAUGGUUUGGUGGUUUCUUUCUUUAUUCAAUUGGGGUUGAUCUGAGUUCGCCCUACCGCAUGUUUAUUACUCUAGUGGUAUGGUAUAGCUUCAUUCUCACUGCCAAGCUAGAGAUUCCUUAUAGCUUUUUGGAUUCCGCGUAUACUGGGGGAUUCUUUUUAUACUGAACUGAGUCGACGAAGACAUCAGCAGCAAUGACUAAUACAGUUUCUUAUUGCAGUUGAGUUUGUAUACGUUGUUUGGUGUCUGCGGGAUAGGUAUAUAAGAUUUCCUGAAAGGGGGGGCGGGCUACCUUAUGUGUUUCAUCCCUUUUCUCAUGGGGUUGAUUCCCACUAGUCGUGUAGCAGUGAAACUCUUGUUAACGGUAGGCUUGAAGCACCUUAUUAUAAUCAAAAGUGCUAGAAGCCCCCCCGCUNNNNNNNNNNNNNNNNNNNNNNNNNNNNNNNNNNNNNNNNNNNNNNNNNNNNNNNNNNNNNNNNNNNNNNNNNNNNNNNNNNNNNNNNNNNNNNNNNNNNNNNNNNNNNNNNNNNNNNNNNNNNNNNNNNNNNNNNNNNNNNNNNNNNNNNNNNNNNNNNNNNNNNNNNNNNNNNNNNNNNNNNNNNNNNNNNNNNNNNNNNNNNNNNNNNNNNNNNNNNNNNNNNNNNNNNNNNNNNNNNNNNNNNNNNNNNNNNNNNNNNNNNNNNNNNNNNNNNNNNNNNNNNNNNNNNNNNNNNNNNNNNNNNNNNNNNNNNNNNNNNNNNNNNNNNNNNNNNNNNNNNNNNNNNNNNNNNNNNNNNNNNNNNNNNNNNNNNNNNNNNNNNNNNNNNNNNNNNNNNNNNNNNNNNNNNNNNNNNNNNNNNNNNNNNNNNNNNNNNNNNNNNNNNNNNNNNNNNNNNNNNNNNNNNNNNNNNNNNNNNNNNNNNNNNNNNNNNNNNNNNNNNNNNNNNNNNNNNNNNNNNNNNNNNNNNNNNNNNNNNNNNNNNNNNNNNNNNNNNNNNNNNNNNNNNNNNNNNNNNNNNCUAGUGGGUAGUUAGUUAUGAGCAAGUGCAGUUAUGAUCUUUUGCUUAUUCUAAUCCUGAUGAAUAUCCUUAUUCAUAUCUUUCUCUUUCAACUCCAGCAUUUGAAGAACCGAUUGCGACUUACUUACUGGAGAAACCUUCGGAUCCAGGAAUGGAACCCAAAGAGCCAAGUAACUACUAAUGACCAAGCAACGGGACAAACAACUGCUCCUCCUCUGAUUCUGUAUUUGCAGUGGAAUUAUGAUUAUGACUAGUUUCCUUUUUGCUACUUAUUUCUUAGUGUUUUAUUCAGAGUUUAUAGAGCCCAUGGUAGGCGAGAUGAGGGCAAUUCCAACUUUAGGGUUCAAUUAUUCACUGGCAUUGCAUCUGAAGUUGCUGGUUCAGAGGAUCUUCUUGCCAUCACUGCCGUAAGCACAGAAUGAGAUUGAACUGAUGCUGACAUACGCUGAAGAAAGGAUAGGCAUGGUAGAUCUUUGUAACCAAGGAUGCGAGAUCGGUAUACAGUUGCCCCUAGCCCAAGGUGCUUUUAACCAACCGGCGUGCUCUUAGUGUGAAUAGAAUAUGUUACUCUCUUUCCCCCUCUUGCUAACAACUAAAGAAGAGGAUUGAGCUAGGAAGAUAGAAAACUCAAGAAGAGGAUUGAGCUAGGAAGUCUGCUGAGCUAUAAAGCACGAAUCAAACUAGCGCAUUAGAGUAUUAGAUAAGAUAAGGUACGAUGUUGCUUGGCGGAGACUUUACUUUGAGUAGAAAGAAUUCAAUGAAAUCUAGCAUAGUGUAUAGAAAGGGUAGGUCAUAUUCCUAGGCUUACCCGAGAUCUGUAUCAGAGGCAUAAGAGCAAUAUCCGGAGUCGGAGAUAGAAUAUGAAGUUGUUGUUCUUGUGUUGUCUCCAGUUUAAAGAGAAUCCCCUGCUGAAAGGUCAAGUUCCAUUACUGGUUUUGGCAAAUUGGCUAAUGCUAGUUCUGGCGCUAACUGAGCUCACCCUGAAGAUAAGAGUAUGAAGUGAUGCAAGCAAGGCAUGAACUAAAGUACUUAAGUCUAGUAUAAGGUGAGGCAAUCAAGUAACCUCAAAGCUUCGAAAGUGCGUUAGUUAGUUGUGCUGGAGCUUAUUGUGCUUGGGUGUGUUAGAGGGAGUUCGACAAGUGCUAGCGUGAGUUGAGUGAAGUUGGAAUCGCCUGAGUGCUACGUGAGUCUUUAAGCACAGCUUAGUUAGUUUAUUCAAUUGUGUCAGGUGAUGUCAGUUAGGUUAUUCUAUUAUAUCAGUCAGUGGAUGUCAAUUAGGUUAUUCUCUUCCAUUAUAUCCGUUGAUGUCAAUUAGGUGUGAUUUUCUUGAUUCUCUAAUAUCCGUUGAUGUGCAUAUUUGAUUACUUUACUGUUAUUUCACACUGGCGUUAGUGAGUUUGCCGGAACAAUAAACAUGCUAACGCUUUAGUCACUCGCUAACAGCGCAAGCCGUGUUACUUGUUCUAAGCUUGCUGAAAGCAAUGCUCCAUUUUUGGAACUCAAUUCUAUAAGUGCUGUGCAUCACUAAAUUCCAUUAUCUGCCUUUUGACUUUAGCUUAGCUUCUUUCUAUGAUUACACUGCCUUUGCGACUGAUAUAAGUAUGGGAGCUGACUUUAGCCUAAGUAUUCUUUAUUAUUGAUACAACAACACUCGAACAGCAGCAACCCUGAGAGAAAGUUAUCCAAAUGUUGAGCGGAAUGCCUUGAACAGAGACCAGAGUCUUUCAGCACCUUGAGAAGACAGAAACGGAGACCCUAGCCUUUUGUUAGUGAGUUCGAGCAAGCAAACAGAUUAGCGGAACAGGUGGCCUCUAUUCUGACUUUAGGGAACCCAGGGCCAUAAGUAGUUGUCUCUACAGAUCUAUUCUGACUUUAGGGAACCCAGGGCCAUAAGUAGUUGUCCUAGAGAUCCAUUUAAGCACUUAAGAUUUGAUGCGAGUCACAUUCAUCAAUUAUAUACUACUAUGCUAAAGAGAGAACGAGCAAACUAAGAGACUUGUUGAAAUAUGGUACUUAGCGCUGUAACCCCUUCUUUCUCUAACACCCUUAUCGCCGUUGAACAGAGGUGAAACGUUGCUAAUGUAACAUAUUCUGUCCUGCAAGAAAGCGUGCUGAUAUUCAUGAUUAAAGCAAUGCGAUGUUUGGUUACAUUGUUCUAUAUGUGUGUUAGUGUUAGCUCAAUUCUGUUCAAUGAUUUUGCCCGAGCUACAGCGGCACGGAAUUCAUGCUUGGACCUCUCUCGUAUUCAAUGAGCUUAGAGCGCGCAUUAUGUUGUUGGGCCAUAAUCAAGCUAUACUGGGCGAGAACAUAUAGUCUGGUUAUCCACAUUAAGUAAGUAGGUCCGCUCACUUGAUACAACACCGCAACACUCGCACUGGUUCUUCUCUUCUUCCAUAUAUAAUUAUCUUGGCAAAGCUACAGUUCUUUCUUUGAUAGUUAACCGACUUGAAAAGAGCUUCUUGAUAUUAGAUUAUUCCCUACUGCAAACACAGACAACAGAGUCAAGAAAGAGAUGCUUCACACGAGCACCCAAAGAGAGAGACGAGACUUUAGUCCUUAGCGCUUCAUGAGGGUAUUUUGUUACUUCUUUCAAUUAUGUGUGCGACUAUGGAGCGGGUCCGUUAUCGAGUGUAUCUUCCGCGCGAGUUGUGUGUUCACUGCGCCCUUACUUGCAUGUUAUGUUUACUUAACAGCUUCCUGCUAGUCCGUAUUAUUGCACCAUAGCUUGUUGAAUCGAGUGCUAAACAGAAAGUCACAACACUGCGAAACUAACUUAACAGAACAGAAAAGAAUCUAGCUUCACUUAUAUAGAGAGAGAAGAGAGGAUUGAUGUCGGCACAACUAACUAACAGUAGCUCGCUAAUGCCAUUGCUUAUAUAUUCCCUCUUGUUUGCUGGUUCCACUCAUAUCACUUGUUUAUUACUUGUUUGCUGGUUCCACUCAUAUCACUUGUUUACUUGUUCUACUCAUUUCAAAGUCAUAAUAGUAGCAUAUUCUAUAAGGUAUGAACUUCAUAGUAGCAUAUUCUAUAGGGUGGUAUGAACUUCCCUGCGGACUGCUGACUUUAAUAAGCUAGCGCAGCGCAAUGUUACUUAUAUUCUUUUCAAAGAGCUCACUAUAGCCAAUAAAUUCGCGAGUGAAAGUGUUGGUGAAGAGAGAUUAUUUCCAUGUGCUCCGCCCUCUUUAGCCUUAAUUGAUAUGGAGGUACUAACAACUCGGAGUCGGACAACCUCUCUUAUGAUUGAUUGAUUACCUGCGCAGGGUCAGUGUGCUCAUCCCUUCCAUUCUCAAGUCAAGUUCCAAAGUCAAGUAUGGAGAACUAGUAACGGCUUCUUUGUUUAGUUCCAGAAGCAACAAGCCUAUAGAGAUAGCUUUGCUAGUUAAGGUCGCUAGUCUUCAUCGGCUAAGGUCAGUUCUUUUACUUGCUUGCGCUAAAGGGUCAAUGAGCUCCCCCAUUCCUUAUUUCAAAAGAUAGAGAUUCCAUUGAUUCACUUUAAGUAUAGGUCGGGCAAUCAGGAUCUUCAGUUGCGCAGAAUCCGAAGUAUCAAGUGAAGUCAGCAGCAAGCAUGGAAGAGAGGCACCCCGCAACCAUUGAAUAGAAGGCACCCCGUUCCGCUCGCCUUAGCACUGAGACUUCUACUUUUGACCUUAAUUGUUGAAAAGACGAGGCGAGUAGAGUCGACUCGAUCAUAAGCUUGAUCUUCAGCAGGAUAAUAGUAUGGAUCAGGAGUAGCUUGUAUCUAAGUCAGAACUUCCAGUUGAGUUUUCGUCUUCAAGUAGAGUGGAAUCGUACUAAGAAUCAAAAGCUGUAUCCAUAUCUUGAGUAGGAAGGCUAGAUUCAUUACUUAAAGCACAGGAGCUCGCAAGUCUGGUUUUGGGGUCCAGGCCCAGCUAGAACUAAUGCGUAUGUUCAAUUUCAAUGAAGAAGUUGCGCUACGCUAAUGGGAAGGGAUGAUUAGGCACGCAAAGCAAAGGUAAAGCUAAGCACUAAAAGAGAAAGCCAAUCACCGACAACCUAGACUCGUACAAAACUAGAAUACCCUUAACAUAAAGCAAGCCAAGCACCUAUACUAUACUAUACUUCAAGAAUGACUAUCCCCGGCAGAAGAUCUUGUGGCUUAUUUGAUGUCUUCCCUUGCUGAAAAACAGAACCUUGCUUCAUCUCUGAAUCCGCUACGUGGACAUGAGAAAAGAGCUUCCCGUUACUAUGACAUGAGAACUCCACUCGUGUAUGACAGUCAAGAAAGAAGCCCUAUAUCGUUAGCGGUUGCGGAAGCACUUGUGAACGGAACAGGUUAAGGGCGAAAUAAGCUUUUCCAGAGUAUAAGCAGAGGUGUUGUUGAGUUAAGAAAGACUAAGUGUGUUAGGAGUGGAGCGGAUAUAGCGUGAGGUAGCUGCCCGGAGCAAGUCCUUUUUCGUCGUAUCAGCAUUAGUUAGUUCACUUGCACUCUCUGCAAUAAGCUUUAGGCGCACAAAAAGAAAAGAACUGAUCUUGUUGAUGAUUUUCUAUGGAUUUGUUAUUAAUACCGGGCUCAUUUAUAUGGAUUUGUUAUUAAUACCGGGCUAACGCCAUGACGAAAGCAGGAGCAGACCCGCUUGCUGCAGAUGAUCCGGAUCUUAUAGAAUCCACUCACACUGGCAGUUCUUCAUUGCAUUUCAGAUCUAUCUUAUCUUGCACUUGCUAUAGAGGCGAGUAAAGAAGGAAACAGUUUCCGUAGAACAAGCAACUGCGUUAGGCAGAGUCUUAUAUCUUGACUCUUGAACUCCUACUAGCAACAGCUUAUGAGCAAGCAACAGCAAAUGAGCACAGCGAUUUGGUGCCUAUCCAAUAUUCUUUCUUUAUGGAUUGAUUUCUUUAUUCACAAAUUAUAUCAUAUAUGCGAUCUAUAUUCCAUUCCACAAGUCUAAGUGCUUAACGUAGUUUCCGCUCCGCUAACACUUACUGGAGUUUCAGAGGGUAAUCUUAGUUUGAGUUUCAUAGGGUAAUCUUAGUCAUUUCUAUACAAUAAGGUGAAGUUCAUAAGCGCUAACGGAGAGGGCAAAGUGUUCGAGUUUCGAAGACAGAUUUCUCUAUGUUUAAGCUCUGUUCAAGGUUGCUCAUGGCAAAUACACCAUGGAAAGUAUCUAUAAGUUGUAUAAAUUCAUUGACGCCUAACAUCUUAUUCCCUCGCUGAUUCAUUAAUUCAAUCUCAUGCGCAUAUUCUAUGAUAAAGUAACAAUAUGAGAAAUUCAAAAACGAACUCCUUACUGCUUCCUCUAAAGAAUAGAGGAUAGUUUACUUCUUAUAUCAUUGUGUAACUGGACUGCUGGCACAAACUAACUUCUGACUUUAGUUACGGAAUGGAAUAAUGCUUAUUAACUUUAGGAUUGUGAAUUGAGUGCACCGCCGAAAAGAAUAUGAAAUACAACUCAUAUAUACUCUACAAUACAAUAUAUACGAGACUCUAUGAAUUACGGACCAUGUCCACCCCUUAUUAGACUGGAUUUGAGACUGGAAUAUGCAUCUUAGAGCUGAUAGGGACAGUGAGCUACGCAAUCUUAGAGCUUAUAGGGACAGUGAGCUACGUUGAGCUACGCAAUCUUAGAGCUUAUAGGGACAGACCGUGAUAACAAUAAGGAUUUACUUAGUGCUCCGUGGCGUGGUAAGUAUUUCUUUGAAAAAAUCUAUUCGGCUUCUGCUUAUGAUCCUGCUUGAAUCAAACUUGCUUUAACAGGAAUUCUCUUAUAAUACAAGCACACGACUAAGAGAGAAUCUAUGCUUAUUAUCUGUUGAGAGAAUCUAUGCUUAUUAUCUGUUCUUUUUUGUGCUAAUUCAAGUGCAAGAUGGAAGACCUAUUCUAUAGACUAGUUGGCAGCUUACUACCCGCUUCGGUGGGGCAAGAGAGUGAGUCCCAGGUCAUAAGUCAUAGUUCCAGUCCCUUUUUAUUGAAAGUGUACAGUUACUAUCUAGCUCCAUUAUCCGUUAUGGUCUGAUACUGAGGAAAAAGGGUGCAACCACUGCAUUUUGGGGUACUAGCAAAAGGAGUCGAAGCCGAUCAUAGUCAAGUGCUUACCCAAGAAGGAAGUUCGCUUUAGGGGGACGGAGCGCUAGUAGGUUUAAAUGCAAUUCGGUCAUACUGGAAGCAGAUCCCAGAUCUCAAACAGUCAUUUGAUGUAUAAAUGCACGAGAACGUUCGGUUGGGUACCCAAAAUCUCAUAAGUGGGGGCUUAGACUCAUAAGUCGCUGUAAUUCCUCUACCUAACCACUCAUGCUUCUUUACAGCUUGCCUUCUUUCCUUGCCUUGGCGGUUUUUGCUAUAGGAAUGCAUUCUGCUAAUCAUUCAUUGGUCUCUAGUCUUUCCUCAGGCCCUGAGGAAUCCCAAUCUGAAAGCUCCGUAUAUGAAAGAUAAGAAUAGGCUCCUUCCUUUUUGAUUGCUGGCACCUUUUUUAGAGGACUGCCUUGACAUCGAGGUAUUAGUUCCAACCUUUUCUAGAGGACUGCCUUGACAUCGAGGUAUGAGUUCCCAUAAUCCCGUCUCCUGUCAACAGGUGGCAACGAGAAAAGCCCAUGCACUGAACCAAAGAGUUGUCCAAAAGAGAAAACAAUAGACGCGCCUCUUGUCUUGAAUAAGCAGGAGUAGCAAGAGAAUGAAUGAGCUCUUUAUUCCUUAUUCCACCUGUUGCCUAAAUGACUAAUGAAAGAGCGGCUCUGCAUUAACCCUAUCCCAGAAGUCCGAGUAGUUAAGUUCGUUCAUAAGCUUCGAAUUCUGAGGUAAAUGUGAGAGAGAGCCCAUACAGGGGUAUCUUCAAUAAAUCCGUUUGCUUACUUUAUUAUCUCAUAUGUUUGAUCUUCGAAUCCAUAUAUGAAUAAGCCCCGUUACUCCAUAUGCUUUCCCCUCCUUGCUUCAAGUGCAUGGUUUUAGACUAGGACUCGGUAAGCCAUUGGGCAUUCCUUUCUGCUCUGAUCAUCGGGGUGGAAAUUCAUUCCUUGAUCACCUGCGCCCCACUUCGGACUGACUUUUUGAUAAGACCAUUUUAGGCACCUUAUUCCCCCCAACAAAAUGGCGUGGCUGCUUCUUUCUUUGGAUUAUAAGCUUCUGGGAAUUAGAAGCUUCUGGCGCGUGAAGGGCUCUAAUACAACCAAACCAACCCCUGUAUUCUCUUGCUUUGUAUGAAACCAUAAGAUCCUUACAAUAGAAAAACGAAGUCAGUUCUUUUUCAUCAAUUACUAGGACAGGAAAGAAAUACCAAGCCACAAUUGCUUCUCUUCUGUCUCUGUAGGCAUUGAACGAGAACAUUCCCCCUUUGAUUCCUGCCAACUUUAUUAACCGCUGAUGAAGGAAGCCCAUAAUCUAAGUAAAGUCAUAACAAUCCGUUUAGUUACUAGGGGACUUAGACCGAAAAGAGGAUUGAUUGCCUGCUCAAAGAUAGAGAGUAUGGCAUUCACAGCUAUAAGCUAGCUAGUUAGGUAGGUGAAGCGGGAAAGAAUCGAGUCAAAAAACACUGUCACACUUAAGACCGAAUGAACAUGUAUAUGUUGGUGCCGGAGCUGUAGUGGUGCUAGGCUCUUCUAUUUCUUCUUUCCAGGAAAUCCACAUAGCUCCUUAUAAGUCUGGUGGACUGCUCUAUCUCGGGGUCCUUUGCUCGGGCUUUGUACCCGGGGGAGAUUUAGUAAUUCCUUAAUUGCUUCUUCAGUAUCGUGAGGAAAUGAGUUACUCUCUGUUGCCUCGGCUUUCUUCAAUCAAUAAGUAUAAGAAAAACUCAUGCUAUUGAUGCUGUGUCUCAUGGGGCAAGCUUGCUAAGAGAGAGCUUCCUCAAAAGAAAGGAGCAGCAAAAACUUCCUUCAACAAUAUGACUGGGUACGAAGCAGGUUGCUUGUUUGAGGCAAAUCUUUCCGUUGGGGUGGGGCGCGCCAAAGAGUCAUAUUGUUGUGCCUGCUUUUGCAGUCUGCUCCACUUAAAGUCAAGGAAAGGAAAGGGCGGAUAGAACCACUGUGCCCGAAGACUAUGUAGAAGCAAAGGAGCGACCACUUCGCGAGCCAUACCGAUAAAAGAGGCAGGCCGAGACAUGAUCAACUUAUGAUAAAAGAGGCAGGCCGAGACAUGAGAAACUUCUUCGGAUCCGUCUUUGCUCUCAAUUGGACCUUGUGCCAACAUAUGCGAUUCAUUCCCAUAAUUCGAAAAGAGCUUCCUCGGCUUUGUUGCUAGCUAUGACUCAAACGGGACAGGGCAAGAGGAUAGUGAGUUUUCAAGCAAUAACGGCAAGGAUAGUGAGUUUUCCAGCUAUAACCAUAAUAAGGCAGGCAGCAAGCUGUUAGUCUACGUUCUGCUAUACCAUGCGAGCUAGAUCAUGUCAAACAAGCCUUUAUUGCAAUUGAGUUGAGUCAAGUACUUUUGUCUAGCCUUCAAAUGCCGUAGAUGAGUUAUUAUUGAUUUUGUCUAGCCUUCAAAUGCCUGCCUAGAUGAGUUAUUAAAGGAAGCUGUAAGCAGUAAGCAAAGGUGCGCUGAACUCGCUAACGGAGUUUGUCCAGUAGAAGGUACAUCGUUUAGUAUAUUCUAUGUCAUCUUACACACUUAUAUGAAAAGUCAUGUUUCGCACUUGGAGUUGUAUAGUUGCAUUCAUUCCAUUCAGCCUAUUAUGAUUUGAUUACUUGACUCUCGCCUUACUGUAGUUGCUCAAGCAGUUUCAAGCUGGGUGCCAACAUCAAUUCUUCUGGGGUUACAAGCCCGAGGGUCAGAAUUCUUUAAUAGAGUCUAGGGUGCAGAUGCCGAUAGAAGUUAUUAAGGUUGGGAGUAGGCUUUCAGCACCUUCUGAUGCUGACUGCUUUCAUUGCACGACUACUCUACUACACCUCCGGGGCUCCUAUCUAUUCUCAUCUCACUCUGGCUCUUUUCUACCUUCAUUCGGCUCUCUUCUCUUCUUGCAACCAUUAAGAAGUCUGGGUCUGCUCUAACUACUGCCUUUCCUUACUAAGAAGAAAGUACUGGAUCCGCUCUAACUACAGCCUUUCCUUACUAAUCAUAAAGUACUGCUGGCAAAGAAGGGUGCCGAUGUAGCUCAGACAAAGUAGAAAGUAGUAGAGCUGAGUUCCGGGUUUCGUAAACAAUAACUUCUAUCGUAGCAGCACUUAUAAGAAAUACUUCCUAAGCAUUCUGAUCCUGCUCGGGAAACGGAAUCUGAUCCUUAUCCAGCUGAUUAUCUCGCCUACAAUUACAUAAUCAUUCCCCUUUUAUACUUAUAGACAAAAGCUACACUAGCACUUAAGUCUGUCUUGCUUGGCGCCGAAAACAGAACAGUAAAUGAAGCUCUCUCUUUUCCAUAUCAAAAAGUAGGAAUUGAGUGGUAAACAAAUCAUUCUUAAACGGAAACGGCACCCCUAGAUUGAUUUACCGCUUUAGAUCCCAAUCCAGCUCCGCGAUAUCCUCUAGCUUCCUUAUCCAUCUUAAGCUUCUUCUACGUAUCUUGCUUCGGCUGAAGAUGGGUGCCCACGGAGUUGUGUUAAGGCUUACGGACCUACUGACUUAAUGCGCAAAGCUGUGAGUCUAAUCAUAUAUAGAAUAGAAUGCGAAUGCCCACGUAGCAGUUAAGGGCCAAGCAACGACUAGACAAGUAACUACAGUAGAUGAGCCUAAUUCUGUUAAGAGAAAAGAUCCUGUUCGAGGUUAAGUAUCAAGUGGAGUUGAGAGUAGCUAGUCCUGUUUUCGUGCCUUUCCCCUUAGAGACAGGAAAGGGGGAGGAGCUGGAGUUAAUAGAUAUAAAGGCUUGGGUAUGGGAGAUACAGAUGUGGAUGCCGGGGUGCCAGACCGAUACGCUAGCUUACAACCCGCGCCCAGAGCUACCACUCUUUGACUUAUGUGUGUAAUUCCGUUUAGUAUGUUUUCAUUCUUUUAUACUACCGAGUGCUCUGAUACGUGCCUGGAGGGAGUAAUUCUUCCGCUUCUGUGUUGAAAUUCCCAAGUGCAAUUCUUAGUCAUGGAAAUAAUGGAUUGCUACCCUUGGAGAGCUAAUGGUACUGGACUGAUAGCGUACGGAAUCGUACCCACGUAUGAAGAAAAGGAUGCACUCUUCACUGCCGCUUCGGGGCACGAUUGAGAAAGCCGUCUGCAAAAACGAUCCUAUUAGAGCGAAUGGCUACGUCCGGCCGACUACCGGGGUACAUUAACUUAAUGAUUAUUCUAUUAACUUGUAGAAAUUAUUGAUUCUGUUCUCUUAUAUGAGCAUGUGUUUUGUUGCUUUUGGCAUAUUCUAAUAGAAUGUGUUUAAUGCAAACCACUUAUCAACAACCUCAGGUCUUACUCCUUACUGGAAUUCCCACUCUCUUGGCCUGACUACCCUACCUUAACUUGGCCUGACUACCCUACCUUAAAGUAUACCAUCGUCAACUAAACUAAGUAAUAGAAUCAUUGUAAUAUAAUAAUGAAUAGAGUCGUAUUGCUGGUGUUCAUGCCCUGGGCUUCAGGCUUGUUGUUACUGCUUUAAGUCUCACUUUACUACUUACUGGCAUCUAAAUCACAUAUGUUCACUUAAUAGCCUGCCCACCCUAUCUUUAGGCCUGUCCUCACUGGAAGAAAGUGGGAUAUCCCUAGCUGUUAGUUUGCCCUUCCUGUCCACCUGUAUGCCUUUCCUCCUAGGCUUACUUUCCCGGCUAUCAACCUGUAACUGCGGAAAAUGGGAAUGUAUCUACUAUACUGGAAGGGACGACCGGAGGACAUACAAGAAUAGGCCCCGGACUAGCAAUACCUUAAACUUGAAGCUAGCUCUCUCGGGUAGGAAAGUAAGAACUGCACCGGUGCGUCUCUAUCUAAUAACUCAACUCAAAACAGAUAAUUUCGCUAGUAAGGUGCUAAAAGCCUAGUGCUUCUCAAACUUAGCUACAGGCUUGAAAACUACAUCUGCAGCACUGAAUUCUUUAGUUGGGGCUGGGGUCCUUGUACUGCCUUAUCCACAUUCUGUGACUAAUGCCAAUGCCUAAGGCCAAUAAGACUCAAUCUGCUAACUAGCGAUUCCACUCCAUAAGUCAAAGGAUACGAGUGAGGUGAGGAGCGUUAUACUAAUGCAAAGGAGUGUCGGAGGUUGGGAAGCAGGCUUGUUGGCUGCGGUUAUACACUUAAAAGCUGCAGCGCUUGCCCAAGGCUAGAGAAUUGGGAUCAGCAGCAUCAGUCUUAAAAGCAUUAGUUAAAGAACCUAGUAAGACAAGGUAGACUGAAAGCAAGCAGUAGUAUAGUAGGCUUAAAGGAAGAAGUCAAAGACCUAUGCCUUACGUCGUUGCUUGGUAAAAGUCAAUAGAAACGAAUAUCGAAUUGAGCUAGGGAAACCCGCACCAAACUAUCUCUCUUUCUUCUCAACCCACCUCUCUUUUCCUUCAACCUAAACUAGUACUUAUAAUAGUUAGCCAAGCAAUAAGGAAGUUAACCACCACUACCACUAACAGGGCUCUAACUCAAAAGGCCAAGCAACUACUAACGACCAAGCUUAGGCGCGCCAAGUAACUACUAAUGUUACGCGGCAGCAAAUGACAGUCAUAACGGCCAAGCAACGGCGCAAGACGUUGUACGGCAGGAGCUAUAGCUAAGUUCUGUCUUCGUAGAUGCUCUCGGCGGUAGCAACAGGCAAGCAACUACUAACGACCGCCAAGACACUACUAACGUGGCGCGGCAGUGAGUUUUAGGCGGCGCAAGACGUUGGGCGGUAGCCAAGGUAAUAGAUAUGACAAGUUAUUACAAUAGAUGUUUUUGGGGCCGCUUCCUAUAAUUCCUCUUCGAGUUAUUACAAUAGAUGUUUUUGGGGCCGCUCCACCCAAUGCCCAAUGCCAACAAGACUCUCGAUAGAAACUGCCCCUGGGGGCAGGAAUGGAGUUCUCAAUAACAAGAAUCUGGCUACUGAUCCCAUUCUUACUAGUGCGGAUCUAAAAUAGAGGUAAUGCCCGGGACAACUCCCGUCUUCUAGCCUUGCUUUCCUGCCUCGCAAACAGAUAUUCAUGUCUUUGAAGUUCCCAGUUGAUUGUUUGAUUUAUUGUAUACUUACGCUUUAGUCUGUUUGUCGACAGUUCCAUCCCUAUUAGUAGGAGGGAAAGCCUAGGGGUUGUGUUUGCUCUACCGGACCACGCUUCAUUCCUGUAUGGAUUAGUAUUUGCUUCUAUUUUAUUAGCGAAACUAGGGCAAACAAGGUGCUGAAAGCCUGCCGCUACACUCUUUCGGUCCGGAUCCUGUGCUUUAAAUACAUACCUCUUUAGUCCCUACCUCUCUUUCAAGUAGUAAAUAAGGGCUUACUUUAAAUACCACUAAUAAUAGUUUACUACCCAACGGAUAAGUCAUAAUAGUUUACUAAGAUCUUUGUACUUAUUCGAAUCCUUCACCAAGAACAGAAAGAACGGAGAACCACUUAGCGCAUCAAAGUAUCCAAUUUCAGAAUCCUUAUUUGCUUGCGAGCGUAUAAGCACUAAAACACUAUGAACCUAUCCCUAUGACUUAGAAUCAAUCACUUCUAUCGGAGAAGCAGAAUAUCUAAUCCCCAAAGAACUACACUUUCCAUUUAUUCUUAUUAUAUGGUUUCGUUCUGUAUUUGUUUAUUGAUUGUUAAAUAGAAUUUCAUAGCACUAGGGAAGGGCGGACCAAUAGUAAUGAUAGUAAUAUUGAUAGAGGAAAGUGAGAAUCGAAGAGGGGAAAGCUGCCUGUCGGACCGGCGGUUCUUGCUAAGGUUAGCCUGUAUCAUUGACCCCUACCCCUAUUCUCUUGUAUUGCUCCUAGCCCUAUGUCUACUCGGGAUGGCGCCUAUAUAGAAUAGAACCUUUCCUGUCCGGAAACUCAAGGCAUCGCAGCUGACGCUGCCCUCGCAUCAAAGGCUUUACUUUAAGAUCUCCACCUCGAAUCAAAGGCUUUCUCUGGUAAAGUAAGGAAGCCAACACAGAUGUUAGGAAGAAAUGAACUCUAAGCUCUCUUCGUCGGAUUCACUGAAGUAUUUCCCAUCAAACUAAAGACCAAGCGUAUACUACUGGCUCGGCUCUUCUCUUUACUACCUUCUCUGUGACCUCUUACCUAUGGCAACUAUCGCUCUGGUUCUUUUCACUCAUUAGUGCCUUGUUUUCUUCCAAUACGAGGGUAGGCUUGGUUACAUACUGAGUUUACUGACUUUGUUGACUUACUUGGUAGGCUCACUUCUAACUCUCCCUCGCUACUUUCAAGGGGAUGGGUGAUACUACUGUCUCCGCUCUAAAAGCUGACCUCUGACUUGCAUCUUCACCUCUCUCCACGACAACACCCGGAGUUAUUACUACCUUAUAGGGGUGCUUUCUAAGGAGACUAUAAGGCAAGAGAAGUCAAAUCAACAAAAGGCUAUAAAAGGCAAUAAAAGCGGACUAUCCUCUCAGAGGGGCCUCCCAAUAAUGUACUACAGGAUCCGGGUAUCAAGUGAAAGCCCUGUUAGCCCUAGUUCGACUCUAUUGUUUCUAUGCGCUAUACCUUAUUAUUCUAAAUCGAAGUCCCUUAUACACCUAGAAAGAGUGAGAGGCAGGAUCAACAUAAUGAAGCUGAUGGAACAGGGCUUUAAGGCAGCAAGUGCGAGGCUAAGAUCUAUGGUAGGGAUGGAUGCAGUAGAUAAAGAGUUAGAAGCGCUAGGUCAAUGCCGAUACUAAUGAGUUAGAGCCUAUGCUCUCUUGAUGAAGUCUUAUAGAUGCGUGAGUGUAUUGCGCCUUUCUUGGUAAAGUCCCUCUAUAACAGGGUUCAGUCUGCAACUACUAGAGUUCAUUCCGCCCUUGUUCCGUCACCUGCCCAUUCUGUGCUACUCUUUGGGUACUGGUGAAAUCCAGAAUGAAGUGCCAAAGCUCGGAAGCUGCAGUUCCAGUUUAAUAGCAAGUAAAGCAAUACUGAUGUCCUGACAUGCGUGUAUAGAAUAUAAGCCUAUAGAGGCAUGCUCGAAUUAACAAGCAGAAAGUAAGUGGAGGUAGGCUAACAAUCGAGCUAUACAGAACGAUAGCCAAUAGUAAUCAAAGUCAUCAUUAGUAUGGUUGCUGUGGACAAGCAGUAAGCCCUAGUUCUUAGUUAAAGUCCUGCUGGCACUGGUUUCAUAUUCUAUAUUCAGAUAUACUAGAAUAAUAAUAAAGCCGCUAGUAAGCAAGGCCCUAAACAAGGAGAGACAGACUCCAACUAGCACAAGUGAGGCUCAUAGGCAUUAGAGCAGGUUUCUAGUUCCGUAGGGGAAGACACCUAAUAGAGCAGGAAAGGCAUAACUAGUAGUUAGGGGUGGUAGUACCAGAAUCGGAAUUGGGAGUGGCAUAGUGGGCUAAGUGAUAUAAAGAAAUUCAUAAGGGAGUGUCAGUUUGAUAGCUAGGAGGGAUAGACCAACAAUCUGAAAUAUGCAUUGAAGCCGGGAGCCUAAGACAACAACUCGAGCAUAUGAAUUAUGGGACAGAAUGGAAUAAUGGAACUAAGUCGUAUGGGAAUGGGUACGGACCUAUACAAGAUAGAAUCACACUGGAACACAGGAAUUACACGGCGUAGUCCGAGCCCUUACUUUGAACCUUCAAACUGAAACCCCGGACAUACCAAUAUGAAUUCCCUCGGGGCAUCUAAAUCUGAAUGCACCCUGUACUCAUGAUAGAUUAGCACACGACUCCCCUUUAUAGAAAGAAGUCUAUGAAUCUUACUAAUGCCUUGAACACAUCGUCUGUAAUCUAACUAAUAACUAUUAGAAUCGAAUUAUGUAACAAUAAACCAAGUAAUGGAAGAUAUGGGUAUGGAUCCAGGGUAUACUAAGCAUAGGGACCGACCCCAGCGCAUCUAAUCCUUCUGUCGAACCAACACCGAUAAGAAGAAACCUAUUGCUUCUAGUCUAGGCUUCGACUACUCCUAUUAGAAUCGACCUGGUGCUUCUCAUAAUGAAACAAGGAAUACAGGAUAUGUUGUGGAGAACAUAGAACCAAGGCCGGGGAUAGAGAAUAGGUGGGUUCAAAAAGGAAGAGAGAGGUUCGAUUGGGCAAAUCUGAAUUCCAUUCUCCCGUAAGGGCAGCUUUGAGAUAAGUCAAGCAAGAUUCCAAGUCAUUAGUGGAAUAAUAGCUUAGUUUGCAAACGAGUCAGUCUUGUUGUUGUAUGGAGGGGCUAGUAAGGCUCUCUUUUUUUCGCGUGUAAUAAUUCCUGCUGAGUUCGGUUCCACUUCUGUAUGCGCUGUGUCCUACCCCUGUUGUUCUGCUACUAGGGUUCAUUCUGGUGCUCCCCGCUCCAAGUCCUCCAGUGCUUCCUCGCAUAACCGUAUUUAUACCAGAAGUUGGAUUCUGUGCUCCACUACCAAAUAUCCCCUAUAGGAUCGCCUAUAGGUCCCAGUUCCAUUCCUUUUAGCAGAGGAAUUAGAUUCGAUGCCACAAGUUAGUAAGAUUGAGUUCCCGCGUUAUAAGACCAAUAGCCAGGAUAGUGAGCUUUAGAGCCAGUAGCUACAGUUGUCAAGUUGAGGCUCCAAAUAAGUAGUGAGAGAACGAAAACUAAGAGAUCCUUACUAAGAAUAAGGGGUGUCGAAGUUGAAGUCUUCAAUUGGAGUUUCCUAGGUUCGAGACUAUUGCUCUACUAUUUCGUUAUUAGGUGCCUUAGUAACUCCCCUUGCGACAACUCUGACUCAAUCCCUAUUUCUUGGUUGUUGUCGUGCAGUAGCUGAUUCCUGUUAGCCCCCGGUUUGGAUUCUGUUUAUUAGAAUAUAGUUCUAGUGCUUCUGGGCAGUGGUUCAAUUGCUAGUUCCGAGCUCGAGUAUAUCAGGUAGUGAGGAAGCCCCGUCUAUAGCAAAGUGAGUUUGAAAUGCACGAGUAAGGUUUAGGCAUCAGUUGCUCAGUUCCUAUUGCAUUGGUUAAAGAAGAAAAGUCAGUCGUGUCUGAUCUAUUAUCAAAGGUGUGAGUUUUAUAGCGAGGGAAGUCAUACUUGAUGUAGGGCUGGCUUAGGUAGGCAUUGAGUUCAGUAUUGGCCUGCUGCGAGAGAUGCUUAAGCUUAGAGGCAAGGCUAAGGGAAAGGAAUGGCAGACUCUAGCAAGUGAAGUAAGGAUCGAAAUCCAAGUCAAGAGUAAUAGGCAAAAUCGGUAGACUAACAAGGAAAGCUUGGAAUGACCAUAGAGAGUAAGAUUGACUACUCGGAAAGUAAGGCAGGGCUGCUUUGAGUUAAAGUCAGAGAAGCACCUUAUCGAUUCUGAUUAUUGGUUAGUUAAGCCUGAGUUCUCCUCGUAUUAAUCCUUAUUAGUAUAGUAGUACGGUGAUCUAUUUGCCAUCAACACAAAGGAAGUUAUGUGUUAGUUACAUUUUCACUAAUCUCUUUAUGAGUCAAGGCGGAAUCAAAUAGGUAAUUCAAAGAGUCGAACAGGGAAUACAGAACCGGGCCGUAGCGCAUCCAACUACUAAUACAAGGACAUAAACUCUCAACAGGGAAUACCACUCCGCACUCUUCAGCCCACAAAGACUUGCUGCGCGCCCAAAACUGUAGCCUUAUACUGCUAACUUGAACUCGCCAACUAAUGUAUCUCAUUCCCCUUGGCUCCAUUCUCCUUUUCUUCUCUAAUCAUUCAGUAAUCUUAUCCACCAUAUUUGAAUUGGGUUUGUGACUUAUCUAUUCUCUUAUUAGAAUUGUAGAAUGCACAACUACCCACCUUAAGAUGAUAACUAAUGCCAACACAGGACUUCAAAUAACUAACUAAAGAAUCGAGGAGGGAACUCGCCCUAACAACAAGAGAACUCAUCCUAACAACAGAAAAAUGGAACUCUAUAUAUAAGUAUAGAAAUAAGCCCAGUAAAACGGAAAGAGAGGUUUAGGUCGGCAAAAGAACGGAAUUGAGAUUAAUAAAGAAAGAAGUGGGUGACCAAAGAGAUAGGUAGCUUUAAGAUCCAAGUAAUUAAUCAAUUGAAGCGCUAAGUAGUCCAAGUCAGUCGCUAACACCUCUGCUCUGGGCUCCAAAUAGAACUCCGACAAGCAGACGAGUAAUGACCAAUGUAAGAAGUACUCGAUAAGAGUAGAAAGAUAGGCAAGCAGCAUAGGGAGGGGACUGAACUCACAACUAGUAAUUCCAAUAAGAAAGAGGAAUCAAACGACUAAGUAAAAGAGCGAAACCCGGCAACCAGGCUGACUAUCUUUACGUUCAGUCUACAUCUCUUUUGUUGAAACCUGACAACUCGCACGAACCAACAAGGCUUACUACCUAUUCCCUAAGUCUAAUUUCCCUGUCUCCAAGCCUGCCUCCUUUUAACCCAAGUAUAGGCACCUACCUCUACCCUUCAUUCUCUAUUGACUAUUUCCUCUAUCUGACCUCUUUCUUUCAUUACUUAUUGCCAGCUAUUGACUUAUACCAAUACAAACAAGGGCAGCGGAACGAUGGCUGCUGCUAACAAGGCUUGCUUUACAACUUAUGAGUACGAGGCUAUCGCAUUAGUGAAUAUAAUAGUCAACUCAGAAUCAUACCGAUAAAGGUUAGAAUUGAUUGGCUACUACCCUACCAUAUCUAAUAACAAUGAAAACAGAGUGAAAGAACUCAACCAGUACCAACAGGACUAUAGCUUCGAACAGGGAAUCCAUCAGUUAUUGACAAGAAUCGCCCUCACAUAAGUCUACGAAUGCACGGCAGGCUGCCCCGGAAUCGGAGUCUCACUUGUUAGUUACGGAAUCCAGAGCUACUAAACCACUAUUAACUACAGAAGCUUAAUCCACCUAACUAUGAGUUCUACUGGUGCUUCUAAGACGGUGACUACUGCUGGCAAGGCGGAAACAGUACCUAACAAACAACAACCCUGAUUGAAAUAGUUCACACGAUUUGAAUGUAACUACUAUAACUAUAAGACUUUAUGUAAUUACUGUUCCUAUCUGUUAGCCUGUCUGGACUUUCUUUCUUUAACUAAUGACUUAGAUUCUGACUUGUUAUGUUAGGAGUGCAGAGGUGACACGUUCUAUUGAAACAAAGAAUUGAGCCGGUACUGACAAGACGGACUCCGCUAACAGGGAAUUCACUAACCGAGACUAGGGCUUUCACUGGCGCUUUAAAGGAUUUCACUGCUGCUUCUCAUACCUUAUGCUGCUGAUGAGCCUGUCCUACCUUGCUUUUAGGCUUACUUACUACCUAUAGGACUUACCUUUCUUCUUAUCUAUAUAUAUUAGGCUUACUUACUACCUAUAGGACUUACCUUUCUUCUUAUCUAUAUAUAUUUUUCUUAUGAUUGAUCGAGUCGACUCAACUUCCCUUGCUUUCCUAGGUAGUCUAUAUCUCCUUUUUCUCCGCUUUGGUUUGCUUCUUUAUCCUGGUAUUCUGUUCACCUAUUAACUGGAAUGCGACUACUGUCACUCACUAAAAGAAUAGAAAAGUGCCCGCUCAUACUUAAACUAGGAGCUCGGACUUCCCUUGCUGGCUUAUAGUCUCCUAUUGCUUUAUCUCAUGCUACAACUAAUAGCUACUAGGAUCACACUCCUACUGACAGGAAUGGAACUAUCGCUUCUCACACUCUAACUUCCGCCUAACAAGGCUAUGGCUCUUAACUAUUAAUUCAACUCAAAACUAGGGCUGCUUUAGAUGUCUACUAUUAGAAUAGGACUACCGCUUCUCAUAAUGGAGCUUCUACUAGCAAACGGACUAUCGCUACUGUUUCUCUGACUCUUACCUAUAAUAAGGGUCGAUGUAAUUAAGCUACUGCCAAUAAGAGAACAACUAUUGCUUAUGAUAACUUACCUCACUAACUUGGUCUGCCCCUACAGCUAUUACAUCAACAGUGCCAACUCGAUUCUUGCUUUGGAACCAACGAUUCUCUUCCUGCAUACGCUAUAUUCUCAUCAAUAGACUCCCCAUUGAAUAAGGGUAAGAGGCUCUAUAAAGCGGAGAUCCUGUUUUAAAGACUGGAAAGAUCGCUUUUCAAUCAGUAGGUCAAGUCCUAGUUAUUGGUUCAAGUAUUGAUAGCCUAGGUUCUAUUCUCUUAUGUCUCCCCCACUUUAUGAAAUUAUUACUUUCCUUACUAUGGAGUCGAGGUAAAUCAUGUAUUUCGUAUUGGAUUCUUUCUCUCCUUUAUUUGAUUCUUUAGUAAAUAGCAGCAAUGCCUAUGCCUUAUUACCUCUAUGCAUAUGGCGAGGUUAACUCUGUUACUACUGAUAUCAAUUAUGUAUUUGCCUUUGAACUCCGUUACUAUUGCUUUUAAGCCUGCUCUCUUCCUAUAUCCUAGUCUAACUUACCUUCUGAAACUGACUUCCGCUAGCCUGCCUUCUCCACCUUUGUGUGACUCUUAGGCUCCGCGCUUUAAUGCUAGUGGUGCACUUAUCCAAGUCUGAAGCGACUUCUAUUCAUUCUUGACCUCCCUUAUAUCACUAUGCCGCUCCCUACUAGAAACUAGACUCCUGACUCGCAUUCUUGCUUCUGAGCUUCAAACAGGAACUGCUUACUUUCUUCUUAGUCAAUGGUCGGACUAUUGAUGAUAUAUCGUAAGGGAUAGAAUCGAACUAGCGCUAACAAGGCUGAUAUCGCUACUAACACAAUAAUUGAUGGAAGACUUUAUAAGAAUAAGAAAAGAGUACUGACUUAAUGCUAUACCGGAAAGAGUGUAAACACCACUAACAGGAAUUCAAAUGCUAAGUAAGAGAAUGAACUAUUGGACUAUAAUAAGAGAAUCAGAAUCAUAAGAAGAAGAGAUUUGUACUCCAGCUCAAGGUAUGGUUCGGGAAGGUAAGUUUGAAUAAUGAAACUAGAAAGAUAGGUCCCCUACACUACAAGGCGCCUAUAAGACACCGAAAGAAAGAAUUGAGUCACUGAAAACACUGUCAACAAGGCCGGUACUUCUACUAUAAAGAGUGGAACUGCUGCUAACGAGGGCAUACUAAAAACACAGGAAUGGAAGGCAGCACACGGUUUAGGGCCUAGAUCGCCCCUUAUUAUAGGACUCUUAUCUUGUACCUGAGGAGUGGGAUUAUGACUUAGGCCGCUAAUUCUGACAAAACCUCCAAACAAGUAAGCAUCUAUUAAUGAAAGAAAGGAAACUCUGUUUGAAACCUAGGAGCGGAAGACCUUAACUGGAACUAUAGAAAGAAAGUAGGGUGAUUAGGGCUUAGAGAAGGUAUAGUAAGAACGCUAGCUAGUGAAGGCAGAAUCGAAGACAGAGUACAUGGACUGAUAGUGGGAAAAGCCGGCUCAAAUAGAAGUUGUGAGGCAAAAACAGCAGACCUAAACCAAGGAGUUUAAGAACAAGAUACGAAAUAAAGACUUAAGUGGGCAAAGGAGUAUUAGAGUCGAGCUCCUGCGCUUUCAACCUAUUACUACUGGGAGCAAGAGCAGAACUACAACUUAUAGGAGUCAUAAAAUAAUCCAUAAUUGACGACCCCACUACAUUGCUUGCAUCAAUAGCAUGGGUAGCAAUGAACUCUACCUUGACAUUGGAUGAAACUAGAGCGCCUAUAGCACCGAACUAUUACUUAACUGACAUUGGAUGAAACUAGAGCGCCUAUAGCACCGAACUAUUACUUAACUGACAUUGGAUGAAACUAUUGCAAUGAAGCUUUGGGGCGUUAACUCUGAAUUGUCUUCGGAAGAAAUAGAUAGGGUUUACGAGUGUCUCUUGUCUGGUCUAACUACGUAGCUUGGCGUGUCUUGGCGCUUGCCCGUGCUGUCAAUAAGAUUUCCAUGAGUUUUUGGUUUUGCUGUAUAGUAUAACUUCUGACUAUUUGCUUUUGGAAAUGAGGUGAAAAACAUAGAAAUAUCGCGAUGCGUAACACAUGCCUAUUAUGGAUUUCAACCAAUUAAAGAAAGAAAACACACGCUACUAUUACGAUUAUUAUAAGAGAAUAGAAUAAGGUAUUUCAGAAAGAGCAAAGCAACUAAGUAAGAUGAAUUGAGCUCGGAAGGCAUACUCCAACCAACCCAAACAAGUAAGGAUCUAAAUCAGUAGACAAAGAGUUGAAGCUACGUAAAGGCAGGCUUAUAGGCUGUAAGUCGUAUUCUUAUCUGCUGUUGUGGGAUUCUUGACUAUAAUAAGAGGGAUCGGAAGCGCUUGUUCGAUUCUAUAAUAAAGAAAUAGGAAAGUAAGCCUGGUAGGCAGUAAAGUAAUAUCAAUAGGGGCAAAUCAGAACCACAGAAAGGAGGGUUGGGCUUGGACUUACUAUUACCAGGUUCAUUAUGAGAAGUAGUAUUCAUAUUAAUCAGAAUAGAGCUUAGUAUACUAAAAGCCAGUAAGAGAACGAAACACUGUUGUCAAAGCCUUAUAAAGAGCCCUCCGUGCCAAGCCUUGCUCGCUAGCUUCACACUGCCACUCCAAAACUCAAUGCAUACGCUCUUGGGUUAGUAUUCCCUUACUCUUGCUUUCAAACGAUAUCUGGUGCUUCUAAGCCUACUACCUUAUUAACCAUAAUUCUUAUGUUCCUAUUUGACUAUUACUGUCCUGGCUAUAGGGCUAAUUCUCUGUAUUUGAAGUCUGUCUCUCAUUAGCUUCAACCUCGGGAACUCCCUUCUCUCAUUCUCUAACUACUUUGGUUGAUCUUGACUUUCUCGCCUAUGAGCCCAUAUCUCCUCUAUAUCCAUAUCCCCUCCAUAUCUAGAGAAGUAUGCCGCUACGGACAUGAAGUAUUAUUUGACUUUCUCUUGUUCUCCAACUACCUAUAGAAAGAGUGGAACUAGCAAUACAGGAUAUGGGUAUACCGCUUCUUAGGCUGGAAACCGCAACUAGAAGAUUGGAACUAAUGUCGACAAUGCCUAGUUUGUCUAUAACACCCCUUUCUCAAAGCCUGUCUCUCUGUCUUUUCGUUCUAAUACUUGUUCCUGACAUCCUUUUAUGGGUUAGAGUAUUCUACUGCUUUGCUUAAUCGCAUCCCGCGCUUAGGCUCAUUGCUCUCAUUCUUUAGUUAAGGCGAGGGUCCUGUACUGCUUAGCUUCGUUCUGAAACUCCUGACUCGCGUUCUGACUAUCAGAUUAGCUACCUGCCUAACAAGGCUUUCACUGCAACAAGCAAGACAGCGCUAGCGCCUACCAAUACUGUCUAUAAUCCCAAAUGGAACUAGUAAGUAGCGGACCUACACAAAGAAGUUAGCCUACCUUUCCCGAUCUCGUAUCUGGUUACCUUGACUCAAAGAAUACCCAACAAGACUUUCAUUCUCUAGCUGCUGAACAAAGGACUCGGUUAUAACAAACAAUAAAAACACCGAACACAGAGCGGCCCUUUAGCGACACCAAUUACUUAAGUGCAGCGGUCUAACAACGUGUCUUGUCUGGUUGCCAGGUAUUUUACCACAAUUGAAGUGAGUUUGCCAGAGACGGUAAAUAGGUCUUUUUCCGCCUUAACCUUAACCCGAGUAUCAAAUCAGUGUAGUCAAAGAAAGAAAAGAAAAAAGCCCCUAAACCAAGUAGUGGUCCAAGCCAAACUUAUAUAUAUGCGUAACCAGAUUGCCUCUCCUUUGAAAUUGGCUUCUUCAACUCCCGUUAGUGCAACAGUAACUCUUUUAGCCGAUGAAUACCCUUAUCCAGAUCUUUAAACGGAGUAUGGGCUUGUUCCCGAUCCUGAUCUUGUUGACAGAACUCCCACUUGAUGAUUCUUCACCGACAAGAACGAAACUUGAUGAACCAGAACCGUUUGCAUUAGCUUCAGAUACAUCUUAUGCUGGAACAAUACUUUAGAACUCAGAAUUCGACUCAAACUUAGAUAAUGGAAUUGAAGAGCAACUUUGCCACUACUAGACAAGUCCUGUGUUCGGCAUCCAAGACUGAUGCUAAGUAGUUGCAGGUUGAUGCGGUGUCUAUUGAUUCUCUGUAUUGGUCGCUAAGGUAUCUAUUGCUAGGUAGCUAGUAUGGGGAUGCAGCUAAGGUAUCAAACCCGUAAGUGGAAGGCGAGGAAGAAACCAGUAAGUAGAAGCCUUAAAGCACCAAGUAGUAAGCCCUAAGUUAUUAGUAAGUAAGCAGUAAGCCCUAAGUGUUGAGUAAGCCCUAAGCUAAGAGAGAGUUGAACCCUUACUUAUUAAAGCUGCUUGCCCACUUGCUAUGUGUUUUCAGAAUGAAGUUAUAGGAUCGGAGGCAGAAGAUCAAGAUAGUACUUGCCAAGGUAUAAAUUCCCCGAUGCUCAAGUAUCUAGUAUACAGGUCGAUAUCAAGUAUCUGGUACAUAAGGGUCAAAAUUCCCCAUAGUACUAAGUUCAUUCUUUGCCAGUAGUUUAGAGUUGAUAGUUGCAUCCCCAGUCGAAUCAGUAUUAGUUAGUGAAAUACCGGAGUAGUCGUAGUAGUAGCUUGAGUAUAGGCCCUUAUAGUAAGUUGCCGAGUUUGUCUACUUAACUACGUUGCUAAGGUUGACUUCUCUAUCGGAGUUAGUGUAUUUGUAAAGGAGUUCCAGAGGUAUCCCCAGUUUUAGUAGUAGUGGCUGGGCAGUUGGGGAAAUUAAUAGUAAGGGCCCCGCUUUUGAGUGCUGUGUUCAGCUAGCGCAUUCCUUUAAUAGGGAAGAAUAGGGAUAGAUCUAGCACAUAAGGAUUAAUAAUAACAUAAGAGGUCUACGUAAUAGAAUCCGUAAUAGGGUACGAGAUAGCGCUACACUACUGAUAUGGUUCCUAUGAUAUGGUUCCUACUCCGGAUAUGCCUAAAGCUUCUGAUUGGGUUCCUACUUCCGGAUACUGCAUCCCUAUAUCCUACUCUGGAUACAGCUAAAGACCAAUACAUACCCUGGUUUUCGGGUGACGAGAGAUAAACUGAGCAAUCUUACAGACGAAUAAGAAAUUCAGUAUUUACUUUAGCUCGGAAAGAAUCCAUUCUGUAUUAGUUGACAAGCUGCCCUUAUGUUAAUGGUUCUAGUCUUAAGACCGGUCCCUAAGUUACAGAAGUAGGGAUGCAGGGAUUGAUACUAAAGAGCAGAGCCAGAGUGGAAUUAAGAUCUAGUUGCCAGCUGCUUGGCUGUUGCCUAGGAGCCUCAUUCAGUUCUGUUAGCGGAGAUGCUCUAGUCCACUGGCUUUGAGGCUAGGUUUACUUACUUGUUAGGGUAGUUUAGGGAUAGGUCUCAUUCUUAUCUUAAUUGGAGAAAUUCUCAUAUCCAUCACUCAAUCGGCUUUCUUGUCAUAAGCAUGAUAUUCCUUUAUUUACUGGCAAACAAAGGACUUGGGAUGAGCAAGAGGUGUAGUAGAGUAGUUUCAUCAGUGAUAGUUUAGGUCGGGGAAGCAAGAGAAGGUUCACACAGGACUCCCUCUGAACUCCUUAUAAUGCAUAUUGUGCUUCUCGUCGUUGCUUGUUGGUUCCAGUCUCUGUUUCCCCUGCAGAGUAGUUUCAAGAUAGGGUAUAGAACCGGGGUGGGUAAUCAUAAGAAUAGUAGGAUUGAUAAGAUGAAAGUAUCAUAAGAAUAGUAGGAUUGAUCAGUAGAAAGUAUUGUUCCAGAAGUAUCAGAUCAUGCCCACGUAGCAGGAGUCGAAUCAGGAUCCUUAUAGUAUAGUAUAAGUAAAGGUUGACUUGUUUUAAGUGCUCGUUAAGCCGUAGCUCUAAGUCUGCAAGUAAAGUUCCUGGUUUGUGGAGUUAGGUAUAGGUCGACAAGGGAAGUGGAGUUUGGUGCUGCAGCUCCUAGUAGUGGAGGCGCAUCUCAACAAGCAGACUCCUUUGGUGCUAUAGCUCUAGAAAGAGUUUGUAAGGGAGUUUAUUCCUUCUACAGGGUUGGUGACUUACCUGAUUCUACUAGGUUGGUGACUUACCGGAUUCUAUUCUAUUAUACCCAUAUGCCCAGCGAAAUCCUAUUAUUAUAUGAGAAUUCAAGGGCGGGUUCAUUGAACUAGUUGGUGACUGGGAAUGAAAACACUACCGAUGAGAAUGCAUGAGUCCCGAGUGAAACUGUGUCCGGGAGCUCACUUUUCUUCAAGAAAAGAACUUCCCUUUCAGACCUACUUUAAGGGUAUGUUCCGAGAUACUUUCCAGUGCGGGGCGGGUUUACAGUUCCAGUUCUCUUAGCGCUACCCAUCGCUACCCAUAUUGGUAGAAAGAUAGGUACCGUGGUUAGAGUGGCUAGGUGCCAAGGAAGCAAUAGAAGAAAGUACCGGCUUUGAUUGUUCGGUAAAGUAAAGUAGAAAGUUAGGGUCGAGUUCAGGGCUUAGUCCAGGCAACUACUGUAUUAGUUGCAAGAGGAGAGCCCAUAUAGAAUACUUCUUUUCUUCUUUUCUUUCUAUUUCCACCCCAGGUAGUCUGGUUCCCGCCCUGAAGUUAAUGGCGAGUUAAGUUGACGGAGAAUGCCCGGAUUUCCCCCUUCAUAGCUUUCUUCUUUUCAUUGUGAUCCAAGCAUGAAAUAAGUGGGUAGCUUUAUUCAGUUCGCUUCACCCCUAAGGCUUACUCUCAGGGUGCAUUAUAGAGCUUACUUUACGGAGUUGCAUUAGAGCGUACUUUCCUACAAAGCUCACUAGCACACUUGUCUCUUUCGAAACGGCUAACGCACCCUCUCUGUAUUUGAAACGUAAGAAUAGAGGCUCUUAGCACCUUUCCUUCCCUUAAGAAUAGAGUUGACUACACUAUAAGGAAAGUCUCCACAAGUGUUUUGUUCGAUAGGCGGGCGAGGAAGCUAUAAGUGCGGAAUAUGGGUAAUAGGGGAAGUUCUCUGAUGAAACUGGGCUACUCUACGACUUUCAGAAUAGAGUUUAAUAAGCUAUUACCGAGUCCUGUGUACAAGGGAUUUGGUGAAGAUGCCUCAGAUGAAUAAUGAAUUUCUUAUAGUUAUUACUAGUCUAAAGCAAUUCCUGUUUUUGUAGUAGUCGGCGCCUCUCCUUGCGGUGGUUAGCUUGGCCCUCUCUUUGCCUUUGCAGUAGUGGCACUUGGACCUAUAAUAAGAUAAUAUAUAAUGAAUAUUGGUUUCUUCUACUUUGUCAGUAUAGUUGAAUAUUCGAAAUUCCAUUCCAGUUUAUCAUCGGACUAUGGGGAUUCCUAUGGUGUUAAGUAAGCUCUAUUCUCUAUCUUUAUACCGGAUUUAUUACUGACUUUAGACCUUCUUUCUUAUAUAAUACACAGUGACCAAUUCAAAUCACCCGUUAAAAGAGAGCUCGCCUACUGUCUUUUCAAUUCCAUUCUUAUGUACCAAGUCCUGUGUUCAUGGCGGAGAGGUGUAUUGGCUUACUUUGGCACUGUGGAUUCAACCAACCGCUUCUGAAGUUGCUGUGUGAGCUCCCGGUAGUCCUGGGCGAUCAGGAUUGAACUUAUCAGUAACGGAAUGAGCAAGCGGGGGCAGAGGGACAGACGGACCAGCCAUUGAUUGUGACUUUUAGAGUGUGAGUGAAAGUAUCAUUCGUUCGUUAGGGAACCCUGCUGAGUACAGUGGCAGCAUAAACCAAAUAAGUAAAUAAACACUAUAUUGAUUGCUUGUCUCAAGGGAGGUAAACUCUUUUGCAUUUAUAGAGGAAUACCGGGUGUCAUAGCAAAACGACCCUCCUAUAUUACUCUGGGCGUACUACUUACUUAUCUUACUCCUAUAUUACUCUGGGCGUACUACUUACUUAUCUUACUCUGGCUUUUUCACCAAUGAUUCUAUUACUUAGCUUUGAAACCAAUUGACUUCACACCAGAACACAUAGCUUCAUCACUCAAUGAAAAAUCACUAGCUGGUUUUGAACCUAGUUUCUCUUAUAGUUUCUCUAAUACCUGAAGAAGAAAAUCGAUUCCAAAUCUAAUAUGAGAAAACACAUUCCAAUAUCCAAUAAUGUUUUUUGCAUUAAUGUAAGUAGGGGCAUACAUACGAUAUGAGACACCUAGACUAUUACCAAUAUCAAUACCAUAUAAAAUACUUAAAUAACAUAUUUCAGAAUUCCAAAAAGAAGUAAGAGUCAAAGAUAGGAAAGCAAGACUCAAAACUAGGAUAGUCAGACUGAAGGCAAAGAAAGCAAGGUCAAACUACAAGUCUGAUGGGAAGGAAAGCAGAAACACUACCGCUAGAAGACUAGGCUCGGGCUACUCUGGGCUUGGGUCUGCAGCUACUCAAAUGACAAGUCAGAGCGAAAAGCAAGGCUGAUAGGCGGGAAAGUCACACUCUAGCUCGGGCAUAAGUGGAGAAAAGAUAGGCUCGGAAGCCGAACACAGGAAUUGUAAUAACGUAGUAGCUAAGUAUACGCUUGGCCCGUAGCUUGGUCCUUCUAUUCGGGGGGGUUCAGUUCUACCUUAUUACCAGACAGAAGAGGAGGUGAGCUUUCGACCCUAUUCCUUAUUCCCAUUAAUCUUUCGUGUGAAUCGAGACUGGAUUUGCUUUUGAUGCCUGAAGCUAGCUUGAAAGCGUAGGAAGCCCACGCCACUUAAAGGAAUCCCGUGCUCGCGCAUAAUAAGCCCUAAACUCAAAUCGAAGUUGUUCUAAUCAAUGGCUUCCUAGCCCAUUCCAUUACCUUCUUUUCUCUCUUUAUUCUGUGCUUUAUGUUGGAAUCAGAGAAUGAAUGAGAGCGCAUUACUGGAAGGAUCAUCCGCGAAUGAAUGAGAGCAUUACUGGAAGGAUCAUCCACACACGAACUUCUUGUGACUAUCAAAAGCCAGAGAGAUAGAUCACGCAUAAAAGCUUAUCCCUCUUAGAGAGAUGGAUCACGCAUAAAAGCCUCUAUUGUAGGUCGCCCUACCUCUCGCGUAGGUGGACUCAAUGACAUCCCCCCUAACGCUUUGUUCCAGCUUAAUUACGUAUACCCUAUCCAGUAGGUCGAGCUUAAUUACGUAUACCCUAACCUUUCCGUCGAUCUCCCUUUAGUCGUCUCUAACGAGUCAAGCCUCACCUUAACAACGUCUCUGCUCUCUCUACUUGGAUUUAGCUCGUUCGUUCUCUUCUAAAUAGCAUCAUUCCAUCUAUCCUGUGAAUUCAAGAUGAUCUGCAGCCGAAUCAGCAUGCGUUAAUUCCGUGUGAUAUGCAAUCUUUUCUAUGCGGCUUCUUUAAAAGAAUAACUCCAGUAGCUGUUAUUAAAAGAUAAGUAAACAAACUCGGAUUUCUCUUGCAAUGCAAUCUUUUUCUCUCUACUAAGGCAUAAACAUACUUAGCAUUCCUACUGCGAAUGCAAUGUCUGGUCACUUUCAAAUGGAUGAGCUUUCAAUAUAACUAUCUCUCCUAGUUUUGGGUCAGGCUUUCAGCUCCUUACAUCUUCUCUUCUUGCCUUAUAGUGCAGGUUGGAGGGCGCCUAGUGUCUUGUCUGCUUGUCCGUUGCUUGGCGGAUUCAUUAGUCAAAAGGGGCUAGCUCAAAUGCAAGGAGCUCUUUUCGCAGCAAUUGAAUCAUCAAAAGUAGCAAUAGCAUUUUCAGGAGCUGGAUGAGAAGAAGAUAUGCCAUAGAAAAGCAGUUAGGACAAAGAUUGUGGAAGAAUCGCCAGUUGACGGAAUAAGAGCAGUUAUAGAAUGUGCCUUACCUUCGGGCUUUACUCUUUAUGUAUACAACUAGGCUCUUUGAAAGAAUAAGCUCUUUGAAGUGAAUAUUCCACACCCGCGCACGUAUAGAAGCUUUGAGAAUUCGAAUAGGCGUUCUUAAAGAAGACAAAGAAAUGCUAUUGAUGCAGCUCGGAAUCGUAUCCGCCCGCUCUUUGCUAGAAGUCUAGAAUCUAUCCCUUUCUUACCUGACACGCUAGGCCCUUUGGUUUACUCAUAGCUUUAUGGCCGCUACCCUUGAAAACAUACUUUUUGCUUUUUCGCCUUAGGACUAGGACAGCUAGGUACUUGCCAUCUAUCUAAUAGCAUCCGAGAAUGCGCUCUUAGCAAUUGAAUAAUCAGCAUAGAAUGCCCUGAGAGAAGGCAGAAUUGGAUAAAUAGCUUCUUUUCCGGUCUAAGAUGCGGCAUUACCAAUAACCGGUGUUAGCAUGUUCGUUUUCACCAACCUUACAUUCAUAGGUUGCAACAAUGCCUUCUGAUGGUUCGUAGGAAUAGGCUUCAAAUGCUGGGUAAUAAGCGCUCUUGGAAGAUAUAUCAACCAUGAAACGAGGGGAAUAGCAGAAAUAUAAGAUAUAUAGUUAUCAUGUAUGAGCAGGAGAGAGUCAAAAGGAAGAAGAGGAAUCAGUUGUGCUUGGGUACCUAUGAAACUUCUUCCUCAAAUGUCAUUGCGUGGAUUAGCGCAGUAGCCGGAGUGUAAGCUAUAACCCUAUUUAGUUGGUCUCUUGCUUACGGUUCUUUUGACUCUUUGGAUUAUUUGCUAGAAUGGGUAUAAGAUAUCCACGCACAGAGAAGGAGCUGUUGGGAAGGAAUACUUCUAUUCUCUCUAGAUGCCCACAAGAGGUACAAUAGUUGAGUAGAAGAGAUGGCAUCGAAUCCAAGUGUUCAAGUUCAAGUUCGAGCAGUUCGCCUUACUGAAUCCCCUGUGAACGAAUCUGCUGCAUCGAAUGCCCUCCGCCUAAUCCGCUAUCUUAUCAGCUUCUGUUCUUGGCAUCUGGAGAAUGUGUCAAAGAGCUUAUUCGAGAACAAGCCCUUCUUUCAGAAAAACCUAUCCGCUCGUUCACUUCCUUGCUUCGAGGAGCAUAAUGCAUAGUAUAAGAAGGUGGCAGGGAUGUGGAUUGGAUAUCACCACUAUUGAUUCACCGGUUUCAGUUGCUUUUGCAGCUCCCUCAGGGCAUCUACCCUGAUCAAAUAGCGGAUUUUUCCCAUCUAGGAAUCCUAACCUCCCGAGCUGCUUGCAAUUGAUGCUUCCGUUCCAGCUCUCUUUGCAGCUUUCGAUUAAAGAGCCCACGUCCUUUUACUGCCCCAGGCAAUUCUACGAUGCUCGGUCUCGUGUAAGCCAAUUCUAUAUAAAAGCUACAAGCAUGCGCUAAAAAUACCUCCUAAACCCCAACCCACCUUCUUUGUUUGUGUACUUGAACUGGGGAAGAGCGGCCCGUUCCAUUAUUCCAUUAAUGCUCUUAAUUCUCUUACAGCCGGGUUGGAUUCCUUCUUGCACCGAGUCAACAACUCCCUUCCCGCUUACCGUACCGAUGACUUUGACACCGCUGCAUCUGAUCUCAUCGAUUCCACUCGCACUGCUUUAGAUCUUGUUGUUUUCAUACUCCGGGGGAUACUUAUUAUGCUCCUUAUGCUGCUGUUGGUGUUCAUGUUCGUCAACUAAUAAUGCAUUUUAUAUAGCGGCGCAGAAGCAUCAGAUCUAGAAUAGAAUCUUGCUGGAAAAGACCUUAGUCAUGAAGAUGGAACUGUCACAGACACUGAACCACCUCAAAGAAUCGAAAUUGGACGGAACAACUCCUUUAUACGCGCUUAGUCUUAUUGGUCCUGGCAAUACGUUAAACGCUGAAGAAUUCAUUUGCUAUUUGUCUCCGGGGGGGUAGCGAAGGAGAGAGCCCAGAGGUAAUCAACAAUAUUCAUAAAAUCAAGUCUAAGUAGGGAUUCCGGUUCGAUGUCAUUUAGUUGAAUAGACGGGCGCCUUCAAUCAAUCAAUGAAAGCUUACGUGCGCAAAAAGACAGAUUGGAUAGUUUCUUUAUAUCGGCUCAACCCCUUUCUUUUUGGAUGCAACUCAACAUAUAGAAUGGAGGAUGUGAUCGAUAUUCUCCAAUUGGCGACUACCCCUGAAGGAAGCAAUUAUUUUACUUAACCGAGGUUAGCAGGUGCAGAUCCUUCUGGCUGGAUAUUAAAUAGAAGGUAGUUUCGUCUGGUCAGUAGAUCAUGUUGAAUAAGUGGAGCUAGGUUACACUAUAAGAAUAAGUAGAGCUAGGUUAUUACACUAUCAGAUUACUUACGUGAGAGUCGGAUAUGUCUGCAAUCGUCCUUUCUUCAAGAGAGGGGCGGGCACUAAAAAGAUGUGCAACAUAAGGCAACUCGACUCAAAGGUUACACGAUGUGAAAGAGAAGAAGGUGCUGAAAGCCAUUGACGAUAAGCUGGCGAAAGCAUCAAAUAAGGUGCUGAAAGCCAUUGACGGAUAGCAGAGCAAAUCCAGAAGCUACACACAACGCGCAAUAACCAAGCAUCAGAAUUCUACCCUUUCUUUUGAAGCCGGAGCAAGGGAGGAUGGCUACUUUCAUCUCUAAUCGCUUGAAGAGAUACUCGAUGAACGCUGCUCUUUAUGCAAUAUGUCAUGCUUUCGGGUAUAGAAUAGAAAGUAGGCUCUUUGUAGCAGUAUCUUGCUUCUGGGCUUAAAUAAUGAUAGUAUUGUUUAUUGAUCUGUGUCAUUACUAAUUCUGGAUCGCCAUUCUAGUAAGUUUAGACGAUUGGAAAUCUCAUGUCAUACGAAGGAGUGCCAAAACGGAGAGAGCCCCUCUUGCUACUGGCGCUAAAGCAAAGUAAGCCCGAAGCUAGGGAAUGAUUGAGUCACAGGAUCCAAAAGAGAGAGCUUCAAGCGAGCUUAAUCGAUACUAUCAGUCGAUCUAUUGAAAAAGGCUGCAAGAGAGGGACAGACAAUACGGGAGUUAAGUCCCAGCAAAAGGAGUAGGCCCUUACUACACGUGACUAGACGGAAUUCAACAAAAUGGAAAUCUACUUUAUUGUCACAGCGGGAGCAAAGGGCAUCCCUUGAGAAAAGUAUAAGUGUUCUGUAUCGAAAGCAGACUUCAAGCUUGAAAGUGCUAUAUCUCUCUCUUAAAGCUAGAAAGUGCUAUCUCACUAUUUAUAGAGAGUCAUGUUUGUUCCGUAAGUGUAGUUGCUGAGAGAAGAGAGUGAAGUUACUUAGGGAAUCGGUCACCUAAAAGGAGAUUUCAAGAGAAAGCGAUGAAAUGCAAUUGAUUGAAGAGAAGUGAUUCUACGACUCGCUUGUUUACCUUACUUACAGGUUAGUUUACCUCCUGCUUGAAAGAGCGAAUUCCGUUCUUUGCUGUCCUAGCUUCUUUUUCGGAGACUAUAAGGCUUUAGCCCGGACGAGAGGACUCUCGCUAUCUGUAACUUACUAGAAAGUACUUCUCGUUCGUUCUACCUAUAUCCUAGUGCUUCUCUUUUCUUUUCCAUAGCCUUCCUGUGCUGAUAGUAUGUUUCAUAAGACCAGAGCUGCUAUUAGCGAUCUUUGCCUUCCUUUGCAAGUCUUCUAGUAGGAGUAGUAAGCUAGGGCCAAGUAAGUAAUAUGUCACUCAGUAGUUUUACCCUGACGAUGCAGACGUUAAUGCUUACAGAAAUCCUAUCUUCCUAUCAUCGUCCUUUAGCUCAAGAUGGAUAAGGAAAAGAGAGAGUAUGCAAGCGAAGUUAAGGCUUCUUUUAGGACUAUGAGUUCAGUCCUUCCCUAACGUAUAUUGGGAUAAGGCCUUACAGCUUCUUUUUUGCUAGCUAGAUGUGACUUGACUCCGGUACUACUAUCUUAUCUUGUACAUUACUCUCCUGAGUCAGCUUUUUCCUGUCGGGUUCCAUAAUAAGGACAGAAGAGAUUAGAUCGAUCAAGUGAUAACCGAGGUCCAUGAUAUCCACUGAACUUCCUUUCUAUGGCAAUAGUUGAAGCAGAGAAAAGACAGGAAAUCGAUUGGACGGGGAAUCUCUCGUGAGGCAAGUAGCAACUAUAGCGGUGGGAUAAGAUAAAGCGGAUGCAGCCUAGAAUCCGGGUGGGAGAAGAUCACUAGAUAAGAAGAAAGAUCUAUCAAGCUCUUUUCCACCUGUUCAAUCGCUAGCCCUUCUCUUUUGCAGCUCCCAUUAGUAUAAGGAGGCUAACUCUACUUACUGGCUUGACUUGAGCUUUCUUUUUGCUGUACCUGGUGAAAGCGCUACCCUGAUUACACUAAUUCCAGAAUAUUGGGAUGAUAGCCCUAGCCCUAUGAUCGUAGAACCCCGUUGUGCUUAACUUGAUAGCAGCUUCCCGCGUUCCAGAGUCCUUACACGUGAUAAGCUUCGUCUUCUUGUCUGUUGAAGCUGGUUGGGUGCCGCGCCGGAUAUAGCUUUUCUACAAAUUCUUCAGUGAUUACAUGAAGGUGGUUGGGAUGUCCCCAGUCUUACCAGUGAUUACAUGAGGGUGGUUGGGAUGUCCCCAGUCUUACGUGCAAUUCCCGUCUUUCGGUAAGCAUCUACGAAAACAGCUGAUUCUGGCUGGCUUAUGGAAAUCCAAUCAAUGUUUUCUUCUUCUUUACUUACAUGAAGCAUCUAAUAUGCGCCUAAGAAAGCAAGUAACAGGAUAUAGGGGGCCAAGCAACUAAGACCCUAGCCUAGUCACUUCAUGAAACAAGUAAGUCCACCUCCUUUCUUAUUGUAUGCCGACCUCGACUCUGGCUCAUCUCCACUAGCAGCUGGCAACUACUCAUGAAUAGCUUACCAAGCCUACCUCUUCUCUGGCUCUGUCAACUAAGAAAGAAUUCUACUCACACUCGAGCAGGAGCUGUACUAAAGGGAUUGCACUAACUACUACUGAUGAAACUACUCGUAUACUUGUUGGCACAAGAACUCCGACUCCCCUUUCUGAUUACCUGGACAAGCGUAUACUACUUUCUUUAUUACUUGCUUUGCUUUCGGGUUCUCUUGCCCUACUCAAUUCUAUCUUCUAUAGGAGCAUAUCUUAAACAAUGGGCUUGCCCUUACUUAUAUUCCUGUCUACUUGUCUGCUUUUCGGCUUUCCUUGGCUUUUAGUGCAUUGCUUCUUUCUUUCCCUUGAAAGAUUGAAUCGGGUGGAGGCAUUAUCUAUUGCUCGAGGUAUACCUUUCGAUAGAAGCAUUACCCAUUGUUAGAGGUAUACCUUUCGAGAAAAGCAUUACCCAUUGCUAGAGGUAGACACCUUUCGAUAGAAGUAAGAUGUGGUUGCGGUUCCGAACCUCUGGAGGCAAACUAAAGCAAAAUGAGACCCCUAUUCUCUUUCCGCUGACUUCUCGUCAUGCCUUUGAGCGAAUCGAAUGAUUUUGUCCAAGAUCUCCUCAUUCUCAAUUAGAUGUGGCCACGAGGUGUAGCUGCAUGCUUUCACUUUGGUCUUCCAGUCACAGCACCUGGAGGCGGUAAGUCCGGUUGAGAGAAAUACCAUCCAUGUCUAAAUCGGAGAUCAUUUACUUCUCAAGACGGAAAGAAGAGGGACAAGCGCGACUACGAUUGUACGGGUCAUCUCAUCAGAACGAGCAGUGGCCUUAUUCUCUUGACUCGCGGCCAAAUCUAGCAAGCGCAGAGCUUUUUGAGUGACAAGAAAGGAAAGCAGAGGAGGUAGUGUGCCAGUGUCUAAAGUCUUUGUGCUGUCAAUGAACUCUAGUAUGUAAGAGAUCCAAGAAGUAUUUGUAGCCAGAGUUUAGGUAUGCAAGGGAGACAAUAGGAAGUGGGUAAUAAAGAAAGGACUGGAAGGAUGGCAAGCAGAGGGUGACAAGCAGACGAGUUGGCAAGGACAAAAAUAUGUGGUAGAUCGCCAGCAAGGGAAGAAUUCUCUAGGUAUGCAGGAUAUUGGCAAAAAGGGAUAGUUUACAGUUAAGCCUACUUGAGAGGAAGCUAGAUCAGGGUAAGAGUUCAGAUCAGGAUUGGGUAUGAGUGGAAAGUCUAGUUAUAUAUCAAAGUGAAGUAAAUGAUUGAGAUGAACCCGUACGCCUAACUACUCAUAUGUGCACAGUUAUCCAUGUUAUUAUUGAACAACUUCACCCUGCUUUCCAACUCUUCCUUAUCUUAGACGUCAAGCCAAUCACCGGUAGUGUCUAUCUGUUACUUGGCCUGAAUUGAUAUCUAUCGAGCAAGCAUGUGGUAUAUUCAGUGGAUACACUGCACCCCUUCUUUCUGUAAAACUAAGUUAGCGCACGACCUCGUGAAGAAUCGAUUGCGUCUCUCUAUAAUAGAAGUUUUUAAGGAUACCGCACUGCUCCAUUUUUUGCUGAAGAUGCUCAUCCUGCUGAUGAAGAUGAUACUGUUCCUUUCCGCUUAACCGACGCAUUCAAAAAGAUAGAAAUGAGACUUCUUUGAUCCGUAUUUGGAUCCUGCUGAAGAUCUUUUAACUGCCUAUAAUACUUCUUCGGCUUAUACCGAGGAUUCAUCCAACAGCUAAGAAGUAUUGUGCUGUAGCUCUAAGGUACAGAUAGGCUAUUGCGCCAUCCCCAGUUGCCCCUAGAUUGAAGUUGGGAGAGGUGGGUUCGGUAGCCAGAUGAGAGAGAGAAUCAGUUGGGUCUGGUACUUGCUUACUCGAAUUCACUAUUCUCAAUUCAUAGAAUAGAAUGCGCUGGGAGAACAAUAGGCGAAAAUCUUCCUUCCAUGCUUCUAUUGAUCUUGCGGAACCGAACCCUCACUGAUAAAGCGAUUUGGACCACAUAAGGGUUCAGGCUGUCUCAACCCAUCCAUCUUUCUCUUCCCCUUCGUUUGCUGCUUCCUUUUCCACUCUACUUGAAGACGAAAAACUCCACUUGACCCUUCUCCUCAACAUGAAGUUCCGUUUCUUAUCUUAUGUGAUGUGACUUUGUUCUCCAAGUUGUGUGCACACAAUCUUCCUUCUAUUCCUUAAGUGAGUAAAGAAACUAUAGGGAAGUCUAUUGCUUAGCGAGUUGAGCUUAGCGAAUUGAAUGAACUUCAUAUGAACGACUAACAAUAUAAUUCUAGUAACCCAGUAGUGCGAAGGAUGCUUCUGAUCCAGAUCCAGCUUCAGAUACUAAUCCAUCUUUGAUUCUGGAAAAGAUGAAACAGGAACAGGCAAUUCUGCUUCUCGAGUCGACGCGAACUCCACACUUGAUCUUGUUUGAUACCCUGAUUGAUCUCCUUCUCUUGCCAUUUCGAGAGAACACCUUAAGUUCCUCUCCGCACUAAGCCAAACUCUAGGCAUAUUCAUGUGCACAGGCAAUUCAAUUGAAAAAGCAUUCUCCUUACAUCCACUAUUCCUAGCAAAGAGCGGCACCAUCUAUUCUAGCAAACCCAGAGUGGCAGCAAUAAAAUAGGCUUUCUUUUUGAAGAGAUUGUGUUUCAAUACAAACAAUUCCAUUCAAUUAAACCUUCUUCCGGACUCUCACUUUCUGACCUUGAAGACUUAGAGCUAGAGCACCGAACCUUUCUCUUUGAAACCACCAACAAGAGAUAAGAAGGGAAGGGGUCUAAUGCAAAGGGAUAGGAAUUGACUUUCUCACUUUCACUGGGGAUUCCCAUCAGAUAGAUAAGGUAAGUCAGCAAGAGAAGAGGAGAGGGAAUGAGCCAAGCAAGAGAAGAGAGCCAGAGCCGAAUGAAGUUAGUAAAAGGGCUAAAGUCAAGGGAAAGUAGUGGAUUCCUACCUUAACUCUACUUUCUUUGCAACUCGUAAGAUCCUUUUUUCUUGACAGAACUCCACUUUCAGAACUGCUGACAAGCGAUACUUAUGCAUUCAAAAAGAGAGUCAAUUCGGCUCUUAUGUAACUCUACGACACCACGCCUAAAAAGGACGACUUGGUGGAUCACAACAAGGUUAAGAAGCACGGACAGGACAAUAAGUAUACUUUGAUUGAGCAAGGGUUGCAAGUCCUGUUUUGGGGGCCGCUAGAGUUCCCGUUAUUACAAUAGAUGUCUUCGUAGCAGUAAGCAGUGAGUUUACUUACCCUUCUUUCUAUACAACUAUGAUCGCUAAGUUCUUUUCUUUCGCUCUUCAGCUUACGUGGCAAACAAGUCCACAGACAGUAUAAGUCUAUUAGGCGAAAUGCCGUAUAAGAGCAAUUAGGGGCAUAAUCAAUUACGGGUGUUGAAGCGCAAAGUCCUUCAUACUUGUUUUACAGUUCCAGUUAUAGUUUCAUCUGUGUUAGUUGGUGACGAGAAAUCCAAAGAAGAACCAAGAUCUGAAGCUAGAGCAUCAGCUGUGCAAUGAAAUGAUGUAUCUGUUCGAAAGGAAAGGUUCGAGUGCUGGUGUCAGUGGCGUAGGAGAGUAGCGUAGGAGAGAUAGAAGCAGUUACAGGUUUCGGUAGUGAUUGUGUUGGGGACAAUCGGUUAAGAAAGUUCAUGAGUUCAAUCCAUGUUAGUUGGCGCCUCGAUAAGUGAUUGUGUUGAAGUUGAGUAAUAGAGGGAAUCAGCUGUUCGAGUGUUUGUUAAGUCGUAUAGAUCGUUUUUGCAAGACUAAGCGGGGAGUUUCGUUCAAGUGGAUGGAAUUCAAGGCUUUCCCGAGUUUUGAGUUGGUUCAGUGAGGUCUAGGUUCGGUGCUUGGCGAAAGUAAGCUACACUACAAUUAGUUCAACAAGCCGAGAAUAAGACGCAAGUCAAAGCAUUGUAUAGAACCCGGUCAUUAUUGAAUCCAGAGGUUUUGCAGUUUAGGCGAAAGUCCGAGGUAAGGUCAGCUUCACUUCAAGUCAGGUCAGCUUCACUUCAAGUCUAGUAUUAGAAUAGGGAGGGCCAUAGUCAAUAAUUGCUAGCGCAUGAAAGUCAGUAUUAUACUCUUUUCACUCCGUUAGUGCUUCAGAAGCCAGUCCUGUUUUUUGCAACGAAAUACUUCGAAAUGGAAUUGAGAGAUAAGGAAAAAUAUCCUAAUAUAUCUAUCUUAUAUCUCUAUUAUCUAGGCGGGUGAAUAGAUUGACAGCUAGGUAAAGUAGCCUUCAGAGAAUAAUAAAGUAAGAGAAGGCAGCGCAGCAAGCCGAUCCGACAUAGGUUCAAAGGCAUGCACCUUUCCUUAUUAUAUACAAGAGGCGUAGAGCAAGUCAAGCCUGGCCUGUCUGAUUAGCCUGAUCUCUGUAAAGCCUUCGAUCAGGUUUCUUUUUUUCUCUCUAAGGAAAGGAAUGGAAGUUUUGAGUAAGUGAAUGAACGGGCGAAUCCUAUCUAUGAAAACGAAAGCCCUUAUUGAAGUCUCUGACACUUAUGCAAUGCACCUUUUUGAAAAUGAAUAUACUUUUCUUGGCUUCGAUAAGUCCGUUAAGCGAGCUGGAAGAUUCUCACUCUUCUGUCUAUAUAUCCUUCCUUUCAAGCAAGCUGUCUAUAUAUCCGCCUCUUAUGGAGUGCCUGUUCCCAACCUUCCUGUGAGCAAUUGACAUCUGUAUAGUUCUUAUGAUAGUUAUGAUUAUUUGGAAAGUACCUAUAGCAAGCCUCUUUCUUUUCAAGCCGGUGAGAAAGUGAGCAGGAUCGGGAUAGUCAAGAGCAGAUCUACCUAUCGAAGCAGCAGUUUCCGUUUCUUUUCAUGGCGAUCCAGCCGAGCUUCUAGAGUCCUCUUCUAUCCAUUGUUUAGCUUGUUGUAGUAGCUUGAGAUGAUGUCGGUACAGAUUCCGUGCUUUCAUCCCCUAAUUAUGCCUUUAUUCCAAGGUUCUCCUUUCCCUCCCUCUUAAGUAGCUGUGAGCAAGUUCAGAAGUGAGUGGAUGUAGAAUAACUAGCUUAUUUGCUGUAGCAUAUAUAUCCUAGAAUUCCAAUAGUGUGAGUCAUCUAUAUAUCAAUUCCAUUUAAGUAAGACGAUAGACUCAACAUAAUAUGGAUAAGUUCCCUAGAAAAGGUGGUUGAGUGCAAACAAAUAGUUUCAGAUCAAAUAAACGGUUUAGAAUAUGAUAAGUGUAAGUGCCAUAAAGAAACGGUUUAGAAUAUAUAAGUGAAAUAUACGAUAAGGUUGAGAUAAGGUUGAGUGCGAUCUAGCUUAAGUCUGAAGGUGAGCCUAUCCAACUGCAAUCUGUCUACGGUCCCGAAUUGGAAAGAUAGAGUAGUCAUCGAGCCCUGUGUCCUUCUUUUUUCUUUGUUGUCCAGCGAAUGAAUCUAAUUUAUAAGAAAAGCAGGUUGUCCAGCGAAUCUAAUUUAGAAGAAAAGCAGUUCGUUUGCUAGCCUUUCCGUCCCUUUCUCUAUAGACCGAGUAGCUGUCCCAAUCCCUAUUAUUGCAUCAUUUCUUAUGUAAGUUGUCUAAUCCUAAGUGCUUCUCCGUGGUUUCCUUCUGGUCCCGAAGAGGGAAAAAGUGUGUGUUUACUUUCUUGUAGUGAUUUUACAUGCAGUUCCAGAUCAGAGUCAGAGCGAUAUAGUGUAAUUGCUUAUGCUUGCGAUCCUGGUCCAGGUCGUAAGUCUAAGAGGUGUUUUGGGCCCUCCUUCCUUGUUUAAGACAGGAUAUCGGCACAAGGGAGCGAGACAAUAGAUGAUAGGUCAAUAAGUGAAACACCCGAACUAACUCUCCUUUCUGAACCGACACGACAAGCCAAUCAAUAACCUCUCUUCUCUUAGCACCAACCUCCAUCUCUAUAGGAUUCAAUAGGAUGAAAGUCUCUAAUAAGGUGAUAUCGCAGACAACACUCGAACUGGAACAGAAAGAGAAAGGCAAUUGUCUGUGCCCAGGAUGUGUUCGGAAAGCGAAAUAGUGGUCUAGUUCAAAAAGCAGAAAAGCUACAUGGUGGGGAUCUAUUCUAGUUUUGUUCCAAGGAGCUCGAGGUUUCCACGCAAUUGAUAGUGAAAAGCUGGUUGAACUACCUAUCAAUGAUGUAAGCGCCGGGUUAACUACUGAGUGGAACUACUUCUCAAUGGUUGCUAAGACCUAAACUGGGAUUUCCGUAAAAGAUUACCGCCCGCGCUGCUAGAACAAAGGACUGAAGGAAAACAAACAGCCAAUCAUCUACCGUCCCAACAAGGACUAACGUAAUAUAGGUCUAUCGCUCUCGAACGAACAAGUAUAAGUGGUUCUGUCAUCAUAAUUUCUUUCGUUUAGACUGGCUUUGCUUUGUUAUUGGAUAAGCUAUCAAAUGCUGAUUCAGUAUGGAGGAGAUAGGUAGUUUAAGAAUAGAGAAUCGUUGGUUCCUUAGAGUCAUUUGCAUUUCCUAGCGUGACAACUCUUGUUCCAUAACCUUUUUAGCGGCCCUACUUACUCUUUCUCUUAUAUUACUAUUAUAUAGAAUACAUAUCUAGUACCCGAUCUUUGACUUUGGCAGUAUGGAGGGGGUAGACAGCGAAAAUGGCCCUCAGGUCCCGACCCGAGUUUUGGGGGUUAGGGUCUUUCUUUCAUUAAAUGGGAAAAAAUCCAAAAGGGGUGUUCAGAGGGGGCCGCCUUGCGCAGCUUUAGAAAGGAGAUAAUUUCCAAAAGUCACUCUCUCCAACCUUUUCUAUCUAUACCGAGAGAAAGUCAAUAUUCUAUUAGCAUUGGUUUUUCCAACGAAACUAAGCACUUUUUUGUCUUUAUCAUUCUGAAGGCUAAGUCCAAAACUCGUACUUCAAUGAUAGGAACAACCUCUACACUCCGACGCUCCAAUGAACAAAUGUUCUCCGCCUUACUUACUUGAUUUAGAAAUCAUCAUCUUUGCCUUCUUCGCUACGUAAAUAGAGGGCCUGAAUCCGUUUAAGACCCUCAAGAAUGGAUGUUGGUGAUAGAGUGUUCUCAGUAUUAGCUGGGCUUAGGAAUUGCAAAAAGUGCUCUUCGUCACGCUCAUCAAGUUCUUGUUUGAUCUGCCGCUGUUAUAAGAUCACAAUCUUCGUCCUUUUUUGUUAGGUUAAUGCUCUCAAUCUCAAUAAUUAUGCCUUUGACCUUUGUCUUCGUUCGCCAAAUCUUCUGCUCCACUCGGUUGAUUGGCACUCCAGUAAGCUAAUCUUGCAUACUAAUUCUGGGGGUCCAGAGGCCGGCCAAGAACUUUUAUGCCUUUACAAAGCGUAAAAACUCUGAUUUGAAAGCGGGAUUCCACUACAUAAUCCAAAACCGUAAUUAGAUCUUGGAAAUGAUCGACUCAAAUGGAUGCUCAUUAUAAGCUGCUUUUUUCCAACUCUUCCUGAAUAUUCAUCAACGUUCUAUCGAGAUGAAGGAAUUGCCAACCCUCAUCCAUUAGUGCAUCCAUGAAGUAAUAAAUGCUGUAUUCAUCCCCUUGUAAAGAAAAGCCUUACUAGACUUGAUAGGGGGCAAAGAGGAGCUGUGACAUAAUUUCUCUUUUUUCCUGUGAGCUUCAGAAGCAUCCCUGCCUUAAGAAACCUACACAGUGCUUCGAAGUAGUAGUUAUGUGCCAUUCAAGGUUUACUUCACUUAGUAGUCUAUAUGUGGUACGCAAGGGAAAGGCGGGUAGGGGUGGGGCUCAGCAAGUUCAGAUAAGGUUCUUUCUCUCCCGAUACAACCAAGCAAGCGGAGUCUAUGGAAUUAACUACAAGAUUCUAUUCCUUGCUCUUCAAGCAAGUAUGGGCAAUAUACGGUUAGUGCAUGAUAAGUGGAUGUGGAAGCAGUCCCACAAGAAAGGGACAGAGGAAAGUCAGAGUUUCAAGAAGGAUAUUGGUAUAGCUAUAAAGAAAGAAGUAGAUUGGUUUAGCUCUCUUCAAAGUCAAGUAGUCAAAUUCCAUAAGCAAAAGAAACUCAAUAACUCCAUUCCAUAAGCGCAACUCAUUCAUCUCAAUUGUCAACUAACUCCGUCUGCUCGUUCUCUGGCUUUUGGCGUGCACUAAAUACAGACCAGACCAGAGGAACUUAUUAACACACUACACUGAUUGUCCAAGCCCAACUGAACUACUAUAUUCUAUUGUCCAAGCCCAACUGAACUACUAUACGCGUCAACUUCUUGUCCAACACCCUUAUUAUUGCCUUCUCAAGCAAGCACCAAAAGAAAAACACUCUCCUCAAGCUAUAAGAUCAAGAUACCGCUCCGAACAAGCUCUAAUAGAUUUUGUAGUUUCACUGUUGUUGAGUUAGCAUCAGCAUAAGCAAUUCGAGUGUUUGACUCUGGCUUUGAAGCGCUAAGUGUAGUUCCGUUAUUGGCAGUUGGGCCAUAAUCAAGCUAUACUGGGGGAUUAAGAAGACCGAGUCAAGCAACUACCAUACAUAGAGCUGGAAGCUUAACUAGUGGAAAGAGAGAAGGAACUCAAGCCUGAACUGGAUGUGGAAACGCAACAGUACAGGAAGAAGAAUCGCCCUACUUUAUUACGGCCUUUCCUUCUUGGAAUGAGCAUAGCCCAGUCACCCCUCUAAAGAGGAAGAGAGUGUAAUGACAUACAGUUGUUGCCUUUUCAUUAGAAUAUCCUUUACUUAUUUGGAGAUUAGGAUUCCUCGAAAGAAGCGCUCGCGCUGGGCUUUUCGUGAUAUCAACACUCUCUUCUCUAGUCAGUUCCCCACUCCGGGUUCGGUUAAGCUGUUAGUUUAGUAGUAUUUAUAGUCAAUGUCUCUAAUCUGGCUGAGUAGAACGAAGGGAAGGAUCCAUCCCUGCAAUAGAGGGAAUAGGGGCGGUGCUUUCGGGUUCGUUUUUUACUGAGAAGGAAAGGGCGCUUAAGAUCUUGUUGUGGCAUUCUAACGAUCAUAAUCCUUUUAUCAUGGUGCUAUUCACAUUCAUUCAUAAGCCUGCAGCAAAAUAGCCUUUGAAAAACCUUCCUUCGGGUUUGGUUUUCUCUCUUUCUCUUCGAAGAGAUGUGUAUGUGUACCUAGCUUCCGAAUCAACUGAAACGUCCACUUUUUCCCCAUCUUUCUACAAGUAUCACUUGAAAGGCAGUAAUUCGCCCUGUGGUAAGGGGAGAUGCUGCUCCUUGGCAAAGACGCUUUAGAGGCCUUCUUGCUCAGGUCUGCUUCAGGUGCUUAGCAUAUGCUUUCUAUGCCUACAUUCACGAGCCUACAAGUGUUCUCUCUUUCGUUGGUAUAAUCUAAUGUAAGGGCAGUAUCAAGUGGAUCUCAAAUAGGGAAGGGUUGGGAAUUCCUAUAUAGAGGUCCCGGGUAGGAUAUUUGGAAGUUGGUUUAGGUAGCUUAGUUGGUUAGAGAAAGCGCCCUUAAGAUGAUUGUGUAAGUGGUUCGCCUAAGCAUCUGCUUCUUUUCUUCUAGGUGAUGGGAGGUGGGCACUCUAUUUUCGCUUUUUCUAUCUACCCCAGAGACAGAGUCAAUUGAAUCCAAUCCGCCUACUGAGCAAAUCAUCUUCGUUUCAAAUGGGCCAAUUGUUCUCGACCCCAGUCUCUUUGCUGGGCUUUCCUUUUCCCUUCUCCUACCGUGCCAUGUCUUAGAUUUUCUGUGCUGAGUAUCGAUCUUCAAAAACGAGAUGGAAUGUCCGAUAGCGAUGGCAAUGGCAAAAAGUUCGAUUUCGCUGUCCAAGGGGCAAGCACCACCAACCCUACGGAAACUGUAUCUCCUCCACACAGCGUGUAUUACCUAAAAAGAUAGGUAGUUCCUCGGAAAAGGCCAACGUUUUACACGAUACUGGUGAUCCCGGACGGGGAAAGACACUUUGGAAGGCUAUGGAUUCAUUCUCUUCUCUUGAGCAAGACCAACAUCAGAUCAGCUCCAUCUUUAGCAAUUGUAGCUGCUACCGCUGAUGCCGAAUACAGAGCGAUAGAGACUUAGGUCCGGACCAUAGCCAUUAUUUAUUGGGUACUCUCUUUAUAAAGAAGCCAGCCCAAGGCCAAUAUAGAUUCCAAAUAGAGUAGCAUAAAUCCACUGGAUACCUUAUAUUCGACCAUGCCAUAUCUUCUUGCUUUUUUAGUCAUUCCCAGUCCCGAGAUGAGUUCUCGUCCCAUCUUGCUUUUGCUACCCGUCACCGUAAGCUACCUAUACAAACGCUAUUGUUGCAGCGGAGCUAGCAUUCACAGCUGAUUCCAUUCAAAAAGAAAGUUCCUGUUCCCACUUAAUAAGGGGAAGAGAGGGCACAAAAUGCCGUUAUUUCACUUCGAUUAUUAUUCAUCAAACCUGCUAUCCACUUUCCAAACUGACUUAUUGGGAUUCCGCCCCUUUCUCAUUAGUAUGAAUAGAAGCAAGAGCCUUUCUCAUUAGUAUGAAUAGAAGCAAGAGAUUGUUUCACUUAAACUACCGGAACUUGACAUCUAUCCGUAUUUCACUUUCGGCUCCUCAUUGGCUGUGAGGUCAUAUCAAAUCCAUUUUCAUAACGACCGACCUCCUACUAUAUUUAAGAAACUGCAGCCUUUGCACUCUAGCUCAACAAUCCAUAAAGGAGUAGUUGCAUAUCAGCUGUUCAAAGAUUGAAGGACCAAAAGAGCAGGUUGUUCUCAUUCCUUCCACUCCAUCGCAUCCUCCAGUAACUCAGCCCCUCUUUCCAUCCAUGAAAUAAUGAGAAAAGCGUUAGUAUAUGCGACAUGAAAGAUCUUUUUCUAUCUAUAUAGACAACAGCGGAUAUUCCCCUAAGAGCUGAUUCUCCAAGUAUUUCCUGCCGGAGAGUACUAGGGUUGGUCAAGAAAUAGUGGAAUUCUGGCUUGCUGGCUUGCUCGGGUACGAUGAAAGUAUCCAGUUGCCAGUCCGACUAGUGCUCAAGAGACUCUAUUGAAUUGACGACCGCUGGUAUCUUAGAAAACCCUGAUCUCUGCAGUUACUUGCCUAGUGACUUGGGGCCUAGUUUCUUGUCGGAUAGGUCACUUUCAGCCUAAUCGGAGUUAGCACUUAAUUAGCAUAGAAUCCUGUAAAGAGCUUCCCUAUCUUAUGAAUCUUACCGGCUUCCUAAAUUCCAUGAUUUUAUGAACCUAAAGUAGAGUUCCGGGUGCCUAGCCUAGCUUAUUGAGUUGUCGACUAGCUUAUUGAGUAUAAAGUGACCCUGGCCUUAUCUUAUAGUCAUUAUCGUUAGCACCAGCACUCCGAACUCCACAUUCUGAACCGUGGGCUACUUACCUUUGGAUCUUCAGUAACAGUUGAGUCUUCGUCUUCAGGUAAAAAAGGAAUAUUCUCUUUCUUGCAGAGAGGAAAACGGCACUAUAAAUGGAACGGAUGGUGAUCUACCUAUAGCUUAGGCUUCUUCCCUCAAGCUUGAUCAGUUAUGGAAAUUGAUUGAUACCAGACUUGAGACUGCUUGAGCAACUAAGUAGUAAGUAAAGCCAGGCUGUCAACUCCUUUCCUUACGCGCAACUCAAAGAUGCAUUUCUUCCCGGGUGCUCAUCAAAUAGAAUAGGAAUUGAGGAGCGAACUUCGAAACCCCCUUCAUUGAUUAUAGUGCAAAUAUGAAGUGGGCAACCGCCAACACAGCUCUCUUCUCUAUAUGAUUCAACAAUCACAGAAGGAAGGACAAUACGGACUUAGCGCAGAAGAUGCACGGCAUUCUAGUGAAGGCUCUCCUUUGUGGGCAAGAACUUCUAGUUUGUCUUUUGUUUUUAUACAGUUCCGUAAUACUGAACUUAAGCAUUCGAUUCUUGUGCCGAGACUAAAUCAACUUGCAUUAAAUAAGUGUGGCGCCCUUGAGACUUAUUCUUCUGUUGAAACAUAUUUCUCUCCUGACCUUGCUUCCCUAAAUGACUGUUAACAGUAAGUUCCCUUGCACAACGGGUAGAUCCUCGCUCCGUAAACCCCUUUUCUCUCUCCUCUCCUUGCUAAGAUUUGAAUCGGAUCAGAAUACUAAGCAAGAUCGGGCUUUGAUGCGCUAAGUGGUAAAAGUCGAGUGGGUUUUAGUGCUUGUCGAGUUCUGUUCCCAUACUUGAAUACCCUUGCUUCUUGUUCGAAGGCAGUCUAAAGCCUUUAUUUAUUCCUUCAAUUGAAAAGAGACACCAGGGAAAGACGGAGCAUCUGCAUACUCACCAUUACUCGGUAAAGUGCCAAGAACUGAAAGAAACUAGUCUAUAACACUUGUUGAACGUCUUGCCCGAACUGUACUUGUGGAAUGUCAUUGCCUCUCGUCGACAAGAACUUGAGCGUAACUAUCAUUUGAAGACCCGCGACACUCACACUGCUUAAUCCAUAAUUGCCCCAUCCUCUAUACUAAAGAAACUGGAACAAUUAGCGACCUAAACGGAACGCUUACUUACGCACUGCUUUUCUAUCUAUAUAGGAUUACUAAGGCGCCAAGAACAGAACCUAUCUAUACCCACUUAGAAUGAAUAACUUACCUAUAUGACUCCACUUCAAUAUAGGGUACGCCUAUAGCACACAUAUAGAUUCAUUUAUAAUAGAAUAAAUAAUAGGGUACUCCUAUAGUGCAUCCAACAUGUAAUUGAGAAUAUGUCUCUAUCACCUGAUAAAGGAAAUAGUCAAGACACAGCUCCCACUCCUGAUACUGGUCCUACUCCUUACGCGGAACUGGAACUGGGGAUGAAACUAGGGAUUCCACAGAGUAUUAAUGAAGUAGCACCCGACCCUACAUCCACUGUUUUCGCGCCUUCGCAUUCUAUUCUGUCUUUGUACUUUACAUCUUGUGCCAGUUUCUUAAGCGCAACUCAUUCAUGGAAAUUGUAAACUCCAUUCUGUAAUUCCUACUUCAACUCCAGUUAGCGAGCUACGUCUUUCCUUUCAAACUCCAUAUUGGAUUCCUUCCUUUCGCCUAAAGCAUACCGAACUCCUGUUACUUUUGACUUGCUCCUGACUCGCUAAUUGAAUCGCAACCCCCUUGGCAAACUCCUUUACUCCACCUUGAAAGCGUUAGUACAAUUCCUGCUUUCGGGAAUGCCCUGUUACAACAAUCUUGACUGUAAUUACUUGAUGGAAUUCUCCAUUGAGAGUUGAGAGCGCCAAUAGAAAGGAAUCUAGUCCCUGUGUAUGUCGUGUAGUUUAGGUAUUAUGGUUAUACCAAGCAAGCUAUACUCUAUAUUAUGGUUAUACCAAGCAGGCUAUACUCUAUUGGAGUCGAGUAAGUCCAACUCUUUCGUUUCGGAGGUAUUACUCGGUAUAGUAGGUUUUCGUGAGGCGAAGAACACCGAGUCAGAAAAAAAGGGCAUGUCAUUUCAUCAACGAUGGAGCGCAGUGACGAGAGCGAGACUCUAACUAAAAAGGAAAGUAGGAGUUAGCCCAUCCGGGGAAUACUGUAAGGGGAACUAUAGGUUCGAACUCUACGUGCCCUUGUUCCGACGACUCGUUCUGACAACUCAUUUUGAGGAGUGGAAACAUCGAUAACGCUUUUCCAGGAGCCACGUGUAUCGAACCGCUGGCGAGUCUCACAACGAGGAGUGAAUGAAGCGAGCUAAGAGGGAGGAAGAGAACGAAGCGACAGCAGAGUUAACUCAGUCAAUCCACUUCUGAGCAGAGAGGGAACUACUUCGCUUCAUGGAUCCACACAGAGGCAGUAGCCGGCACAUCACUAAAUACAGGCCACUGCUUAUCUAUGUCGCUUUAGUUCAUUCACUCGCAAUGGAGGACAACAUUUGUCUCUUAGUUAGUUUGUCGGUUCGGGAGAUUCGAUAGCUUGCUCAAAUCCUGCAUUCCGAGAUCGACGGUAGCCGUUGGGCGGCCUGCUGGUGUUAUAGAACGUUUUUCCAUUCCCGCUUCCUGCUAUUGCUAAAGUGCUUCAUGCCCAUUCCCAUCUACCCUAUGCUAACUGAGGCACUUGAGUUUACGACCAACAGAUAAGGAGUUCAACGUGGCAUGGAUCUUUAAUCAGGACAUAGUUCUAUAACUUAUUAGGUUUGAAUCGAACAGGCACAAGCAACUCGAGAAAUCUCUCCUCAUUGAGAAUUAAGAUGCGCCUAGGAAAUGAAAUGUUUGUUUUAUAUUGAUUGAAGCCCCGAAAGUGAUAUUGGGGUAGGUGAAGGGAGUACUACUGCUAUACUUAUGGUUCAGUCGGAACUAAAUCCGGGUUUCGGCUACUAUUCCCACCGCCUAUAUUACGGACAAAGAUUCGUCAUUGUCGGCUGAUGCUGAUAUACCUCAUGCCUGAGCUCCACCUGAAAGUAGGCCAUAUAAGAAGUCAGAUCUGAAGCAAUAAUCCUAGCGCUUUCGCUGUCGAAGCUUGAGCAGAAUAAUGCAUAUACCGUGACUCUACUCCGCUAUGCUACUGCAUUGCCUCCACCUGAGCUACUUGUACGAAAAGUAUUGUUGGGCCAUGUCCACAGAGGAAGUCCAACUGGAAAAAAGAGAACGAGUUCAGUGAGCGACCACUUCCCUUCACAGGAACGAAAAUACCUUUAUUGGUUGGACCAACCCAACAUGCAUUUGAGAGUGACAUGCCGGGGCGCCGCAGUCACGCAUUUCGAGCAAGAGCCUUUCUUCGCUAUGGAAAUAGAGGGAAGGAAUCCAUGCUAAACCCGGGAGUAGGUUUUGGGGGUUGAAGCUAGUCGCUAAGGCGAUCAAGUGGUUUCGCAUUUAAGGAAAGACCGGCUAUGAAAGAGUUUUGGACAGAAGGAAGGCAUGACAAAAUAGACUCCUUCGGACCCUUGCGUAUGUUCUUCUUAUUGGGCCGAGUGGUAGGCUUGCCCAUCACAAUGGGAUUGAUAAUAUCCCAGAGAAAGAAAGAAGUAGGCUAUGUAAGGUGGUUAUGAAAUAAGAUGAAAGGUGAAGUAGGAACAUAUGUAGUACUUUCUUUUGCUCUAACAUCAAAGAAGACAACAUUUAAAGAAAGAAUAUUCUAAUAUCAACCAAUUAAUAUUCUAAUAUAAACCCAUUAAGUUGCGAGGAGGUUUCGAUUUGUUAUUACGCUUUCGUGUUCCUUCCACCCUUUAUGAGUGCUAGUUUCGCUAAAAACUACGGAGUUUUCUUUCUUUGUAUUGUAUCCUAGAAAAUCAGUGAUGAAAUAGCUCCUUAUAGACCUGUAGACUUCCAAGGCCAGUCAUCUUUACCUUGACCAAGAGCACAUCUUUAGGGCAGGAAAUCCAUCAAUAAGACUCAACAAUAAGUAGAACAUCUCUCCACUUCACCGGGCGGAACUAGAAAGAAAGCUCCUUGAUCGGCCUAUAAACUGGGCGGCUAGUAUAGCUUUUAAGGAUUACUGCUGUCGGAAGCAUAGACGAAGACAGUUUAGGAUGAUUAUUGGAAUCUGAUCAGACUCUAUUGAAUCCGAGGGUCAAGCACCUUUUCGCAAUAACAAGAGGGUAAAGCACCUUUUCGCAAUAACCUGACUUGCUUAGUUGCUGGCUUGGCUUUUGCUUAUUAAUUGAAUUGGUUCUUUCCUGUAAUACCCUUUCGAAUUGAAUUGGUUCUUUCCUGUAAUCGACCGACCACCUCCUUUACUAUAGGGCCAUUCUGCGGGCAUGAAUACCUUCUGCUCCUAAACUAUCUAUCACUUGCGGAAUCGGAUAAGAGCUGAGCAUGCUUCUCAUAAACACAAAAUUCAGGACAUGGGAACCCAGAGGUAUACACUAAAUUCAGGACAGAGAGGAACCCUGAGGGAUUCUCUCCAGCCCGCAGCUACCGACUCGGGAAAGCUCUCCUCCCCUAAGGGACCUCAGACACCGACAGCGCUAAAGGAAGCAGCAAGACCGGAAAGUGUAGUUCUCAGGGCAGAAUAAAGGGAAGAAAGAGAUUAAGCAGCAGCAGGAAAGUAUAUCGGAACAGGCUAGACAAGUUAAUCAAAUCAGAAAGUAUGUAAGGUAUAUAUUUGAAGAAAGAAAGUCAUGAGUCCUAGAGUGGUACGGAAGUCAAGUAAGCCUCUAAGUAAGCAGUACCAGACCAAAAGGGCGGACUACCUCAUGCCACCAAACAGCAAUACUUAGAUUAGAUAAAGGAGUAGCGGACUAACACUCGAGCAUAGGGCAUUGAGGGCAGAGUAACAGCCAUCAAGAGCAGAUCGGAGGACUUCAGUUGGAGCUCGGGUAUAGACAAAUACAUAUGUUAGAUCAGUGUAGACAACUACAGAUAUAGAUUCGGGAGCUUAAGAGUUCAAGGCUGAGUUAGCUAAGGUGGGAAGAAGGUAAGGCCAAUAGACAGGAGAGUAAAGUAUAGUGUGAGUUUGGACUUAAAGCAUGGAGUCCUAGAAUCCAAGAUAGGAGACAUAGGCCCAUAGGCAUUAGUGACAGAGUUCAAGAAGCACUCGUUACGUUAGGGAACCUGCUCGUCAGUACGCGCUAAGAAAGAUGCCUUCAAUAAUGACUUAGUAUUUCCAUUAGGCUGGGUAAGGUAGGACUGGUUUCGCGGGGAAAGAGAAGGAGAUAUGUUUGGUCAAGCCGAGCAGAGAGAUAGGUUAGUUUGGUCCAGUAGGAAUCAAGUAGUACAUAAAGAAACCCAAUAGUAGCUACAGAACUCAAAUACCAAGUCACUUUACUACAGAACUCAAAUACCCAGUAUAUUAACUAAGACUCACGAGGAGCCCCGAGCAUACGAAUCAAAGUAGAAAUAAGGAAUGAGUAAGAGAAUCAACUCAAUGUCCAUCAGAAUUAACAGUGUAGUCAAAUGAUAAAACAAUAAAAGAACCCCGGUGCCUAUAAGAUUGAAAUAAGCAACAGGGUCGAUGUAAUUGAGCUACCUGAUGGAGUAGAAACAUAGGUCGGAAUGAGAGAAAGGAGCCAUAACUCCAUUACUACAUUAGACCUAGAAGUAAUAGAAGCAAACCGAGCAUUAGAAGAAUUAUCUCCUUACAUAGAAAGUCAGAAUGCUGCUGUUCUAUAAGGAAACAGAAGCAACUGACAUCUUUCUUGGUCCCCGCCUGGAUACUAUAGAACGGAUGAUACUAUGGAAUGGAUACUAUCUAAUUUCUACUAUAGAAUGUGUCACUAAAACACCCCUGCGCUCUUAGUAGUCAAGUCCAAAUGGAUGCUCUUAGUGGAAAGUCAGAAUUGGAUUGCAAGGUCAGAAUCCGAGUAUGUAGCUAGGCAUGUUAGAUCUAGGUUACUCACCGACCCUUUCCUUUCCCUGUGCUCUUUAUUCUUCUAUUGCUUGUAGCUCUUUCGAACAGAGCUCCUCUGCUCUAAGGUUUCUAGUGGUAAUAGUUAGGAUUGCGCUCAUAAGUAACAGAACUCAAUUAAGUAGUAAAAGAGAGAGAAGCGGAAACUGAAUGGAACUUCCGUUAUAUGGGUAUAAGCCUCUGUCCCGGGGCGAAAGCUUAGAGUCUUCCGUAUGGGAACUCAACUUAUAAGCCUAGGAGUUCGGGGCAAGUAUACGGAAUUACAGAGGAAAGAAUCAGAGCGGGCCUACUUAUAUGACUCCGGGCGUACUAAUUAUCUUACCCUGGCUUUGAUGCGAGGGCAGAAGGUGACCUACACCGUUUAUUCUUUUGAGUCGUUAUUUGAACAAUUCCUUUGUUCGUCUGUCUGUUUUCGUUCCUUUCCCCCUACAGGCAGUAAAGCAAGGUUGGGCAAUAAACAUAGGCAGUGAUUUCGUUCUCAUAAGUAAGAGUGAUAUUUGAAAAACGAAGAUCCUACUCAGUGGUUAUAGAAUUCGUUUCCGGCUUGAGUUCUAAUAAGUAUUAGUUUGAUUCGCUAGUUAUUAGUGGAUUUCCUAGCUGGGUGUUCAAUUCCAGUUAGCAUUGGUUCAAUCUAACAAUAGUAGUAUAGUAGUUGUCUAUCGGGUAGUGUUAUAAAGCUUGCCCUUGGUUGUAUUCUAUCCAGUACCUGUCCUAUUCUUUAUUCUUUGUAAAAGACUUCUAGUUCGUAGUUGGAUGCACUGGACCGUACCUGUACUUAUACUUAUUAGUUUGUUUCUAUGUUCUACUAACCAUAUAUUAUCCUUUAUCCCCGAUCGAAGUCUGCUACUGCGCCAUAGAUACACUUAUUCUUAUUAAAGAGUUUGAUUCUAUUACUUACUUGUCUAGUUACUUGGCGAAAAUGGGAAAUCCAUCUUACUACCUUUGCUUCAAGUCGAACUUUGCUAAUAUUAUUCGAGCUUAUCUUAUUCGAACAGAGGAAUCAGAAUAGGGGUAUAGAGUCUGAGCUAUGGCAUUAUAAGACUAAUGUUCAUGUUCGUAGGUCUAACAAUGAAUAAAGAAUAUAAACCUAUCACUUCAGUUUCACCCUUGCUUGUAAGUUGACUUCUUCAAUGCAAACUACUUUGUCCAAUUCUUGAUUCCAUUAUUGAUUCCAAUUUGGAAAACUUCUACUUCCGGUAGCACUUGCGCCAAGAAAUAAGCUACCACCAGCUCAAUCACCUUUUUCAUUUGAAUUGAACUUUCCUUGACAAAGAAUAUAAUAUAGAUAAAAGCAACGGUUAGUAUAGAAAACUCUGUAACAGGACACCCGAGUGGAAUAUGCUUAGCGCUUCAAUAAUCCAAUAAAAAGAUAUCAAAAAAGUCAACAAGGCAACGUAUUAGGAACGGAAUCCCGGAGUAGAAAAACAGGCUACUGUUAUUAUAGUGGUGCCGAUUAUAUAUGGCUUCUUUAAGGAAGUGUUUUGACUUCUAUAUUAGUCAUGCUCUUAAAGAAAUAUGAUUUUGCACACUAAUUUCUCUUACUCAAUUCUUGGAAAAAGGGAUUGUGGAAAUAAAUCGAUUUCGAGCUGGAUCGUUCCAAAAAGAAAAAGCACAUUUGAAGAUCUCACACACCUGAACUACCCCUAAUGCAAAAAAGAAUAGAAUAUGUGCGGAACCAAACACAGAAACUAAUGCACAAAGUCCUAGCUAAAGUGCUAAUGUGAGCAGAACCCUUGUUCAGAAUUGAAUCUAACUCACAUGUUCUAUCAAAUCAAAACCCAGUGUUUGGACCUGCGUGAAUCAGUUCAGUGUAUUUUGACCUUAUUCUAUACAAUGCUUGCUGCUUAUUUGAGACUUUUCUGAUGGGAGCUCUUAGGAUCAAUUUGCCAGCCAGGGACUUGCUUGUCGAGGGCCAGGAUCAAGUUCUAUUUCAAGCAGGACAGGAAGCGCAUCGAAUGUGAAGGGCCUUAUACAUUUCUGGUUCUUGAGCCGUAUCUAACCUCUUUUGGUUGUCUCAUAACUACUAACUUCAACAAAGAUCUGAUUCGACCCCUCCUCACAAGGUCGAGUGAACCAACCGGUUGGACAGAAACCAACUAAGAGAAAUCAAAGAAACUCUAGAAAAGGGAAAGGCUUGAAGCACCUUCCUUUUCAUUGGCGCAAGAAGAUCUUCAGCCCAAGAUUCCAUUCCUGUCUUAUUUUCGUCUUCAAGUAGAGGUCGUGCGCUAACUGAACCCGCAAUGGAACCCAACCCCUGCACUGCAUAUUCCUGAAGUAGAGUAUCAACCAUCAAGGGAAGCGGGAAGUUCAUUAGUUUCCCAGGCAAUUCCAUCAGUGUCAUCUACUAUAUAUGCUGAGCUAUAAAGUGAGAAGAAAACAGGAAGGUGGAAACCGGAAUACUUAGUAGACAUGCAGACAAGCGCCCAGCCCAAUUGAGUAGACUUAACAAGCACCCGCACAAGACCAAGAACACUCCU
RNAcentral lists this long non-coding RNA (112590 nucleotides) under Musa acuminata (dwarf banana). Its description in RNAcentral is "long non-coding RNA (MACU_LNC007533)". The record is from RNAcentral. Lineage: Eukaryota; Viridiplantae; Streptophyta; Magnoliopsida; Zingiberales; Musaceae.